RNAcentral lists this long non-coding RNA (89080 nucleotides) under Medicago truncatula (barrel medic). Its description in RNAcentral is "long non-coding RNA (MTRU_LNC004981)". The stretch from base 35098 to 35167 matches the Rfam family "MIR2629 microRNA precursor family". Lineage: Eukaryota; Viridiplantae; Streptophyta; Magnoliopsida; Fabales; Fabaceae. The record is from RNAcentral.
GGCAGUGGAGGUGAAGUUGAAUCGAAAACAAUCAGUUUGAUGUGCAAAGAUCGUGUUGCUAAAACCCAAUCUAGACGCAGCCAAAUCAAAUUGCAAAAGAUUAUUCUCCAACUGAUACCCUCCAAUCACAAUAGAAGUCCUUAGGUUCACACCACCGUUAACAAAUCCAAGACACAAAACCUCAUCAUUUAUAUUCACCAUCGAAUUUGCACCAAACAUGCUCCAAAUCACAUUGUUCUGUAAAAGAAGCUCAAUUGUAGGCACAGACGCACCCAAUGGCGUCCCUGGCAAAUUGUCAAAACUAUAACAAAAUUCAAAAGGCGGAGAUGAAUCCUCUGUUGUUAUGUUUCUUGCAACAGAUGCUUUCACAAAAGCGUCUGUAACUGCUUUGUAAAUAGAAGCUUCUAGAACCGUGUAAGGAUCAACCGUACUAAUCUUUGUUCCACCAACACCCUUGUUGUCGAUAGACAACAAACUCGAGUUAAGUGAAACCACUUUUCCAUCAAUUUUGAUUGUUUUCACUCCGAUGAAAUACUCGACUGAAGACUCUCCCUGCAAGAAAGCGGAAGCUGUGCUAACAUGAUUGAUUAAAAGCGGCGUGUAUGUGAGUGACUUUGAAUCAAAUACAACGUUAGGGAGAGAAGGGUUGUCAGCGAGAAAACUGUAAGGACCAUCACCGAAGAUGAUGACACCAUCUGAAGAAGAAAAACAAAAAGCAAAUUUUCUUUUGAAAAUAAAAGCAGAAGCUAGUUGAGAUGGAAGAGCGAUUUUGGUUCUUCCAAGACCAGCCAUGCCAGAAGCACCACCUGCAAGUCCUCGUAAUAAUGAUGUUGGUGCGCAUGAAAAUAGAAAGCGUGAAACAACGACAUUUUGUCCUGUGUUGAAACCGCUAGUUGAUUGGAUGGAUAAAACGUCUUCAGCUAGAUCGCCACGAGUAGCGCUGUGUGUGAUGGUGUUGUCCGGAAUGAGGCCACAAGUGUUGUUGCAGCCGGGUUUUGGUGAUGAGAAACAAUCACCACAGCUAUCAGAUUUGGCGAGGGAGCAUUGGGCGGAGGGGCACCGUACAGGGCGGUAUGUGGAGGAAGUGUAGUGGUUUUCACAGUCGACCCAGAGAAAUUUGCCGCCAAGAUCAACGACAAGGUUUAGUGGGACUAGUGGGGUUCUUUGGUUAAUUUGAGCUAUGUAUUGGAGUGUUGUUGCGCUAUCUUUUGUGACUGGGGAGAACAAGUGCUUUGGGUCUGAAUGAUUGUUGAGAGAAAGUUGGUGUAAUGAAGAACAAUAAAAGGAGAAGGGAAAUGAAGUGUUGGAAGUUGGUAUUAGCCAUGACUAGAGACAUUGUAUAUGGAAAAUAGAUAAAUGUUGAGUUGGAGAGGAUGGUGCAGAGGCGGCUCUAUUUAUACUUGGGAUUGAGUAGGAAGAGUUGCCAUUGUUGAUUCAUUAAUGAGUGUGGCACUAAGGAAUGGGUCCUUAAGUCAAAGACAAGUUGAGAUGUUUCUUUUUUUGAAGGAUCAAAGACAGGUUGAGAUGUUAACAAACGUCAGAUAUGAUUGCUACAUUAUUUUUGUGGGCAAUUCUAUGGUGUAUAACCCCUAAAAAAACUAUUUUGUACAAAUGAGAAAAUAUUGGAACAUGUACAAAUUAGUUUUCACCACUAAAUCAAGUAAACUCAUACUUAAAGUUAAAUGAGAAAUAAAAUGAUUUUUUUUAUCAAAUUGGUACAAGACUAUUUUACUUGUGUACGUUAGCCAAAGUCUAUCUUUAUAUCUAAUAUGACAACAAGAUAUUGCCUACAAUAUCUCAACAUGUUAAUAGCUUUUUGGUCAAACUUAAAGACUUUUAGAGUGUGUUUAGAUGGGGGAAUGUUUUGAGGGAAUUCAAAUACUUUGUGGUGAAUUCCAUUGUUUUAAUAAUAAUUUGAAGAAUUUUCAAAAUGAUGGGAAUUUAUGAGGUAUUUUGUUCAAGUUAAAUUUAGAGAAUUUCAAAUGACGCUUAAAAAGUAAGAAUUUCAAGACCUAAUUUUUUUUCAAAAUUUUCAAUUUGACCCCAAUAAAUUUCCAAAAAAUUAUGAAUUGACCCCUCAAUUUUUUAAAAGUUCCCAAAAAUGAUGACAUUGAAAUUUUUUAUUACUCCACCCAAACAAAAUUAUUGAGAAAUAAAUUGACCCCUCAAUUUUUUCAAAAAUUAUAAUUUGACUCCUUCAAAAUUUUUUAUAUUUACAAAUUGACCCCUAAUUUCAAUUUUCAAAUUUGGCCCAAUAAAAUUAAAAUUUAUAAAAGUUCCCCAAAAAUGAUGACAUUGAAAUUUUUUUAUUACUCCACGCAGACAAAAGUAUUGAGAAAUUAAAGGAAUUUAAUUGAAUCAUUAAAAUUACCUAAAAUUUUAAAUUCUUUAAAAUUUCUCAAUUACCUCGUUCAAACACACUCUUAGUUUUUUUUUAUGAGAUGAACAUAAUGAUACCCAUGUAAUUUGAUUGAGCAUGUUGCCCUCAUCUAAUAAUAAUUUCAUGUCAGAUUUUUAAUUUAUUUUAAAAUAAAUUUGAAUAUUAAACAAGAUUUGCCUAGAGAUACUGGGAUCCACCAAAAAACUUUAAGUUACGUAAGAAUUUACCUUUUAAUGAUUCAUCCAUCUCAUUAUAGGCAUUUCUUUUAAAAGAAUUUUUUGUCUCAAAUUGAUAUAUAAUAUCCUUGAAACAUGAAUUCUUUUACCCAUUUAUUUAUUAUAUUUUACUCCACUAACUAUAGUAAGGCAUUCCUUACUAUAUUAUUUCGUCAAAAAAUACGAGUGAAUGCCAACAGGAUGCACAAGUGGUGAUGAACCGUGAGCUAAACGAAUUUGGAUUACUAGCGGACACCAAUUACACACAUUUAUGUAUAAAUGUAUCAAUGGUUGUUGGAUUAAAAUUCGACGAUACAUAAUUCAAACUCAAUAUUUUUUUUUAUUAAAAAGGUUAAAAUUUGUAUGAAUGUGUGGAAAUCGACGACAGUAGAGUAUACUCGCUUUGGGUGCGCAAAGAAUUUUUAGGCUCUCCUAAUAUGGCACCUCAUAAUGGCGAUUGGCAACAUGGUAAUUUUUUUUUUUUUUUAAUGAUUAUAUAUAUAUAUAUAUAUAUAUAUAUAUAUAUAUAAAAGGUGUAUCAAAUGAGAUGAGUUUUAAUAUGAGAUGAGAGGAUUCAAUCUUUACCAUGAUGUCUAAUUUUUAUAACUGCAGAGGAAUUUCACCAUCUUCAUUGUCGUCUGUGUUCUCUCACAACCUUUCCAAUUCCUCACAAAAUCCCUUGCAACUCCUGUAACCCUUAUCCUACUCAAGAAACCUCAAAUCACGUUUCUGUUUUGCUUCUGCACAAAUCGAAUUGAAUAGCUGCAAAUAGGGGUGGUAAAAAACCAUGAACCGAACCAUUAUAAUGGUUUACGAACCGUACCGUUAAUUUAUUAACAGUUCUUGAACCAUAACCGAACCAUCUUGAACCGAACCGAACCAAACCACUUGAACUGAUUUUUUUUUUAAGGAAACCACUUGAACUCUUUGUUGGAUCUUUCCAAAAAAACAACUUAUUUAAAAUAGCUUAUUAUAAAAAGCUUAUUUUAAAAAACAACUUAUUUUAUAAAAACAAUUUAAAAAAAAAAAAAAACUUAUUCAAAACAGCUAAUUUUAUGCAAAAUAGCUUAUUUUAAUAAACAACUUAUUCAAAAAAAAUUAUUUUAUGCAAAACACAUUAUUUUAAAAAACAGCUUAUUUAAAAAUAAAAUAAAAACUUAUUUUUAAAAAAAUCAGCUUAUUCAAAACAGCUUAUUUGAAAAACAACUUAUUUUAAAAAAAAAAAAAAAAAAAACUUAUUCUAUGAAAAAUACCUUAGUUUAAAAACAGCUUAUUUUCAAAAAAUUAACAACUUAUUCAAAACAUGUUUUGAAUAAAAUAAGUUGUUUGAAUAAGCUGUUUUUUAAAAUAAGGUGUUUUGCAUAAAAUAAGCUAUUUUUUAAAAUAAGUUGUUUUGCAUAAAAUAAGCUGUUUUGAUUAAGUUUUUUUAAAAAAAAAAGAGAUUGUAACAAGCUAUUUUUAAUAAAAUAAGCUUUUUAGAAUAAGCUGUUUUUCAUAAAAGAAGCUGUUUUCAUAAAAUAAGCUGUUUUUUAAAAUAAGGUGUUUUGCAUAAAAUAAGCUGUUUUGAAUAAGUUGUUUUUCAUAAAAUAAGUUGCUUAUCAAAUAAGCUGUUUUUUUUUAAAAUAAGGUAUUUUCAUAAAAUAAGCUGUUUUGAAUAAGUUGUUUCUUAAAAUAAGGUGUUUUCAUAAAAUAAGCGGUUUUGAGUAAGCAAUUUUUUAAAAAGAGAUCGUAAUAAAUUGUUUUUUCAUAAAAUAAGUUUUUUUGAAUAAACUGUUUUGCAUAAGAUAAGAUGUUUUUGAAGAAAUAAACUAUUCUAACUUUUAAUUUGUUAUUUUUUUAGGGUUAAUAGGCCUUUACCCCCUAGUAAUAUAGGUCACUUUUGGUUUUACCACCUGUAAAAAAAAAAAUUGGAUUCGGUCCUUAUAAAAUUUUUUUGUUUUGGAAAACACCCGUAGACCAGCUGACUGUGCAUUUUUGCUGAUGUGACAUGUUGUGUCACCUUUUUCGGAUGACGUGGCGCACUGACGGUAUAAUUAUUAUUAUUUUUAAUUUUUUUAUCGGAUACACGUGGCAUUUAUGAUUUUUUUUUAAAAAAAAUUAAAAAUUCUUAAAAAAUUUUAAAAAACGAAAAAAUAUUUUAAAAAAUAAAAUAAAUUCUGGAAAAAUUAAAAUAUUAAUAAAAAUGAUUAAAAAAACGAAAAUAAUUAUGGAAAAAUAAAUAAAAAUGAAAAAAAUCUGGAAAAUUUAAAAAUUUUAGUAAAAUCUAGAAAAUUUAAUUAAAAAAAAUUAAUAUAUAUCAAAAUUUUCAAAAAAAAUAUUAAAAAAAUAUGAAUUAAAAUAAAAUUAUAAAAAAAAAUUGAAAUUCUAUUCUUCAUGAUCUAAUGUUAUGUUUUUUUAAUUAUGAAUAUACUUUCCAAUAUUUUGAUUUUCUGUAUAAAAAAACAAACUUUUUAAUUCGAAAGAAAAAUCUGAACUUUCAUUUUUAAUUCUAUUCUUAUUAGAUUCAUAAAUUUUGAAAUAUUGUAAGUUGCUGAAUUUUUUAUAAAAUAAAUCUUCUUAAUUUCGAAAAAAAAAUAGAAAAUAUUUUUCCAGAAUUUUUAAAUUUUUCCUCUAUUGAAAAUAGAUGGAAAUAUGAAUUUUUUGAAAUAUAUUAAUUUUUCCAGAUUUUAUUUUAUUAAAUUUUCUAUAUUUUUUUCAUUUUACCAGAUUUUUUAAAUUAUUCCAGAAUUUGUUUUACUAAAUUUUCUAGAUUAUUUCAUUAUUUUUCAUGUACCAGAUGUUUAUUAAUUUUUUCAUAAUUAUUUUUCGUUUUUUUUAAUCAUUUUAAUUAAUAUUUUUAUUUUUCUAGAAUUUAUUCGUUUUUAAGAAAAAAUUUAUUUUUAUUUUUAGAAUAUUUUUAUUCUUAUUUCAUUUUUAUAUAAUAUUUUUUCUUUUUUUUAAAUUUUUUUUAAAAAAAUCAUUAAUGCCACGUGUAUCCCAUAAAAAAAAUUAUACAGUCAGCGCACCACGUCAUCCAAAAAAGGUGACGCAGCAUGCCAAAUCAGCAAAAAUGCACAGUCAGCUGGUCUAGGGGGAGGACCGAAUCCAAAAAAAAAAAAUUACAAGGGGCAAAACCGAAAGUGACCUAUAUUACAGGGGGUAAAGACCUAUUAACCCUAUUUUUUAUAAUAAAAGUGGUUUUAUUCAUUGGAUAAAAUAUAUUUAUUUUGUUCGAUUCGGUAUGGUUAAUAGGUAAGCAAAUGGUUAACCAAACCAUAACUUUGGCUCAAUUCGGUUAGUUCCAAACUUGAAACGGUUCGGUUCGAUUUUCCCGAACCACUUCAAAAUUUUGGUUCGGUUCGGUUUUUUGGUUAACCAAACCAUGCCCUUCCCUAGCUGCAGAUCAAAAUGUUUCCUUUGAUCAAGUGAUCGUAUUCGCUUGCAUCUUGGAAUUCACCAACAUACUUAUCGUCAGGAGGAUUAUAAAAUUAGGUUGUUUGUGUAUAAUAAAUAAAAAGAAGGCUUUAAUAUGUGUUUCGUCCCUCCAAUUAGUGGUCAUUUAAAAAUUCGUCCAUGUAAUCGUUAAUCCUUGCAAAUUACUCUUACAAAGUUUAAUCAAUUAAAAUUUCGUCCCUACACCCACUUAAUUACUGCCACGUCAUCAAAUUAGCAAAAUGUCAUGGGAAUGGACAAAAAUAACCUCAUCAUCCUUCUUAGAUCUUAUUCUUUACCACAAUCCAACAAUCUUCAUCAUCAACUUCAAUCCUUCAUCUCUCCCAUUGAACAUUAUAAUCAACAACAAACACAAACCCAAUUUUUUUUUAUCUGUGAGCAACAUAAUGUUCAUCUUAGUGUGUUAUCUAGCUUACCAUCCUUCGCAUCGCACGGUCAAAGCACCAAAAGCAAUUUGCUUCAUUCUCAAUAAGAAUAACCAAAGGUGAGCAAAUAUCAUUCAUUCCUGCACUUUAACAUUAAAAAUUGAAAGGUAUAGUCAUCUACCUUGUACGUAACCAAUAUCAUUGUCCAACCAACCAUAAACCGAUAGAACAUCCCAAAGGUUUGCUUGAUUAGCUUCAUUUUCAUUACAAGGAUCUAUGGAGAAUUUAUUAAUACUUAAAUUGACAAGAUGAUUAAGUUAUGUCGAGGUGGUGUUGUUGGAUCUGUUGAGGUGAUGUUGAAGGAAGUUGUUGGUGGUGGUGUUGGGUUUGUUGAUGAGAAUGAAGAAUGUGGUGGUUGUUGUUGGUGGUGAUAAGGUUGUUGUUGUUGGUGGUGGUGGAGGGGAGAAAAGUGAAGAUGAAGUGAGAAGAAGAAGAGGGAAUCGAUGUUCAGGUGAAUCAAUGUUUUCUUUUUUCAAUUUGAGGAUGAAUAUCCAGCAAGAAAAAGAAGAUGAAGACAAGGGCAAAAAUGUCAUUUCACGUGUGGGUUGGCCAAUUAGGCAGUAAUUAAGUGGGUCAAGGACGAAAUUUUAAAUGAUUAAACUUUGCGAGGCUAAUUUGCCAAGAUUAACGAUUACAAGGACGAAUUUUUAAAGGACUCCCUAAUUGCAGGAAUGAAACACAUAUUAAAGCCUAAAAAGAAUUAGGCUGUUUGUGUUUGUCACUCCAGAUUAGGGAUGGCAAUGGGUACCCAAUGGGUAGGGUACUAUAGUAACCAUCCCCAUACCCGUAUUUGUGAAAAAUGCCCGUACCCUGUGUCCGUACCCUCGUGGGCAAAAACUUAAGUGCCCAUACCCGCACUCAUUACCCGCACUUUAGCCAUGAAAAGAUAAUAAAAAUCACCACACUUGAAAUAAAACUAUGAUCCAAAUUUUUUUAAAUCAACUUACGAAAUAAUAUGAAUCGUAAUAUUUAACUAAAUAAAAAAACAUCCAAAUUAUUCCCAGAAAGAAAAAAAAUAGAUACCUUACAUCAGUUAUACGUUAAAAAGUUGUAGUUGCAUGUUAAAAUCAUAAUAAAUUGUUACUAAAGUUUUUAUUAAUCUGUUUUAGGUUUAAGGUUAGGCUUAAAUAGUUAAAUUUAUUAAUUAAUUGUACACCAAAAAUAAAUAAAUUAUUUAUAAUAUUAUAUAAAUACAUAUAUGUGGGUUGCAGGGCUGGGUAGUACAGUGCCCAUACCCGUGCCCAUACCCAAAUAAAUUUGCGGGUAAUUACCCAUACCCAAGUCCGGACCCAUGAAAGCGGGGUUUUACCCUACCCAUUGCGGAUAUUUUUUGCGGGUGCCCAUAGGGUCUGGGUCCAAUUGUCAUCCCUACUCCAGAUCCAUUUUUGGCUUGAUUGAAACUCUUUUCAAAUCUAAAAAACCUAAAAUAAAUUAUCACACCAAACCAUCUUUUUAUUUGAUCAUCGUAAAAAUCUAAAAAAUCGAUGAUUCAUCAAAUUCUUUUUUGGUUUGAUCAUAAAAAAAAUCUUAAGAUAUCAAAAGUGCCAGAGAUAUAAUUAAAUAUUGAUGGGAGAGACUCAUUUAAGUAACAUUAAGUGACCAAGAUAGAAAAAACUUAAUCAAGGGAUAUCAAAGUAAAAUCAAAUAAAUAGUUAAAGGAGAAUAGAAAUUUAGUCUAAAAUUUAUAUUCGACAAACUAAUCACAUGAACAAUCUACCCAUCACAAGUCAUAUCCAUAUAACACAACUCAGAUCAAUAUGAUGCACCAAAGUAGUCAAUAUGAACAGAUUAUUAAAAGAUUAACGCAUAAUUAUAAUCUUACUUAAUAUAAAUCAAAGGUGGUUUGGUUACUCCAAAUCCCUAACCCUAAUUGCAGCCCUAACAUCCAAAAUGAUAAAUAUAUCCCUGAAUAUCAAGUCAUUUCCCUCCAAUUUGUUGCUUUCCUGCAUUAGUCUUGAACCACUCAAACUCUGGCCCACUCACAUGCUUUUCAUUGGUCUUGAGCCACUCUAUGAAUAAAUGUUUGCUAUAAACGAUGUAUGUAGUUAUUCAAGAACUCAUUAACCAAGACUUAGGCCAACUAUCAACUACUUCAUUAGGUAGAUCACUUCCAUUCUCUUGCUAUUUAACAUUGUGUUUGGAAUGAGGGAGAGAGAUAGGAGCGAGAGAGGUAGGAUAGAAAGUCACAAUUGGAAUUUAGGAAACAUUGGAAUUUGGUGAUACAUUGCUCAUCUUAUACUACCGGUUCAUAAUAAAUCUAUCUAUAGAUUUAACAUGCAAAUUAUGCUUCAUUACCUUUAGAUUCAUAUGUCAAUAACGAAAUUAUUAUUGGUUGUAAAAAAAUAUAAUGAUAUUCAUUUAUAAUCGCAUGGGGCAAAAGUCUAGUCAAUGAAAAAGCAAAUACAGUAUUUGCUUAGGUUUUUGUCUUGGACAAAUUAUUCAAUAUUGUGCUCGUGAUUUUCGGAUAUCAAACCAUUAAUUGAUUUGAAUCGUUAAUCUUUGAACUCUCGAUUUUUAUUCGUGGGAAGGGAAAAAAUGAGUAAAAAACCCUUAUCGAGACUUUGGAUUCGGGGGUUGGUUACGCGAAGGGAAGGUGUUAGCACCCUAAGCGUCUACGGUAUUCCGUAGGAACCUCUUACCUAAUUUAUCUUGUGCUAAAUUCAUUGCUUAUUUGAAAAUUAUUACCUAAAAAUCUAAGUGAAAGAAUGGGGGGAGAAGAAGUAUAUUUUUGGUUAUUUUUAUUUGAUUUGGAAGGAUAAAAAUCCUAUGCCUACAUACCCUUAAAGAAAAGGGAUCAAAACCAAUGUAGUUCACCUAAAAAGUUUCUUUUUGGUGGGUUGGUUAAUUUUAACAAUUUUGGAAAAAGGUUUUAAGAAGAGAUUAGAGGCCUCAAGGCAUGAGAGAAAAUAAGGUGAGGUUGGUCAAAUUUUAAUUACAAGAAAAUCAAGUCUAAUAUGAAUAUUAAUUCAAUUAAGCAUUUGAUUAAGAAAAUAAAAGGAAAAACACUUGGGUUACAAACCAAGGUUUAUUAAGAAAAAUAUUUUUUGAAGUUUCACAUAUUUGAUUUUUUUGGUAAAAAGAUUUUUUCUAAACUAACGGUAAAAACUAACGUAAUGCAACGUAACAAGAAAUAAAAGUGGAGUGUCGGUGCAUGUGUUAUUACAUCAAUUUCUAAAUACAUUCUAUGGUCUCAAGAGAAAUAUAAUAGCAAGAAAUAAAAAUACACAAAAAUAAAUUACAUCCAUUUCUUAAUUAUACACACUAAAUCAAUGAUGGCAAGAAUUAAAUAUGCAUGCAACAGUUAUAAGUAAGCAUAAAAUAAAUUGAGCAUGAAAUAAAUCGCAAUUAAUAAUAAACAAGCAAAUAUCAUGAUAAAAUAGUGAAAAUAAGCAAUUAAAAACAAUUUUUAUGGCUAGAAAGUUUAAAAGGAGGAAGAUAAAAAUUUAACAUAAAAAUAGACAUUAAAAUAACAAAAAUGAUAUAAAGCAUAUGAAAAAAUAGUGGAGAAAUAAUAAAAAAAAACCAAAUGGCUCAGUUAGGAUGAAUAUGGACCACUUGAUGAAUCAGGAGGUCUAGAUUCAUCACUGUAUCAACUCAUCACAACCGCCAGAUCAAUGAUCUAGAAGUUAAAAAACAAAAGGAACACAGGGACCGAUAGAUUUACAAUCUAACGGUUUAAAUAAAAAGAACACAGUGAGCAAAAUAAACAAGCAUGCAUACAAAACAACUGAGGAGGCAUCAACAGCCGUUAGAUCAAAGAUCUAACGGAUCACAGCAAAGGCACAUGGAGAUAAUCAUGAAGCGCACACACAGGAACAGACCAAACAAAAAGCACUAUAAAAGCAGAUCAAACAAAAAAAAACACACAAUUCCUUUCAAUUCUCUCUCUAAGUUUAACUUAGAGAGAGAAGCUCUCCCUUCUCUCUAAAAAUUUUCUGAAAAAAAAAACGGAAGAGGAAGACGAAUCUUCAUCUUCUCCGGCGAGCUUCGCCGCUCCUGUGCGGUGGUUUGCCGGCCCAACAGGGCGGCGCCACCGCAUCGGAGAUACGAAACAUCUCCGAUUUCAAAUCUUUUUACAUAUUCUAAAAUCCUUUUUUCUCUACUUCUCAAAUAUCAACUCAAAAUUUUCAAAACAACAACACAGAAGCCUAGAUCUAAACUUGAAGAUUCAGUUUCAAACUUUUCUAUUUUUUAACCGUUUUCCAAAAAAGAAACUCACAUCUCAUACAGAUUUAGGAAGUAAAAUGAAAAGGAGAAGAAAGAACAAAGUGAUACUGGUUACCUCUUUAGAUCGGUUACGAUCUUGGAGGUUAUACUUCUGAGAAAAAUAAAAAAAAUGUUCGAUCUAGCUUCUUCCUUGCUCAAAACGGUCCGAACGUUCCUUCCCUUCUUGUUGCCUCACGGAUCCAUCUCGGAUUCGUACGGAUCUGCUCCGGUACAGUUGGAAUUCGAAAAGCGGUUUGGAUCGGUAAUGGAAAAGAGUUAUCGUUUCGAUUUUGGUUCCGAUCUGUGAUAGUGUGAUAUUGUGACUUAUGGAAAAUUCGUGGAUGAACAUUCAUGAAUUGUUCAUAUUGUGUUCACGAUAUUUUUGUGAUUUUCUUCUGGAAAUUGGAAAGGGGAAUGAGAUUAGGGUUUUGGAUGAUAUGACUGCGGCUGAAAAAGUCCCUGCUGCGUGAACAGUGCCGCCUCCUUUUCCUCCUUUUGCAGGUUUGAUUUUAUAGCAUUAGGGUUGAAGGGAAAAAGGAAAUAACUUGUAGAAAACAGCAACCGUGUGCUGGAUUUGGAAACAAACGUUUGACUCUAUGAACCUGCCUGAAUAUGAGGCAUAUGAAAAAAAUAUUUUUUGGACCUUUGCUGGGAUUUUUGCGGACUCAUUGACAUUAUAGCACAAAAACAGAAAAUAAAUUAUUAAAUAUAUAAAAUGAGUAACUAAUUUUAAAAUCAAGACUAAAAUUAAAACUAAUAAAAGAUGGAACUUAAAUACUGAAAUAAAGAGAAAAUAAAGAGAGAAGAGGGCCCGACUCGGAAUAAAAAAUGAGGUACUUCAAAGUAACUUAUUUGUUGAAAUUUCGUCUGAAACGACGAAAAUUCCCGACUUUAAAAAUACGAAUAAAAUGGAUAAGAAUAGAGAAAAGUGAUCAAAAUUUGGGGUAAGACAAAUAUAUUAGAUACAUAUAUCCAACCAUUUGUAUAGAAAGGGGAAAAUACAUUCUUUAGUUUACAUCAAAUAUAACUACACUCCUUGCAAACCAUACAUGAACUUCAAUGCAAUUUAUUAUGAACAAAGGAGACACUAAUUAUUCAAACUUGAAAGUGUAUAAAAAAUAAUGCUGAUUUUGAAAAAAGCAUCUAGGCAGUGGAGGUAAAGUUGAAGUUAGAACAAGUAGUUUGUCGUCCAAAGAGCAAGGAGCUAAAUCCCAAUUUAGAAGCAGCCAAAUCAAAUUGCAAAAGAUUAUUCUCCAACUGAUACCCUCCAAUCACAAUUGAAGUCCUUGUAUUCUUACCACCAUUCACAAAUCCAAGACACAAAACUUCAUCAUUUAUACUCACCAUUGAAUUUGCACCAAAUAUCCUCCAAACCACAUUUUCAUUUUGCAAAAAGAGCUCAAUAGUAGGCACAGCUGCACCCAAUCGUGUCCCAGUCAAAUUAGUGUAACAAAAUUCAAAAGGCGCAACCGAACCCACCCUCUUUAUGUUUCUUGCAGCAGACGCUUUCACGAAAGCGUCUGUAACUGCUUUGUAAAUAGAAGCUUCUAAAACCGUGUAAGGAUCAACCGUACUAAUCUUUGUUCCACCAACACCGUUAUUGUCUAUAGACAACAAACUAGUGUUAAGUGAAACAACUUUUUCAUCGAUUUUUAUUGUUUUCACGCCGAUGAAAUACUCGGCUGAAGGCUGACCUUGUGAGAAAGCAGAAGCUGUGCUAACAGGAUUGAUCAAAAGCGGUGUAUAUGUAAGCGAAUCCGAGUCAAAAACAACGUUGGGAAGAAAACCGUAAGGUCCAUCCCCGAAUAAAACAACUCCCUUUGAAGAGGAAAGACAAAUAGCGAAUUUUCUAGCGAAGCUAAAAGCCGAAGCUAGUUGAGAUGGAAGAGCUAUUUUGGUUCUUCCAAGACCAGCCAUACCAGAAGCACCAGUUGCAAGUCCUUUUAGUAAGAAAGUUGGUGCACAUGAGAAUAGGAAGCGUGAAACCACGACAUUUUGUCCUGGGUUGAAGCCAUUAGAGGAUUGGAUUGAUAAAACAUCUUCAGCAAGUUCACCGCUGGUGGCGGUGUGGGUAAUGCUAUUGUCCGGGGUGACACCACAAGUGUUGUUGUUGCAGCCAGGUUUUGGUGAUGAGAAACAAUCACCACAGCCGUCGGAAUUUGCAAGGGAGCAUUGGGCUGAACGGCAGCGUGCAGGGCGGUAUGUGGAAGAAAUGUAUUUGUUUUCGCAGUCAACCCAAAGAAACUGGCCACCGAGAUCGACGAUGACGUUCAGUGGGACUAAUGGGGUUCUCUGGUUGAUUUGAGCUUUGUAUUGGUUUGUUGUGGCCCCAUCUUUUGUGAUUGGGAGAACAAGGGCUUUUGGCCUGAAAGAUUGUUGAGAGAAAGUGGGUGAAAUGAAGAAAAAUAGGAGAAGGAUUGUAAUGAAGUGUUGAAAAUUGGAAUUAGCCAUGGCUAGAGUGUAAAGAUGUAAAUGAUAUUGAGUUUGUGAAGAUGGUGUUGAGGCAGGUCUAUUUAUAUUAUAUUGAUCGAGUUGCCACAUUUGAUUUGGUUCAUAGUGUAUUAAAGAAGUUGGUGCUUUUAAGUCAAAAACAAUUUGAGAUGUUAACAAUGCCACGUUUCUUUGUAUCUAACACGACUACAUGAUGUUGCCUUGUUUAUAUUAUCUGGACACCACAUUGAUUUCUUUGGUCAAACAUGACAAUUUCAGUUUUCUAUAUUCUUCUUCCUUUAACGCGUUACUAAGUUUCAUCUUUUUAUUUUUUAUUGCAGUGUUUUAUCUCUCUCAAUUUCAAAAGACUGAAGAGGUACUUCUUUGUUGUUAUGCAGUGCAGGCAUGAGUUACUUAAUAUAUUAUUGGAAUUCUUGUACAGUGUGUAAAUAUACUUACGUAGAUUAUUAAAAAGUGAUAGCCCAAUUAUGGCAAAAUCUAACUAAAAUAGAGUUUCAAAUUUGUACACUAACAAGAUUUAUCUAGACGUAGAAAGAGUGUACGCGUAAUCCAAAAGUUCAAAUAUUUCUCCUGAUGAGAUAUAUCUUAUCUGUAACUUAUCCAAAAUGAAUACAUGUAAUCCAUUAAUUAAUUAGUAAGUCGAAUUACUUUAUAGGUCUAUCGUUUGUUGGAAAUUACACGGCUGCUUAAUAGAUUUUUUAAGUAAGUUUUAAAGGCUAUUUUAUGUCAACAAAUGUAGCUGGGAGAUUAGACUCCUAUAAAAGCGACAACUAAAAUUUGAAUUUAUGAGAAGUAUCAACAUUCAGUGUCUGAUAUAAUUCCUUUCGCACAUCAUGUGUAGGAUGUAACAUCGUUGGUUUCGCAAUAUAAUUUUAUUCUGAUUUGUUAAAAGAAAAGAAAAAAACAAAUAGUGUAUGAUAUGUGAAAAUUAGAAUUACAUUUACACAUGUCAUUCCUUAAUUUAGUUUAAUAAUGAUUUGAUUAUUUAUUGUUUUUUACGUCAUUUUGGCUCUUUUGAAUUGUUUGCACAUAUGAAUUCUCAAGUUUUAAAUCUAAAAACUGAGAACUCACAGGAAAAUAAAAUCAUAUAUUUAAAUCUUGAAAAUGUAUGUGUAAAGGGACCAAAAUAGGUAAAAUGACGUAAAAAAAAAUUAAAUGACGAAAUCGUUAUUUAAAACUAAGUUAAGAGAUCGUGUCCAAAAAAAAAACUAAGUUAAGAGACGAAUUCAAUUUUGUCAAUAACAUCUUACAAAAAAAGAAAGUUAUGGAAAAAAAUUGUGUCGUUUUCAAAGCAACUUAGAAUAUCAGGAGAUUUAGUAUGUGGGACUUUGGUUAACUCAAUUUAUAACUUCAACAAGGCUGAUACAUAUCGUGUUAAAACAUAUUUUGAGGCACCUUUUAGAUCAUCUUUUUUGUUAACAAUCAACUUAAAAAGGUUUUCACAGGGCCGACCCAAUGUACUUGUAGGCCUAAAGUGAAUUUUAAAUAAGGCAUUUUCAUAGGUUUCCUCAAUUGAAAGUAAUUAUAUUCGAUGUAUCUUAGACAAUAAUGUGAGUAUCUCUCCAGUUAAAAUUCGAACAUUGGUUUUCAAAAAACCUAGGGCCGGCCCUGGGCAUAGGCCAACGAUGGGAGAUGUAUACAGAAAUAUUAGGUUUAUAUGGGGUAUAUAUAGCAAAUUAGUUUAUGUAAGAUGUUUAGGCUAAAAUGUUAGUCAUACUACGCAAUUGAACAUGCAUAAAUACAAGAAGCAUCUGAGAUGAAAUACAAAUGCUAUGAUUUGUAGAUAGCUUAUUGAGCUAACAACAGAUAACUAACUAACUAUUUAUAGACAUGCAAAUUAGUCCUCCACCAUAUGCAAUUUUGGCAAGGCUAUACAAUCACCUGUUAAUCAAAAACCAUUUUUAUAAUAAAAACAUAAAAUAAAAACAAUAACAAUCAGUCCAUAGAAGAUCAUCAACUUAAUGUCCUGAAACAAAUUAUGAUCUCCAAUUGUUUCACUUUUUGUAGUUGCAUUGUCAAAAGAUUUGUUGGCAACAUUAACGGUGUUUGGUGCCACGUAGUUGUUGUUAGUAUGUGGAACAGGGUCAUUGUACAUACAAUUGUAAUCGUAACCAUGGUGAUAAGGAUAAGUAACACCAGAAUCAUCAGCACAAAUAUGAGUUGAACCAGAAUGAUUUCGGGUGGAGAAGUGGAGUGUCCGAGGUUCGAACCCUCUGCAUAUAAAAUGCGAUAUUCCUACCAAUUGAGCGAAACUCACGGGGAUAUGUGGUUUCUUUAUUAUGAUCACAAUCACACCACUUUGAGAACUUCUUGCAACUUUAUAAUGAUUAUCUUUAAUUUUUUUGGCUUUAUCCAAUAUUUGCUGAUCAGCUAGACUCUUUACGGUCAGUUUUCCCACAUCCCCUUCAAUCAGAUCAAAUGUGUAACCACCUGCAGAAUUGUGUACAAAUCAAUGUUUCAAAAAUUGAACCGAACAUCAUAUUAGUGACAUUUCUAAGUCGUAGUUUGACUAUUUGAAUUAGAAUAAAAUCGCAAUUAAACUGUUCGAUUCAAUUCAGUUUUUAAAACAUUCAUAUGAGCAAAUUUUUGUAUUGAAAUUAGCUUGCUCAUAUUAUAGUGAAGUCAAGAAGAAGGGGACAAAUAAGUGUGAUACGUACCAUUUAGUCUUGUUGAUAAUUUCCCUAACGAACUUUGACAUUUCUUGCAGUGUACUUUAAAGCGGUAUGUCUGCAAGUGAAUAAACAAAUCAUGUGAAAGAGAAAUGAAAACACGUAAAAUAGUUUUGAUAUAUGAAACAUAACCACCGACGCAGACACUGUUGAUGUCACAAAUAAAUUUACAAAUUGAAAUGGAGCUUCUAAAAAUAGGACAUCGAAAUUGGAGCUUUUACCGCUUAUUUACAAAUUGAAAAGUUUUGAUUGUUUCAUAAAUAAAUAAACUAACGAUUAUUUUUAUGAAUCAAAAAACUAUUUGUCGAUGUUGAAAAUUUUUCCAACACUCCAAUAAAUCACUUUAGAGUGUUGUUUGUGCUUCCUAAUAUUCAAUAUAUACUACUUAUAGGUUGAAUUUGUAUGUAUAAAUCUCAAAUUAGAAGAAUUUAAUAAGUGGUUAAUUAAAAAAUGUACCUUUCGGAGGAACGUCGAACGAAACCAUUUAAGUAUAUUCUAGGAGGCCGUUAAGGACAAGCAAGAGAAUGAUAUGCUACCUUAUGUAGGAGAUGAAUAACCUUCCUAUUUAUUUAUUUGAUUUCAUAAAAAAAAAAAAUCUUUUAGGAGUAUUUCAUAAAUUCUUGAUCUUAUGUCCUUAUGUCAUACAUACAUAUGAGCAUGCUCAAAUUUAAUGCGCAAUUGCAGUCGUGAGGAUGCUUCAUCAUUUAUAUAUAAAAACAAUAAAUUACAACUUUCAAAGGGGAAGUGAUUUGGCUCAACCUCACAAAGGAAAAAUUAAUUUGAUGACUUGGAAACUAAAGCAUGCAUAUUUAUAAUAAGGGUUUUUCUAUAAUAGAAUAAUAUACUUUUUUUUUUUUGCUUUCGCAUCGGUUUCCGACCCAUCAAAGGUGAGCGACUAAUUCGGCUCAUGCGUAAAGGCAUGCGCACUGGCCAAGUGUUGUUCCCCCUGAAAAUCGAACCCGGUAUUCCAGGGUACGUCCUUGGAAUGAGCUCUUUGCCACUGAAGUCCAAACAACUUUGUUAGAAUAAUAUAUUUUAGUUCACAUUUCACGUACUUAUUUUACUUUUUCCCUCAAUGAUCGAGAUUUAAAAAUAAAAUAAAAUUGUACUAUCGUAAUAAGAAAUAAAACCAAAAAACAUUGCUCAAAAAAAAAAAACCAAAAAACAUUAAUAUCAAAGUGGAGAAGGGUAAUGCUGUAAAUUCCACUUAAUAAUUAAAAGCAGAAACCUCUUUCACACCAAAACACACAUAUGUUUUGUCGCAGGUUACGAUUUUCAACAACCUCUUUCAACACAUAUGUUUCAUUGUGUAAAAAAAAAAAAACAACCUCUUUCAAAAGUCAGUGCAGUUUGCAAUAAUUAAAUCAUCUCAUCAACUUGCAAAAUAUAAUAAUAAUUUUUUUUGAACAGGAAAAUAUAAUAAUAAUAAUUAAUCAUCACAAUUAACAAGUUGUCAAUUAAAUCAUCACAAUUAAUAAAUUAUAUCAUUGCAAAUAACUCAUCUGAAAAUGUAGAUAAAAAACCAACGAAUUGGUUCAUCGUCAAUGGCUUUUUCCAUUAGAAAAAAAGUUAGUAGCUUUAAGCAUGUAUGCCAGGCUAGGCUGCACUUAUGGUGCAUAAAAUCUAGAAAUGGUUUUUGUGAGUUGUAUUUCAAAAUCAUUAGAUGUACUUAAUGGUUUCUAGCACUCUGCAUAUAUCAGAGUAUGUUUUGUAUAAAAUUAUGUCAAAACCAUUUUACUGUGGAAAUGAUUUCUGUGAAUUGUACUCCAAAAACCAUUUCUAGAUUUAUGCAGAGUGCAUAAGGAUUUCCUUAUGCACCAUAACCGCAUCCGUCAGACUAAUCGACACAUUGCAAGUGCAAAAAUAGGGAGCACCUAUAUAUGUUUUUAUUUAAUUUGAAAGAUAAAUUGUAAUUACCAAAAAUACACUUUAAGUUUAAGUGACAUACAAUAGUGGGAUUUGGGUUUUCAGUAAAAACAAAGUGGAUGUAGCUUGCUAACUUACACCUUAGUUAAAAGUGGGUGUAAGUUAGCAGCCCCAAUGUUGCUAAAACACAUAUUCUAGAAAAUAAGUGGGUGUAUGUUAGCAACUCUUAUAUGCAUUUGCUGGGAUACACCCACUUAUUUUUUAGAAGGUGUAAUUUAGCAACUCCUAUAGACAUUUGCUAGGAUACACCCACUUAUUUUUUAGUGUAUGUUAGCAACUCCUAUAUGCAUUUGCUAGGAUAUAUAUAUAUAUAUAUAUAUAUAUAUAUAUAUAUAUAUAUAUAUAUAUGGAGAUAGUACUCCCUUUGUCCUUAUAUCUAAGCACCUUUUGCAUUUUUUACAUUUCUUAAGAAAAGUUGUUGGUGCAUUUAAUGUGUCUAUUUUGUGCGUUAAUAUUACCAAAUUGUCAUUUGUUUGUAUGUGUAUAAAAUUUGACUUUUCAUAUUUUAAGACAAGUUAAUAAUAUUAAUUAGGGAUAUGUUUAGGAAAAAAAAUAAUAAAUGCAUAUAGUAAUUCAAAAGCGAUAUACAUCUAAGGACAAAAAUAAAGUUAAAUGUGUGCUUAGAUAUAAGGAGGGAUUAGAUAUUUUUAGAAUAAGAUUUUAAUUCCUUUUUCUAAGGGAAGGUGAAUGUAGGUUUUAAAUUUGUUUUUGACAUCUCAAAUCCAAAAAUAGAAUGUGGGAUAGUAUAAAUGGAUGGGAACUUCUAUGGUACACUCAUAAAUUAAGGUGUAUCGGUAUUCCUGCUUCCAAAAUUUAUAUAUUAACAAUCAACUUUAUGAAAUAAAUAGUUAUUUGUCGGCAUUUAUAUCUCAGAAAAUAUCAUUUCAUAAGAAAAACACAUCAUUCAUUGUUUAUAAGAAUCAAUAAUUUUUUUUACAUAUUUUCGUAUAAAAUAAUCAAAGUUCUCUAUUAUGAGCGAUAAAAAUUCAAAAAAAAUCAAUUUUAAUUCGUUGAUGCUUUUGGUGAAUAAGAUUUUAAUCAUUAUAAUUAUAAAUGAUAAAAAAAUAAUAUAUUUCUUCAAAAAAUAACUCAUUUAACUAUAAAUUUAAGGAUUUGAUGUACCGGUACACUCAAAAAUGUUGGGUGUACGGUAGAAUUUGCCUAAAUGGAUACGGAGAUGUUUCAACACAAACAAUUAUGAUAUCUUUGCUUUCUCAUUUGAAAUUUUGAAUAACAAAACCUCCCCCGACAACUUCCUCUCUCACCCUUUUCCAAUACCUUUCUUUAAUCCAUCCCCUAAUCCUCCACUUUCAUAUAAUCAAUUCAUUAUCUUUUUUAAAACAUUUUAUUAGUUAGUGAAGAGCAGGGGAAUGGAUCCUCUGCGGUGACUGCAGAGUCUUAAAUAUGAGCCUUUAAACACAAUUAAAUACUUAAAAAUAUACUCCCUCCGUCCCAAAUUGUAUGUCACUUUGGAAAAAAUAUUUGUCCCAAAUUGUAUGUCGCUUUACAAUACCAAUAAAAAAUUAAUAUUACUUUUCCUAUUAUAUCCUCAACUAUUUAUUACUUUCUCUUCUUUCAAUUCCUUCAUUUAUCUUUUCCAUAUCAUUUAUUGAGGACAAUUUUGUAAAACAACUCAUAAUAUCAUUUUCCCACACAAUAUUAAUUACAUUUCUUAAUAAGUGUGAAAUGUCCAAAACAUCAUACAAUUUGGAACGGAGGGAGUAUAUGUUAAAAACUUGAAAUUAGGAGAGAUAAUGAAUUUAAUGGUUUAGAUUCCCACAUUGAAAAACAAGAUAAAAAUACACUGGAGCAAAUCAUCUCCCACAGAGGGGGAAGUUGAGAGGAAAGUAUCAUAGCAUUGGAGAAUGUGAUUUUGUGAAGUAUAGUAACCUAACCUGUUCCGUAAUGACAUGAUAUGGUGGUGGGGGUGGCAGGUAUAGAAUAUGAUAUCUUUUCAAAUCUCAAAAAAUCUAAAAUCAAUUACUACACCAAAUCAUCUUUUUAUUUGGUCAUCGUAAAAAUCUCAAAAUCGAUGAUUCAUCAAAUCUUUUUUGGUUUGAUCAUAAAAAAAAUCUUAAAGAGAUCGAAAGCGACAAAAAUAUAAUUAAAUAUUGACGGAAGAGACUCAAUUGACUAACAUUAAGCAACCAAGAUAGAACAAAAACUAAUUAAGGGAUAUCAAAGUAAAAUCAAAUAAACAGUCAAAGGAGAAUAUAAAUUUAAGACAAAUUAAUCAAAUGAACAACUAACCCAUCACAAGCCAUAACCAUAUAACACAAUUCAAAUCAAUAACCGUUUGUUGUGCCUUCAAAAAAAAUUCGUUUUAAGAUUUCAGGUUCGAUAUUCUCUCCGAUGUCAAUUUUAAUGGACUAGUUUAACUUCAUAAAAAAAACGUUUGUUUAUAAUUAAAUGCAUUAUCAAAGAAUAUAAUAGUUGAUAUAAUACUUUAUUAUUUUAAUAUUUGAUCGAGGUUAAUCUAUAAAAUAAAAUCCAACUUACUAAUGUAAAAAAUAUAUGAUGCAUCAAAGUAGUCGAUAUGAACAGAUUAUUAAAAGAUUAACGCAUGAUUAUUACAAUGAAAAAGCAAAUACAAUAUUUACUUAGGUUUUUGUCUUUGUGGGCAUUUCUAUGGUGCAGUUAAGAAAUUGAUUUAUUUUUUUAAAAUUAUUUUGUUUAGGAAAUAAGAUAAAUGUUAUUUUAUGAAGCAAUCGCAAAGGAAAAGUUAUCAAAGGUGAUUUAUGACUACUAUGCAUCCGGGGUAGAGGACUAGUGGACUUUGAAAGAGAACCAACAUGCAUUCUCAAGGAUUCUAUAAUUUACAAACUACUUUUAGUUUAUAUUCAUCUUCCAUUUAAUUUAACCUUGUGUGCUCUAUUGAAUUAAGCACUCGUUUCACUAUCUAUAUUAAUCUGAGAAAUAGGUUCAGGCCACAGAUUCUUAUGGAUGUGAGCAAGAUAGAUUUGACAACAACUAUAUUAGGCUUAAAUAUUUCAAUGCCUAUCAUAAUUGCUCCUACAAUCUUGCAAAAGAUGGCUCACCCUGAAGGUACUCACUGUUCUGCGUUACAUUAAGAUAUUACUCUUGCAUUAUGUUUUUUUUGUUAUUGUCAUUAUGUACAUUUUUUUAUAAGAGUUCAUGUACAUUUUGUUAAUACAUAUGUGUCGGAUUCUUCAUGUGUUUGACAUUGAAGUUUAUUUUUUACUAAUAUAGAAAAGUUGGUUUUUUGGAAAAGUUAUUUAUUUAGCCAAAAGUUAUGUCUAUAAUAUAAUAAUAAAAAUGUUUAAUUUUGAUUUAAUCAGAGACUCAGUAUGACUGCACCAUAAAAGGGGGAAAAUACAUUCUUUGGUUCAUAUAACUACAAUCCUUGUCAAACCAUACAUGAAUUUCAAUGCAAUUUAUUAUGAACAAAGGAAACACUAAUUAUUCAAACUUGAAAUAUGAUUCAAACUUGAUAGAGUAUAAAAAAAAUGUUGAUUUGGGAAAACGGCAUCUAGGCAGUGGAGGUAAAGUUGAAGUUAGAACAAGUAGUUUGUCGUCCAAAGAGCAAGGAGCUAAAUCCCAAUUUAGAAGCAGCCAAAUCAAAUUGCAAAAGAUUAUUCUCCAACUGAUACCCUCCAAUCACAAUUGAAGCCCAUGUAUUCUCACCACCAAUCACAAAACCAAGACACAAAACCUCAUCAUUUAUAUUCACCAUUGAAUUUGCACCAAAUAUCCUCCAAAUCACAUUGUUCUGCAAAUAAAGCUCAAUAGUAGGUACAUCCGCACCCAAUCGUGUCCCAGUCACAUUAGUGUAACAAAACUCAAAAGGUGCAACCGAAUCCACCCUUUUUAUGUUUCUUGCAGCAGACGCUUUCACGAAAGCGUCUGUAACUGCUUUGUAAAUAGAAGCUUCCAAAACUGUGUAAGGAUCAACGGUACUUAUCUUUGUUCCACCAGCACCGUUGCUACUGUCUAUAGAUAACAAACUAGUGUCAAGCGAAACAACUUUUCCAUCUAUUUUAAUAGUUUUCACGCCGAUGAAAUACUCGGCUGAAGGCUCACUCUUUGCGAAAGCAGCUGUGCUAAAGGGAUUGAUCAAAAGCGGUGUGUAUGUGAGUGACUUAGAAUCAAAAACGACGUUGGGGAGAAAACCGUAAGGUCCAUCCCCGAAUAAAACAACUCCCUUUGAAGAGGAAAGACAAAUAGCGAAUUUUUUAGCGAAGCUAAAAGCCGAAGCUAAUUGAGAUGGAAGAGCUAAUUUGUUUCUUCCAAGACCAGCCAUACCAGAAGCACCACUUGCAAGUCCUUCUAGUAAGAAAGUUCGUGCACAUGAGAAUAGGAAGCGUGAAACCAUGACAUUUUGUCCUGGGUUGAAGCCAUUAGAGGAUUGGAUUGAUAAAAUAUCUUCAGCCAGUUCACCGCUCAUGGCGCUCUGGGUAACGCUAUUCCCUGGGGCAACACUGCAGGUGUUGUUGUUGCAGCCAGGUUUUGGUGAUGAGAAACAAACACCACAGUCGUCGAAUUUGGCAAGGGAGCAUUGGGCAGAGCGACACCGUGCAGGACGGUAUGUGGAGGAAAUGUACUGGUUUUCGCAAUCAACCCAGAGAAACAGGCCACCGAGAUCGACGAUGAUGUUCAGUGGGACUAGUGGUGUUCUUUGGUUGAUUUGAGCUUUGUAUUGGUUUGUGGUAGCGACAUCUUUUGUGACUGGGAGAACUAGGGCUUUUGGCCUGAAAGAUUGUUUAGAGAAAGUGGGUGAAAUGAAGAAAAAUAGGAGGAGGGUUGUAAUGAAGUGUUGGAAAUUGUAUUUAGCCAUGGCUUGAGAGUAAAAAUAGUGUAUUAGUGUAUGGUAUUGAGUUUGAGAAGAUGGUGUUGAGGCAUCUCUAUUUAUAUUGCAUGGGAUAUUGAUAGAGUUGCCAUUUGAGAUGUUAAAUAAAAAACGUCAAAUAUGAUUGUCACGUUUCUUUGUAUUUAACACGAUGUUGCCAUUAUUAAUUAUUAUCUGCACACAAUAUUAAAUUCUUGGUCAAACUUGAUGUACUACAAUUUUUUAUAGGCAAGUAAUUCAUGGAUUAGUGACUAAGACACCCUUUUUUAUAUUCUUCGUUGCUAUGCUAUGUAGGCAUGGGUUACUUUAUAUUUUUGAGGAAAAAUAAAUACCACUUCCGUCUCUAUAUACAAGACCUUUUUGUCAAAAUUACAGGAAUUAAGAAAGUAGAUAUUUUCAUUAAAGUUGUUUGUAAUUACUAUUGUUUUUACAAUUUUAUCUUUUAAAAUAGAGAGUUAGUUUAUGUUUUGAACAUGUUAUUUAUUGCUGAUUGAAGAAAAAGAUGUGAAAUAAAUAGAGGCAUGUAUGUAAAUAAAUAAUAAAUGUGCUUAGAAAUAACAAAAGGGUCUUAUAAAAAGUGACAUUUUAUUUUUAAAAGGAUCUUAUAAUUAUAGAUGGAGGUAGUAUUAUUUAAUGAAGUUUCCGAUUCGCUGCAGUUUGUUUACAUACAUAAUUUAUUAAGUAGAUAAUUUUAUUUUUUCAAUUUCAUUUAGAUCGAAACCACGUGAUCUUUAUUUUUCUUUUUUUUUUUAAGGAAAGACCACAUGAUCUUGGUGAUUGUGGUUGUCUAACCAUUAUUUUUGGUAUAGUAAAGGGUUGAUAUUUAAUUGAGAUUAAUUAAAGGGUUGAUAUCUUUUAAGAAAUGAUUUUUAAUAUUACGGAUCAGAAAUAAAAUCUUAAACUAAAUUGUUGUUGGUGUUAACUCUAAUUCUUUCAAUAUUCCACCAAAAUUCAUGUUUACCCUAAUAUAUUUCCCUCCUAAAUAGUACAUGCCAAUUUGAAUUUCGAAUUUUUUUUAUUGGAAUUGCAAGUCAUUGAUUCAGUUGCAGUAACAAACUUCGUGGUAAAACGUGAUACAUUUGACCUUCCACCAUUAAUUUGAACAAUUUAUUUUUGAAAAAGGUGAUGGAAGUUUUAUUGAAAUUAAGAGUAAAAUGGAUGCAAAGUGUGCUACACAUGUGUAGCCAAAUAAUAUAAUUCACUCUAAACUCAUCCUCUAUAUUGAGCUUUCUACAGGAGUUUCCACUUUUACUGAAUCUGAUGUUUUUCUUUGUUUUUCUUUUGCAUAAUUUGGAGCUGGUUCAAUGUAAUGUUCUGCAUAAUUUGGAGGGAGCUUGAGGGAUUUUUUCAUAGUUUGGAGUGAUAGAGAAAGCUUGAUGCAUAAUGAAAGACACAUGUUUUGUUAUUUGACUUCGCAGAUUAUAUGUUUUCAAAGCGACAUAUGUCUCGACUCUACAUUUUCAUAGUUCAAAAUUGGAUUUUAGCAAUUUGAAGAUCUAUUGAUGUGAUUACAAGUUGUGUUAUAAAAUUUAAUAGAUGUUUGCUUGCUUAUAAGGUUGUACAAUUCUUUCAAAAAAAAAAAAAAAAGGUUGGACAAUUGGUAGUACAUUUCAAAAUUCAAAGAAGUAAACUUCCAUGAGUAGUCUAGGUUUGAAUGUGUGUUGCAGAUUUUUCUUUAAUUGUUUUAUCUUAAUGUCAUAUGUCCUUCAAUAUAUAUUAGCAAACUAAAAGAAGAAUGUAUUACAACACCAUAUGCUUUUGAAAGAAGCAUUUUGGUAGUUUAUCAAAAUGGCAUUGUUUUCACUUAUUAUAAAUGUUUUUGGAUUAAUAUAUAGAUUUAAUAAAAGAUAUGAAUAGUUGAUGUCAAUUUACUAAUCAUUUCAGUAAAUUAAUAUUUAUUUGUGUAAAAUAUGAUAAUAUUAUUCUCUAUAUUAGUAUAUUCAUACUCCACUUGAGUGUUCCCGCUCUUUUUUAAAUUCCAUUUAUUUUAUUUUGUAUCAAAUUCCGACUCAUAAGACCCGUGCGACGUAUGGGUUGGCGUUCUAGUUUAUAUAUAAAAACAAUAAAAUACAACUUUCGAAGGGGAAGCGAUUUGGCUCAACCUCACAAAGGAAAAAUUAAUUUGAUGACUUGGAAACUAAAGCAUGCAUAUUUAUUAUAAGGGGUUUUUCUAUAAUAGAAUAAUAUACUUUUUUUUUUUGCUUUCGCAUCGGUUUUCGACCCAUCAAAGGUGAGCGACUAAUUCGGCUCAUGCGUAAAGGCAUGCGCACUGACCAAAUGUUGUUCCCCCUGGAAAUCGAACCUGAUAUUCCUCGAAAACGUCCUUGGAAGGAGCUCCUUGCCACUGGAGCCCAAACAACUUUGUUAGAAUAAUAUACUUUAGUUAAUACUUCACGUACUUAUUUUACUUUUUCCCUCAAUAAUCGAGAUUUAAAAAUAAAAUAAAAUUGUACUAUAGUUCUUAUUAUAAGAAACAAAACCAAAAAACAUUAAUAUCAAAGUGGAGAAGGGUAAUGCUGUAAAUUCCACUUAAUUAAUUAAAAGCAGAAACCUCUUUCACACCAAAAGACACAUAUGUUUUGUCGCAGGCUACGAUUUUCAACAACCUCUUUCAAAAGUCAGUGCAGUUUGCAACAAUUAAAUCAUCUCAUCAACUUGCAAAAUAUAAUAAUAAUUUUUUUUUAACAGGAAAAUAUAAUAAUAAUAAUUAAUCAUCACAAUUAACAAGUUGUCAAUAAAUCAUCACAAUUAAUAAAUUAUAUCAUUGCAAAUAACUCAUCUGAAAAUGUAGAUAAAAAACCAACGAAUUGGUUCAUCGUCAAUGGCUUUUUCCAUUAAAAAAAAAGUUAGUAGCUUUAAGCAUUUUUUUUUUUUUGAAGGAAUAGUAGCUUUAAGCAUGUAUGCCAGGCUAAUCGACACAUUGCAAGUGCAAAAAUAGGGAGCAGUUAUAUAUGUUUUUAUUUAAUUUGAAAGAUAAAUUGUAAUUACCAAAAAUACCCUUUAAGUUUAAGUGACAUACAAUAGUGGGAUUUGGGUUUUUAGUUAAAACAAUGUGGGUGUAGCUUGCUAACUUGCACCUUAGUGUUUUUAGGUGGGUGUAAGUUAGCAGCCCCAAUGUUCUUAAAACACAUAUUCUAUAAAAUAAGUGGGUGUAUGUUAGCAACUCCUAUAUGCAUUUGCUAAGAUACACCCACUUAUCUUCUAUAAAAUAAGUGGGUGUAUGUUAGCAACUCCUAUAUGCAUUUGCUAGGAUACACCCACUUAUUUUUUAGAAGGUGUGUUUUAGCAACUCCUAUAGACAUUUGCUAGGAUACACCCACUUAUUUUUUUAGAAAGUGUAUGUUAGCAACUCCUAUAUGCAUUUUCUAGGAUAUAUAUAUAUAUAUAUUGUUAUAGUACUCCCUCCGUCCUUAUAUCUAAGCACCUUUUACAUUUUUCACAUUUCUUAAGAAAAGUUGUUGGUGCAAUUAAUGUGUCUAUUUUGUGUGUUAAUAUUACCAAAUUGUUAUUUGUUUGUAUGUGUAUUAAAUUUGACUUUUCAUAUUUUAAGAUAAGUUAGUAGUAUUAAUUAGGGGUAUGUUUAGGAAAAAAUAAUAAAUGCAUAUAGUAAUUCAAAAGGGAUUUACAUCUAAGGACAAAAAUAAAGUUAAAUGUGUGCUUAGAUAUAAACUCUAAACGUUUUGGUGGUUGAAAGCGAAUUACAUCAUGUUCGAUUUUGACUAUCCUUAUUGGAGGAAAAAUCCUUUACUUUGUUUACAGACUGCUUUGUAAUGUCUGUUUCUGUUUUCUUGGAUUAUUGUUGUGUAACUAAUAUUGUUUAGUCCUCUUAAGCACACCUUGUGCUUGAGGGAUUGGUUAUUUCUUUAAUAUAUUUUGCUUAGUUUCUUAAAAAAAAAAAAAAAAAAGGAGCGAUCAGAUAUUUUUAGAAUAAGAUUUUAAUUCCUUUUUCUAAGGGAAGGUGAAUGUAGGUUUUAAAUUUGUUUUUGACAUCUCAAAUCCAAAAAAAAAAAAAAAAAAAAAAGUUAGAAUUUGCCUAAAUGGAUACGGAGAUGUUUCAACACAAACAAUUAUGAUAUAUUUGCUUUCUCAUUUUAAAUUUUGAAUAACAUAACCUCCCCCAACAACUUCCUCUCUCGCCCUUUUCCAAUAUCUUUCUUUAAUCUAUCCCCUAAUCCUCCACUUUCAUAUUAUCAAUUCAUUAUCUUUUUUAAAACAUUUUAUUAGUUCAAGAGCAGAAGGGGGAAUGAAUCCUCUGCAGUGACUGCAGAGUCCAGUUAAAUCUAAGCCUUUGAACACAAUUAAAUACUUAAAAAUAUAUAUGUUAAAAACUUGAAAUUAGGAGAGAUAAUGAAUUUAAUGGUUUAGAUUCCCACAUUGCGGAAAAUAGGAGAAAAACACACUGGAGCAAAUCCUCUCCCACAUAGGGGAAGUUGAGAGGAAAGUGUCAUAGCAUUGGAGAAUGUGAUUGUGUGAAGUGGUUCCGUAAUGAUAUGAUAUGGUGGUGGGGUGACAGGUAUAGAAUAUGAUAUCUUUUCAAAUCUCAAAAACCUAAAUUCAAUUACUACACCAAAUCAUCUUUUUAUUUGGUCAUCGUAAAAAUCUCAAAAUUGAUGAUUCGUCAAAUCUUUUUUGGUUUGAUCAUAAAAAAAAUCUUAAAGAGAUCGAAAGUGACAAAGAUAUAAUUAAAUAUUGAUGGAAGAGACUCAAUUGAGUAAUAUUAAGCAACCAAGAUAGAACAAAAAUUAAUCAAGGGAUAUUCUUCGUUGCUAAUGCUAAGGCAUGGGUUACUUUAUAUUUUUGAGGAAAAAUAAAUAUUACCUCGGUUCCUAUAUAUAAGACAUUUUUGUCAAAAUCACGGAAAUUAAGAAAGUAGGUAUUUAUAUUAAAGUUGUUUGUAAUCACUAUUGUUUUUAUAAUUUUAUCCUUUAAGAUGGAGAGUUAGUUUAUGUUUUGAACAUGUUAUUUAUUGUUGAUUGAAGAAAAUAAUGUGAAAUAAAUAAGGGUAUGUAUGUAAAUAAAUAAUAAAUCUAUUUAGAAAUAACAAAAGGGUCUUAUAAAAAGGGACAACAUAUUUUUUUAAAAAGGUCUUAUAAUUAAGGACGGAGGUAGUAUUAUUUGAUGAAAUUUUCUAUUCGUGCAAUCUGUUUACAUACAUAAUUUAUUAGACUUGAAAAACAUGGGGUGUUUGGAUUAAAUUAGGGUGCAAGUAGAAAAACUCUAAACUAGAAUGCACGAGCAUCAAAAUCAACUCGUUAGUUGAAUCAAUGAAAACUCAAUAGACUUGAUAAUUGAGCAUUUUACUUGUGCUCCAUGUUUAUAUCACCACCAACUAAAGAAAACUAGAAGCACGAAACCACAUUUAGGGUGUGUUUGGAUUGUAAGAGAAAUUGUGAAGAGAGAAAUAGGUGAGAGAGAGUAUGAGAAGAGAGAAGUAUGUGAGAAAUAGAGUAGAUUUGAGGGGUUGUUUGGUACAAGAGAUAUAUGAGAGAAAUAGAAGAGAGAGAAUGUCAUUAUUUUUGAAAUGACCAAAAUGCCUUUCCUAUUAAUAUUAGUGUUACUAAUUUAAUUAUGUGAAUUUUCCUUUAAAAUGAUGAAAUGGUUAGUUAUUAAAUUAUUUUUCUUACCUUACACGACGGAAGAAGUGAAUUCACUAAAAUAAUUUAUUUCAACUAAUUUUUUUCAAUUAUUAAUUAAUUAAAUUUAUGGAAGUUAACCUAAAUUAACAUAUGCAAUGCGAAUGGUGACCCAACAGCCCCAAACCUCAUCUUUUUCAUUUGCUUUCCCAAUUCUUUUUCUCCUCCAACACUUACCCAUUUUUUCAAUGAACCAUAAUCCCAAAUGAACAACUUCUUCACCAUAAGCCUCCUCAAAAUUGCAAUUACAAGUAUAGUAAGAUUCCUUUUAAACGGGUCAUUUCUAUUUCACUUUCAUUAGAGAAUUUCUUCAACUUGGCGGUGCUAAAAAUGAAGAAAAGAGGGAAUAGAUGACAAGGGUAUAAAUGGAAUAGAAAAUAUUAGCUUCUCUCUUUCUCUUUUCUUCGCACUUCAGCGAAGACAGCAAAAAUCUGUGGGCCCCACUAUUCUUUGGUCUCUCUUCUCUAUUUCUCACCAAACCAAACAGAGGAAGUUGUGCUUCUCUCUUCUUUUUCUCUCUUCAAUGGCUCUCUCGCUGCUAUUUCUACUCAACCAAACAAGGCGUUAGAGUGAGGUGUGCACGAUAGAAAAAAUAAAAAAUGCUAGUAAACUGAAAAAUCAAGCCAAACGUGGGGCGUCGUGUAUCUCCUAAAAUGAGAGAAUUCAUUAAUUAUCCGCGUAAAUGGUCGACCAACACUAAAUUCAAUAGGUCAUAAUGUUUUGGCUAGUAGGACAAAUGUAUACAGUAUACCAAUAAAUAACCAGAUUUGUAAAUUACCCAUCGCUUGAUGAAAUUUUUAUACAACACGUUAACCACCACUCUUAAAAUUUUGGAUCAAUUAAGUAAAUGGUCCCUAUAAAUAUUCAAAAUUAUAUUUUUAGUCCCUACAAAAUAAAAUUACAUUUUUUAGUCCCUAUAAAAUUUUUCAUCAGCAUUUUUAGUCAUUAUAAAAUUUUUUCAUUAGCAUAUUUAAUCCCUGUAAAAAAUUUCUAACAACAUUUUUUGUCCCUAAAAUGCUUAAGGAAAAUGUAAUAGGGACUAAAAAAUGUGAUUUUAUAUUUUGUAAAGACUAAAAACAAAACUGUGAAUAUUUACAGAACUAAACUUAAUUAACACUAAAAUCUUUAUCUAUAACAUAUUCAUAUCUUGGCCAUUUUUUUCAUCAUAAAAUACGGUUGAGAUGUACCACUCAAUUACUUUCGCCUAUUAUACCUUUUGACCAAAAUAUGAGUAAAUAUAUUUCUGUUUUUUAUUUUGCAAAAUUUCUCAUGAACCAAAUGAAUAUUAACGGUAGAAUUUCGGCUGUUGCUUUUCCAGAACUUGAACCAUCAACAAACUUACAUCUCUUGUGGUAGACCAUAUCUUCUUAGGCGAAGAAACCCUCACAUGAUCAGAAAUUGGGACUACACACGUCUAUUUAUUCAUGUGAACAAGCUUGUUAUCUUGACAAAUUCCAACUUGGUGGCCAUAUUUCCCACAACUAAAACACACAACAUGUAAUCCUUCUUUUUCAAGAUUAAGUACAAGACCUAAAAUACUUAUAGUGAACUUUAGAAUGAGUUUCUUGUCCAUAUCCAUUUUUAUAUAAGAGAUUUGCUAGAACACACCCAUUAGUUUUUAUGUGUGAAUGUUUUAGCAAGCUACACCUUAGGAUGUAUUUAACUACUUUUUAUUUAUAACUUGCUAAAACACUCAUUCUAAAAAAUAAGUGGGUGUAUUCUAGCAAAUGCAUACAGGAGUUGCUAACAUACACCCACUUAUUUUUUAGAAACGGUGUUUUAGCAACAUUCAUCUUAAGGUGCAUUUAACAAUUUUUUAGUUAUAUCUUUGUUAAAACACACCUUAAUAAAAACUAGUGGAUGUAUCCUUGCAAAAACCCCAUAUAUUUAUUACAUAAAUCUGCUGCAAAGCUACUACUUUGACUGAAAUGUUAGAAAUAGGACUAGACCAAAACACACCCUUCCAUCACUGUAACAGCCUUCCCACGCAAAAACACUCUUUGUUUUUGUUCAUCAAUAUGAAUAUUGAGAAUUCCCCCUCUAGCUGAUGCCUGAACAAAUGUAAUCUAAAAUUUAGUACCACAAUAACAAAAAUAAUCAUAAUGAGGGAAUAGAAAAGAUAGUAAUAAUAGUACUACCUGAUAAGCCUUUAAAUCACACUUUCCUAGUUUCUUGCUCCAAUAGGAUGCCAAUCCACAAUGUGCACUCCCACAAACUGGAUCCUGAAAAGAAAAAUGAGUUACUAUCAGCAUUUUUUUGGAGGCAUUAGUAAUGUAAUUGGAAGAAGAUUAUAUAAUCAUAGUUCAACCUCAUUUACUCCAAAUUUUGGGCAGAAAAAUCGACUGUAGAAAUCAAAUCCCGACUCUGGAGGAGCGAUCCCUGUAACAAUUAUCCCCCUUCCAGGAGAUUUUACAAUUGCAUCAAAUUGUGGUUGCACUUCUAUGACAUUCUUUCCAGAUGUGACAACAACCUAGGAGAAAUAAUAAGCUUCAUAAUGUUCUAUAUGCACAUAUUGCAAAAAAUAUUCAAUCUGUUUUUUCAAAUACAUUUUCAAAAACUUCAAAUAACAUCUUCUCUAAAAAAAGAAUUAUCAAUAGAAAUGGAAAGAAAAAAAAAAAAAAAAGAAUUAUUAGGAAUUACAAGUAAGUCAUCUUGAAUUUGUGUCCUCUUUAUAUCAAUUAUGGAAGCUCCAUCCAAUGCUUGAGAAAUGAGCCAAGUGUCGUCGAAUUUGAACUCUGUGAUAGGGUCAGCAGGAAAAUCCAAUUCAAUAUAAGAUACAUCCUUGGCUUUACCAUUUUGCAAAUUCUUCUUAUCACUAGUGCCAUUGAUCGCUGAGAUCUUUUUGGCAGUUAACAUUCCAGAUAGUGUCACAAAUUCAAUAGUAACAUUGUUGUCCACUAAACCAGAUGCAAAGAGUGCAUGAGAAGCUGCUAAUGUGGCAUGGGCACAAAUAUUAACCUGUAUUAUAAUAUGAUCCAGAUAAUAAUGUUAGUAAUAGUUGACAAAAAAAAAAUGUUUUUUUUGUUACCGACAAAAAAAAAUGUUAAUAAUAAUUAAACAUUGCAUUUAAUAAACAUAUACUAUAUAUUAUGUUGCAUCGGUACGUGUAUCGUGACGUAACAAUACAAGCACGAAAAAUGACAAUUUUAAAAGUAAUAAGGUACCAAUGCAGAGGGAAGACAAUGGUCCAAUGGGUACCGUUGGGCAGGGUACAAUAGGGGUAGCACUUGAGUGAUAUAGAGUUGGGUACAAGCAUUGUGACACUGUGAUUGACCAAUGUCACCAAACUCUAUGUCAUCCAAGUACUAUCCGGUACUAUAGUGCUCAAUCUCAUACCCGCUUUAUAAAAAUUGUUCUUACCCGGCCACGUUUAUAAAAUAAGAGUUUUAUAACAUGUUAAAAUUUUCAAUUUACAAUAAAAGCAUGAAUGAGGAAUAAUGGAGUAGUAGACAAGUACUCAUGUUUCAGAGACUGCAUAUGUUCACGAAAGUUGGUCCAACUCGCAAGGAGUUGAUUGUUAUCCCACAAUAUUGUGACUUCAAAUACAGCAGAAAUCGGGUGAAUAGACUUCGCUGGUAAACAAUUUAGUAAGUAUCCCUAUCAAUAGUUUAUGAAUCUUGAGACGUGCUCCGAUUCUGAUGAGCCCCCAAGACCUAACUCAUCUACUUAUGAAGAAGAAAAAAAGUGUGAGAGUUUGUGGUACUGGAUAAUUAGUUGUACUAUACCUCAACAAUGGGAGUAAACCAUCUAAGACGAAAACGGGGAUUAGUAGUUCCCUUGACAGGAAUCAAAUAGCAGGUAACAUUGAUGUUGAACUCAGCUGCUAAUACUUGCAACCAUUCAUCAUCCUUCUCUUGAUCUAACAAACACACUGCUGCAGGGUUCCCCUUGAACGCCAACUCAGUAAAAGCAUCCACCUGUGUAAUAACAUUAGCAUUAUUAACUAUAUUUCAUCAACAAUAACUAAGUUCAGAUUCAAACAAAAUAAACUCACCACAUAGUAUUUCACUGGUUUCUCUGACAUUGGCAUAUUAUAUGAACAGGUGUUAGUUAGUGCUAUAUAAAAUGGAAUGUCAAACUCAAAGUUGUUAUUUCAUAAUAUGAACACAACCUACUCCAACAUGUUCCAAAGUAUAUACAGACACUGAUGUAGUAAUGUUUGUCUUGUAUGAUUUUAAAAAGAUUCUUUAUGUUUCCUCGUGGCCAGUUUGGCAAUAACAUUGCCGGUAGUUUUGGACAUGGGCACACAUUCUCCUGUAUGUCGUGUUACGUCUCUGUCCCAAGAUUGUACCUUCUUCUUGAACAACAUUGUGGGAGUAAAUAUGGUUAAAAGGUGUGUUAUUUGAACGAUCAUUUGCAUGACAACUUACGAAACAAUCAUAAAUUUACAAAGAAAAUUAGAUAAAUAAUAGAGAGAAAAAGUAAAAAUAUAAUGUAUGUAUGAAAGAGAAAGUUAUCACAGAUUAAAUGUACAAAUAUUAUUUCUCUACUUUUAACUUAAACAAGGGAAUUAUUUAUUUGUUUGACUUAUGAGUACAGAAGUGUGCCCUACCCUCUGGCUUUGCCUCAAGCUCUCUGCUCCAGUCCAUGUUUUAAAGGAAAAAGCUAAGUUGUGCGAGACAGUGGCCUACGGAGAAAAUCACUUACUCAUGAAAAUUAGUUAUUUAUUUUGUUAAAUAAAACACUCAUUAUAGGAUGUAGAGGGAGGAUCAAUGCUACUUUUAAAAAGGUCAAGGAUCUAUAAUGCUCUAUGUGAAAAGGCAACGUUGAGAAUAGACAAAUAUUGAACUCCCAACAAUGUUUAGUGAAAAGCUUGAAUGUCCAGCUUCAUCAAAUCACGGUAAAAUGGAUAUUGAGGCGCGAGAAUUUUGGUUUCAGCGUGAAACCAAACAGGCCACUCGUCACAACUCACAAGUUCAACCGAUAACUUACUACCUCCUCAAUUAUUUGCCCUCUGACAAGCAUAUGAUUCAUGAUUGACUUGACUAAUUCGUAAUCCUAUGUUUAAUUACCCUAGCAAAACAAUUAUCCAACGUCUCAUAAUUUUUUAUUUUUUUUUUAAGAAUAAUAUUUUAUUGAUUGAUUAAUUGAUAGCAACAAGAAAGUAGCCGAUUGGAAUGGUCUUGCAUCAGUCUUACUUUUCUUUUUUAAAAAAAAUCAAUUUUACUUCUUAUACUUGUAUAUCUUUUUUGUCAAAAAAAAAAAAAAAAUAUUUGUAUAUCUUUAUAAAUAGAGCCUAGAAUCGGGAGUUGAGCCACAAGUAUAGAAAAAUCAAGUUUAUCAUGUUAACUUGUGCCCUAAUCAAAAAUAAAUAAAUUCUUGUAUUGUGAAUAUAAAUAAUUAAACAUUAACAACAUUGAAUGCAAAAAUUCUAAAAAGAUAUUUUUAUCUUUAGCUUUUUAACUCGUGUCUAUAUAUUGCCAUUUCCUUUUUAUUAAUAUUUUUUACAAUAAUGUGGAUCGUUGGAAUCGUCUCAACACUUAUUUUUACAUUGUAAUUUUUUUGGAUCUGUUUGGCACUUCAUUUAUAGGUGGUUAGGUUUGUCCGUGGCUGCCCCUUUACAGGUGUCGGAUCAUUUUGCUCAGUUUACUAGUAGUGCUGAUACCACUAAGGUGCACCAUUCUAUUCUUCAGGUUAUUUGGUUUGCUGUAGUUUGGGAAAUAUGGAAGGAAAGAAACAAUAGGUUGUUCAAUGUCAAAGAUUGCUCGGUUAUCCAGGUGAUCGAUAAGAUUAAGUCGCUUGCUUUUACGUGGUUGAGGACGAAGUUUAUUUCUCUUUCCUUCAAUUACCAUUGGUGGUGGCUUAGUCCGUUUACCAUUUUAGGCAUUGGCUAAGAGUUUCUUUUCUGUUUUUGUUUAUGAUCUCUUAGGUAACUUUUGUAUAUAUUGUUCUUGACUCUGAUGUCCUUUCCUGAGUAUGUCUUGUGCUCGGAAAGACUUUUUUGAAGUAGUAUUAUAAUUCAUUUUAGCUUCUUCAAAAAAAAAUAUUUUUUACAAUAAACAUGUAUUUGAUUUGUUAAAAAACCAAGAACCGGGUAAGACAAAUACUUUUGUCCAACGUUUGAUUUAAAAAGCAAUAAAGAACUGCACAAAAUAAUGAUUUGAAAAAGCAAUAAGGACAUCACAAAAAAAGAAAUGGAAUAGACAUCUACCCUUUUUUUGCACCGUACCAAAUUAGUGGACAAAGUUUUGUUUAGAGUUUUUUUUUUUUGCUUAAAUGGAAAUACUGUUUUACAUCUUCACCAACUUUUAAAAAGUUGUUUUUAAUAAAAAAAUAAAUUAUUUUUAACUUUCAUUUAUCUCUUAUCUUUUCGAGAAUUGCUGAUCCCACAUUACAUAAGGCUGUGCCACACGAGUAAAUGUCGUUUUUACCCCUGCGGCAGUUAACUACCGAAGUUUGGAACCGGCUGCAGUUAACUUCCGAAGUUCCUUCGACAGUUAACUGCCGACGCAAAAAAUAAAAAAAAUAAAUGCCGAGGAACUCAUCAAUUUUUUUUUUAUGUUUGAGAUAUCCCACAUGGAACUCUUGAACUCAGUAUGGCACAAUCAACUAGCCCCAAAAUCCUUCGGCACGCUGAAGUAGUUGAAAAUUAAAUCCUGCAGUAAAUUAUCAAAGGUAUUUCCAUCUUAUGUUCUGGAUAAAUUGCAGAAGCUGGAGACGGUGAUAGUAACUGAUUGUCCUGCUCUGAAAGUUGUAUUUGAAACACAAAGUCUACAAGCAGAUGGAGGUAUGCAUAUAAGGUUGGAUAUGCAAUUGAAAACUCUCACUUUGAAGAAUUUACCGAUGUUGAAGCACAUAUGGCAUGGAAUCCUAAUGAAAGCAUCAAGUUCCGAAACAUCUGCCUAUUGGGAGUUAUUGAAUGCAAAGCCCUUAAUUAUGUUCUUCCCCUCUCCACGUACAUCUCAAACAUAAAAAAAAAAAAAUUAUGAGUUCCUCGGCAGUAAAGUGACGAGGUUUUUUUUUUUCGUCGGUAGUUAACUGCAGCCGGUUCCAAACUUCGGUAGUUAACUGCCGCAGGGGCAAAAACGUCAUUUACUCGUGUGGCACAGCCUUAUGUAAUGUGGGAACAACAAUUCUCUAUCUUUUCCAGUUUUUCUUUUUUACCUUUCCUUACUUUGUGCGUUACGAUGAUUAUGAUAUCUCUUUUUUGCGUUGUUUAAAAGUUUAAUGUAAAAAAUUUAUCUUAGAAAUUGUACAUUCAAGACAUUGAACCAACACCAACAAUAAAUAACUUUUUCUACAUAAAAUUUAUCAAUUAUUUCUAUUUUUGAAUCAUUAACAAGUUUUCUAAGGUCAUUUGUUAAAAUAAUUCAAAAAAUUUAAAAUUUUGUUGUGUCUUUGCAUAGUGAAAACCAAACAUUGCACAUCAUAAAGGGUAUUGUAGUAAAUGUUACAUUAUUUUGUCUUGUGCAUUAACAUAUCAAACAAGGUACAAUACAAAAACUGUUUGUCCUGUGCAUCAACCAUCAAACACAACGGCGAUACAAUUUUUUUUCUCCAGUAUCCAACCUUUUGCAAAUCAAAGUCACCCUGAACGAACAAAUUAAAGCCCAAUGAGGUAGGAUAAAAUUUGACUAUAGUCUACACUAAUAAACCAAUAUACUACUAUUUAAUACAUUAAAAGUCUUUCUUUCGAACUAGUGUCUUUUGUGCUAUGAAUUUUUAUCAAAAAUUGGACGUCAAAUCAUAUGAUGAAUGAAUGUUUAAAUGAUUGUUUGAUUAUUUAUAUUAAAAGAGAUACUUUUAUAGUUUUAUUGACAUUGAAACUGAGCAAAUGAUUUAAUAUUCAAAUGAUAUAAAAAAAUCGCAUAGAACAAUUAUCAUAUAUAUAUCCCUCUGUAAAAAAAAAUUAUAAUACUCCCUCCGUCCUAAAUUGUAUGAUGUUUUGGGCAUUUCAUACAUAUUAAGAAAUGUAAUUAAUAUUGUGUGGGAAAGAGAUAUUAUGAGUUGUUUUACAAAAUUAUCCUCAAUAAAUGAUAUGAGAAAGAUAAAUGAAGGAAUUGAAAGAAGAGAGAGUAAUAAAUAGUUAAGGAUAUAAUAGGAAAAGUAAAUUAAUUUUUCAUUGGUAUUGUAAAGCGAUAUAUAAUUUGAGACAAAUAUUUUUUCUAAAGUAACAUACAAUUUGGGACGGAAGGAGUAUACAUUUAUACUUUAAAAUCUAAAAUAUUAUAUGUUUUCUACGCUCGCUAGAAAGAGUAUACUCUCUGUUCUUUUUAGCUAUUAUUUCAGAGUUAUUUGUAUAUACCAAAGAAAAUUAGUAAAUGUUACUAUAUUAAUUCCCCUAAAAAAUGUUAUAUUACUUUUGUUGAUAUUAUAUUUUAUCUUUAUAAUAUUUUUAACAAUUUAUUAUCUCAUUUCAACUAUUGUUCUCCUUGUAAUAAAUUGCACUUUUUCUUCCUAUAGUUUGCCAAUUGUGCAAUUUUGCACCCCAUAGUUUUAAACGAGCAUCCCCUAUAGUUUUUCCCCUUUCUGAUUUUAUGGUCCCCAUGACAUUUAAUGCUGAUAUGUUUGUUUCACGUGCCCCCUUCUCUCAAAAUCUGAAAAAUACCAUUUUUUUUAUUUUUUAAAAAAUGGAAUUACACACGUGGAACACAUUAAUUGAUAAAAAAAUCAGCACUAAAUGUCAUGGGGACCAUAAAAUCAGAAAGGGGGAAAACUAUAAGGGGCAAAAUCGCUCGUUUAAAACUAUGGGGUGCAAAAUCGCACAAUUGGCAAACUAUAGGGGGGAAAAGUGCAAUUAAGCCUACAAUAAUUAAUGUCACGUUCAAUUUUAAAAUUUUAAAAAUGAAAGUUAAAAAUGAACACAAGAGCGUUUAUAUUAGAUUACACCGAUAUGUUCUCGUGAGCUUAGCUCAGCUGGUAUGAACAAAUGCAUAAUAUAUGCAAAGUUUGGAGUUGAAACCCCAGCCACCACCAAAAAAGAUUACACCGAUCUCUUAUAACUUAACUAAGUUUGAGUUCGAAUUAGUUUUAAGCAUGUUAAUGUUUCUCCCUUAAAGGCAUGUGUGCAAAUAGGAUCCAUACACACUAUUCAUAUCAUGAACAAAGUACAGCACAAAGUAUUUAUUUAUUCAAGUCAUUAACUUGAAUGAGGAUUCAAGUAUCAAAAAUGAAAAUCCAAUUUUAGAAUAUUUAUUUAUCACCCCAACAUGGAUUUUGGAAGUUGGGUAUAUUUUUUUCAAUGUUACACAAGAGUUUAAAAAACACAUCUGCUAUGAGUGCAAGUUUGCUACUACUUUGACUGCAAUGUUAAGAAUUGGAUUAGACCAAAACACACCCUUCCAUAACUGUAAUAGCCUUCCCACGUAAAAACACUCUUUGUUUCUGUUCAUCAAUAUGAAUAUUGAGAACUCCUCCCCUAGUUGAUGCCUGCACAAAUGUAAUCUACAGUUUAGUACAACAAUGACAGAGAUAACCCAAUGAGAGAAAAUGGUAGAAUAGUACUCUCUCUCUCUCUCUAUCCCACAACAAGUAAUAAUAAUAUAUUUGAAAAAAAUGUGUUUCAAAAUGAGUGUCACUCUCAAUUUUCAACCUAAUAUUAAUUUCUUUUCUCUAAUUAUACUUUCUGAUUAGUAAUUAUGUGCAUCACUUUCAAGUCAAUAACUUCCUUAGUACGUGUAAAAUAAGCAAAUAUGACGCUUAUCGUGGAAUAGAGAGUACCUGAUAAGCCUUUAAAUCACAUUUUUCGAGCUUCUUGCUCCAAUAGGAUGCCAAGCCACAGUGGGCACUCCCACAAACAGGAUCCUGAACCAAAUAUGAGUUAUCAACAAUAUUAUCUAAUUUCUUCUAUUUUCAUAUCUUCAAUUGAAUAUAGACUGGACUUGCUUUCUAUAAUAUCCUUUUUUUCUUAGAAAUGACCAGCAUUGGACCUUGUAAUUUGUAAACAUAGGUAGUAAUAACAAUAUUAUAACUAAAGUAUACACUCAGAAGAGAACUAAUGUUGUGUUAAAAUACUCAAAUUCUGAACCUUACCUUGGAUAUUGUAUAUUCAACUCUUCAAUCCAUUUGCAUUGUUAAGAAGACCUUAACAAUGCAAUUGGAGGAACAUUAUAUUCAUAGUUCUCAACCACUUACCUCAUUGAUUCCAAAUUUUGGGGCGAAGAAUCGACUGUAGAAGUCAAAUCCAGACUCUGGAGGAGCAAUCCCGGUAACAAUUAAUCCCCUUCCAGGUAAUUUAGCAAUUGCAUCCAGUUGUGGCUGUAUUUCUGUGACAUUUUUUCCAGAUGCGACCACAACCUAGAAGAAAUAAUAAGCUUACCAAUUUUGAAUGUGCACAAAUUACACAAAACAUAGUUGCAGUUUUGCAUUUAAGUAGACUUUGUUCGCAGUCUUUCUGCUAGUUACUAAAUAUUGUGUUAAUAAAUAUGAAAGUUAGAAGACUAAGGAAUUACAAGUAAAUCUUCUCCUGUUUUCUUUAUAUCAAUUAUGGAAGCACCAUUUGUUGCCUCAGAAAUGAGUGAAGUAUCAUCAGAAUUGAAUUCUGCAACAGGGUAAGCAGGAAAAUCCAUUUCAAUAUAAAAUCCAGCUGCAGCUUCACUAUUCAGCAAAUUCGGCACACCAGUCACAUCCAUCGAUGGGAUCUUUCUAACUGUUAAAACUCCAGACAGUGUCACAAAUUCAAUAACAUUCUUGUCCACCAAACCAGAUGAAAACAGUGUGUGUGCAGCUGCUAAUGUAGCAUGGCCACAAAGAUUAACCUGUAGUAGUAUUAUAAUAAGAUCCAUAUAAUGUUAAUACAAAUUGUUUAUAUAAUGUAUUUAAUAGCCUAUGUCUAAGAAUAUUGAAAAGUCUCUGAUUAAAAACAAGUGUGUGUGAUUUUAUGAACAUAAAUUGUACCUCAACAACAGGAGUAAACCAUCUAAGACCAAAACGAGGAAUAGAGGUUCCAUGAAUAGAAGUCAGAUAACAUGUUUCCGAGAUGUUGAAUUCAGCAGCUACUGAUUGCAACCAUUCAUCAUCUUUAUCUUCUUCUAAUAAACACACAGCUGCUGGAUUCCCUUUGAAUGCUGAAUCGGUGAAUGCAUCAACCUGUGUAUGUACAUCAUCAUAUUACUCAGAUUCACACAACAGCUAUGUUUUUUUGUACAGUAAUAAUAACAAAUACAGUUAACAGUUAAAUAAAUAAGCAAACAUACCACGUAGUAUUUGACAUGUUUCUUUGCCAUUUGAUGAUGAGGGAACAAGUGUUGGAGAUAAAACUGGUCAAAGCCCCUAUGGAUGCUGUGGACACAGUCAAUCCACCUCAAUAAUAUAUAGUAAAUGAAAAUCAAAUACACACACACAUGUUUUGAAUCUGGACCUCUGUACCAAAAAAAUAUUAAAUAAUAUGGACCCCUAUAAUUAUAAUAAUAGGCAAUUGCUAAGAAGGGAAAGUGUCUCAUGUGAUAUACCAAGGUUGUUUCCAACUGAACUUGAUACUUCAUCUUUAGGUCUAUCAUCACCUCUCAAGAUAUGUAUUAUUCUAAACCUUUCACCCACCUUAAUGAAGUAAUAUAUAUUAAUUUCAGCGUUAGAAUGUCAGCAUUACAUCCCUACCAUUGGACUUUGUCUUGUCUCCGAGGCAGUCCCAACCAAACAUUAUUGUCUUACGAGCAUUUCUUCCACCAAUCCGCUGUUACACUCUGAGUUCGGUAUAGAAUAAAGGCCAUUGUAACUUUUUUAAGUAGAAAGUUAAGGAUUUCCAUGUCCUUAGUACUUCAGAGAUAGUGAGCGAGAGUGUUGAUUCAGACAAAAACAAGAAAAAGGAAUAAAGUUUUCAACACUAAUAUUUUGUUUUUUCUUUCACCUAAAAAAAAUUGUUUUUCUAGUUUCUAACUCAAGAAAAAUACUUAGAUGGUCAGGACCAUUUAGACAUGUCAUCUAGAGCACACAACAAAAUAUCAUUCAAUUAUAGACGUCAACUUGAUUCAGUAUUCAAGUGUCAAAAUCGAAUUAUAGACGAUUUUAUAAUCAUCCGAAUACGGAUUUUUGGUCUAUUAUUUGCAAAGUUAUACAAGAGUUCAAAUAGACGACAUCUAUUCAUGACAUUAACAAGGUUUCCAAACAUCAAUAUCAUUUUUAUCUGCUCAUGCAUUGGAUGAAUAUGAACAACUAUUCCACUAGAUGAUGCCAACUCAAAAGCAAUCACCAGACCAAUUUAUUCAACUUAAUAAAUCCUACAACACUCAAACCAAGAUUUGUGUAUAUCAAAUACACAAAAUGCUCAGGACUAGACCAAAAUAAUUAAGUGCUCCAAUAACAAUUUUAUCAUCUGAUAGUAAUUAUUACAUGUAUUGGUGCAUGUAUUUGACUGCAAUGUUAGGACUAGGACUAGACCAAAACAGAUCCUUCCAUCACUGUAACAGCCUUCCCACGCAAAAAAACUCUUUGUUUUUGUUCAUCAAUAUGAAUAUUGAGAAUUCCCCCUCUAGCUGAUGCCUGAACAAAUGUAUUCUAAAAAUUAGUACCACAAUGACAAAGAUAAUCACAAUGAGGGAAUAGAAAAGAUAGUAAUAUAAUAGUACUACCUGAUAAGCCUUUAAAUCACACUUCCCCAACUUCUUGCUCCAAUAGGGUGCCAAGCCACAAUGUGCACUCCCACAAACAGGAUCCUGAAAGCAAAUAUAGGUUAUUAACAACAUUAUCUCAUUUCUUCUAUUUUCAUAUCUUGAUGCAGUUUAACAGUUGAAUGUCGAAGAUCAAAAUCUGAAGCUUUACUUCGACAUUCAGUAUUGAAACAUUCUAGUCGUAAUUCUUAGCCAUAUACCUCAUUGAUUCCAUGUUUCGGGCAGAAAUAUCGACUGUAGAAGUCAAAUCCGGACUCUGGAGGAGCGAUCCCUGUAACAAUUAUCCCCAUCCCGGGACAUUUAACAAUUGCAUCAAAUUGUGGUUGUACUUCUGUGACAUUUUCUCCAGAUGUGACAAGAACCUAGGAGAAGUAGUAAACAAACAGUUGAUAUUUGGCAUGUUAGAGUAAAGUAGCAUGAGAUAUAGAUAUUUACUACUCCUUUCCUCAAUAAUCAAGCAGGUUCACAGAUAUUAAAUAACAAUAACAUAUGGUCUUCAGCAUACUCUCAAGGAUAUGUUGUUUUCUUGAAAUAACAAUAACUAAGAUAUCAUUCAUGUUAUCUAUACAAAGUAACUACCAAUUUUGGUGGGACUUUGCUUAUACAAGUUUACUAUUAACAGCACUUUUUUUCUUCAAAUCUUACGGCUACCAUAACCACUAAUUAAUAUCUGCUUAUCAAACAAUAAAUAAAUGUGGAAUAGAGAAGAGGAAUUACAAGUAAAUUAUCUCCAUUUGUUGUCCUCUUUAUAUCAAUAAUGGAAGCACCAUUCAAUGCUCCAGAAAUGAGUGAAGUGUCAUUAGAAUUGAAUUCUGCAAUAGGGUCAGCAGGAAAAUCCAAUUCAAUAUAAAAUCCAACCGGAGCUUCACCGUUCUGCAAAUUCAGUGCACUAGUGACAUCGGUCCUCUUCGCAGUUAAAAUUCCAGAUCGUGUCACAAAUUCAAUAGCAUUCUUGUCCACCAAACCAGAUGAAAGUAGUGUAUGUGCAGCUGCUAGUGUGGCAUGGCCACAAAGAUUGACCUGUGGUAUUAUAAUAGCAUCCAUGUAAUGUCAAUAAUGGUAUAAAUUGCGAUUAUGAAGAUGAGUUUAUUAUCGUUACCUCUAAAUCACAAAGAUAUAAACUAAACAAACACAAAACUGUCCCUAAAAGCACAUCAAUACAAUGGCCAGAUUAGGGUAUUCUUAAAUUUCUUUAGCAUACAUUUUAGUUUUGUUGGCAUUAAUGUCUGUUUUUUUUUCUCUUUAUCAAUCAUUAAGUUUCCCUUUUGUUACGUUAGAAGCAACCUUUGUUCAAAAGAGUAACAAAAAAUUCAAUGCAAAUAACGAACAGCCGGUCUUUGGCCAAUAUUGCCUACGUUUCAGACUGCUGAGACACGCGGCAGUUGCUUUGUAUUACUACCUCCGUUCCUUUUUAAUUGUCACUUUUUGAUAUUUUACACAAACCAAGACAAUCAAUAAAUGGUACUACUUUUGAUACAAUUGUUAUUACUUUUACUAUAAUGACCUUGUUAAUUUAAUAUUUCAUUUCAUAUGUUUCUCUCUCCGCAAUAAAUAUCUAAGGGUAAUAUUGAUAAAACAACAUUUAAUGAUGCAUUGAACUUUGAAACUGACAGUUAAAUAGAAACAAAAAUUUUCUCUAAAAGUGACAAUUAAAAAGGAACGGAGGGAGUAUAAACUAAAUAUUCAAGUUUACAGUGUACAGACGGUAUUUAAAUGCUACGAUCUAGAUUACAACGUUACCUCUGAACCUUUUAAGGCCAUUUCCGCUUAUUAGUUGUUGGGUCACUAGGGGAGCCUUAGGGGACUGUCCACAUCGAGGCUAGAACAACCGCACAAGCAAGAGAGACGCCACACUCUUACCCAAAACCUCAAGGCAAUGGGUUUAUGGGUCCUCUUAAGGUGUUCAACCUUUACUAUUUUAUCCGGGACAUAUAACUCACACUUGCAAACCAACAUUAGUAACUAUGAGUCAUACUCAACUUGCUUUCAAAAAUUGUCACAUGUACUUGGCUCUUAAAUUCUACGGUUACAUUAUACAAAAAGAAAAAAGUAUGUAUGAUUUGUGGUGAUAAAUUGCAGUACCUCAGCAACAGGAGUAAACCAUCUAAGACCAAAACGAGGAAUAGAGGUUCCAUGAAUAGGAGUCAAAUAACAUGUUUCAGAGAUGUUGAAUUCAGCAGCUACUAAUUGCAACCAUUCAUCAUCUUUAUCUUCUUCUAGUAAACACACUGCUGCUGGAUUCCCUUUGAAUGCUGAAUCUGUGAAUGCAUCCACCUGAGUAUGUACCUCAUCACUCAGAUUCACACAACAGCUAUGGUUUUCUUUCACAAUAAUAACAACAGUUAUAACAUUACUCAAUGAAAUAAAUAAAUAAACAAACUACAUACCACGUAGUAUUUCACAGGUUUCUUUGCCAUUGAAGAUAUUCUAACAGUAACAGGUCUUGCUGAUGAAACUGGUCGAUGUCCCUAUGGAAUGAGCAUAUGUACUAUACACAGCUCAGCCGCCUCCAAGACUUUAAAUGAUAACAUUGUAUAAAAGUUUAUGUAAAGUGUAUUGAAAAUUAAAAUUUUUGACUUUUUUUAUAAAUUUUUUUUUCUUAUUUUAGAAUCUAAAGAGUAUUAUGAGACACUCGUUAUCAAGACCUAAUUUAUUAUAAGUGAACAACAAUACAUAUAACACCGACUGGACUGGUCAAUGGUUGUUGGAGUUUUAAUUAAAUCAUUUUCAAACAUUAUUGCUGUAGUAUAAUGAGACAAUUCUGUGGAGUAUAAGAGAAAAAAAAAAAAAAAAAAUACUCCCUCCGUCCUUAUAUAUAACACCCUUUUGCCAAAAUCACAUGAAUUAAGAUAGUGGAUAUUUGUAUUAAAGUUGUUUGUAAUCACUAUUGUUUUUACAAUUUUAUUCUUUAAGAAAGAAGGUUAUUUAUAUUUUCAACAUGUUAUUUAUUGUUGAUUGAAGAAAAAGAUGUAUAAUAAAUAGGAGCAUGUAUGUAAAGAAAUAAUUAAUGUAGUUGAAAAUAACAAAGGAGUCUUAUAAAAAGGGACAAAAAAAAUUCUCAAAAUGGUCUUAUAAUUAAGGACGGAGGGAGCAAUAUCUUCCAACAUGACGUGAUAAAAUUGACUUCUAAAGACAAAAAUCUCUUACCAACAAACAUUAUUUAUAAAAUUAAAGCAAUGAACCCUUUAGUCAAUCUUCAUCUGUUUAAUUUGUGGUCGAAAAUUUUAUAUAAAAAAAUCUCUUACGCUAAAAUUCCCAACUUUUUGAAGAUGAUUCAAAUAAGGAGAUGUUGUAUUUUACUUUAGUCAACAGUAUUAAUCAAUAUCUUAUUUGUAUUCAAUGUAAAUCUUAGGCAAUAGCCAAUUUUCUGCUCAAUUGUCUUCUAAUCUUUAAUCUAAGAAUCUUGAUGAACUACUCUCGCAUUGAAUUUAGAUUGUUGGCCGGAAAAUAGGUAAAAUUUGACCAAAAAUUGCUCAAUCAAGAAAUCGCUAGCCAUCUCGUUUUAUAUAUACACAGACACAUAUUGACAUAUAAAUCGGAUAAUCGUAAGUUUUCAUAAUUAAUAAUUAAAAUCUUAUUUCAUAAGCUACAACAGAGAAAACCAACAAUCAACAUUUUAUUGUUGACUGAUGGUAUCAACCAAUUAAAAAUACAGGUUGGCGAUGAACUAAUUUACAGUGAUAUUUGGAAAAUAAAUUAAAAUUAACUACAGUUUGAACACUGUCCAUCCCCGUACAAAGGGAGGGGCUUGAUUUUAGUUCUGAGAAUAUCCAAUAAUGGGUUUUAUUGUAUGGACAAUGGACAGCAGUUCUGCCCAGAACAAACUACCAACUUCCUUCCUUCGACAUUCUCAGGAAAUGGGACAGAGUGAUCUUUGGGAGCUCCGGAGAAGCCCUUUUCUUCUUCUUUAUCUUAGUCGUCUUUGACGUCUCUGUGCCAUUCAGAUCAGACACCGUGUCUGACGCCAGAUUGUAGAACUGUUUACAAAAACAUCACAGCAAAAACUCUUAGUUUUUUGUGAACAUUUUUCUUCUGUCAUAAUAGAGCAUCAUAUUUUCAGCAUAUUAACAGAGGGGUAGCUUAUCUGAUACUUACCUCACAAACUCCAUGCAGCAACAAUCUAUGGAAAGGAUCUUUAAUACUAAGUUCAAGAAGGUCUCCAUCUGUGCUUUCGGUUAUGAAGGCCCGUAGACAUUCCUGGGAGUAAUGAAGGUUCCAUGUAAACGCCGACAAACAGAUUUUAAACACAGCAAAGGAAAAAAUACAACAAGCACUGAUAAUUUAGCCCCUUUUCCAUGUAACAGGACAGAGCAGCAUCAUAAUAAUCAGGUAUAUACCUCAUAACCCUCUAUGAGUUCAAAAAGAGAGCUGCGGCGAAGUGCCUCUCUUGUAUUACUACCAACUCUACGCCAACCAUUCAACACAGCCAUCUUGUCAGCAUCAAUGCGACCUUCCUUCUUUUCUAAAGAAUUUUCAAAGGCGUGAAUUAUAUUAACCUACCAAACAGAUAAAUCAGAUAGUUGUUUGUCAGUUGUGAAUUGUGAACGCACCACAUCCAUGAAAAUAUAAUCAUAGCAAUUUUCAUACGACAAUAAGCAUGUCAGCAACCCUUUCAAAAAAAAAAAAAGCAUGUCAGCAACCAGCAUACAGAUUAUAUUUUCACCUUGAUCUAAACUAAUAUAAUUCCUCACACAUGUACUCAUAGUUUCACGUGAUUAGGUAACCCACACAAACCACUACAUAUGUAAAUUUUACACAAACCAUGAUAACACUAACAAGAUCUCAAGCACUAUAAACACAAGUCACACCCUAAACAACAUUAGGACCAUCCCAUCAUAAAAAACUGCUAAAGAAACAAGGGAAAUUUUGAAGUUAUAACUAGAAGUUGCUUUGCCAAGUUAAAAGCCAAUAUUAACAAAACUGAUGCUUGUUGAAUCCAAUUACAAGGGCAUCAAAUUGCUUUCUUAAACAGUGGAAGUUUUGAAGAAAUGAUCUGCGAAAGAGAGAAAGAAAUAUAACCUCUUUGUCCAUGUCUAUAUUUCUGAAUCUGUCCCACUCCUCCACAUUAGUCAAGGAAAAUGUUGAAGGUGGAACUUCAUCACCUGUUUUAUGAACCCAAACAUUAUAAACAUAAAAAAGGGAACAACGGCCCAUAGAAAAAGGAAAGAAAGAAUAAAGCCACUAGGAUUGGACUAGUGGUGAGGGGCAUGGGUAGUUUGCACGAGGUCAUAGGUUCAAACCUCAAUGCGACCAUUGUACUCUAAGAAAGGAAAGAAAGAAUAGAUUAGAAAGUGGAUAUAAAAUUAUAAUAUCAAUUAAAGUUCCAAGCCAGUUCACUUUCACAAUAUCCUGCAUAUUUGAUGUAAAUUUUAUAUGCAUUCUCCUUCAUUCAAAUGCACUUAAAUAACAAAGCAUGCACACAGAGAAGAAAAACAUGAAACAUUAAAUAAGUUUCGUGUAUGGAAGAAUCCCAUUCUUGUUGCCUAAAUGCAACUGCAGUCUCAGGCAAAAAGAAAAGAAAAGAAAAAAAAACACCAGUAUAAGCGUUGUGAAUUACUGCAUAACACACACACAUCAGUCACACGAAUAAUUACCAAAUGGUGGUGGAGCAAACAAGCCUCUAAUUUCCUCUGCAUUUAAACGUGGCACAAGUUCCAUCAAGAGGCGGUCAUUUAACCACCUACGAGAUCUUCGAUUUGUGACCUGAAACAGUUAAAAUUAAACUCAAGUUAACUCAGAAUAAGUAAAACCAUGAAUUAAUACAAUACAAGCACUUUUAUGAAAACACAAAUAAACAAUUAGCAAAGAUUAUAGCUUCUUGUGACAUAAUUACAUAAUCUUAAUUUCAGUUCAUAGACGCGCAGUUAUGAAAUUCUUCAUUUAUCCUCCAUAUUUAAGAUGCAAGAGCGACAUAUAGAGAACAAAUUCAGCUAAUAAAUACUCUCAUUAAGGUGAGUUCAUUAGAGUAAGGAAUUUGAAAUGAAUUAAAGCUAAACAAUUAUAAUCAACCAAACAUUUCCUUUUUGGUGUUAGCCCUCUGGUUCCUGGGGAAAAGGACUCUGGUAAUACAGAGUUCGGCCGUGAGGUAGCCAAGAAUUAUUCCACUCAGGAAUCCAAAUCGGGUACCCCCGAUCGAUUCGUCCUUUGGCGGAGCUCAUUAACCACUUGAGCUUAAUCACUUGAUUACAACCAAACAUUUCUUAUAGAGUUAAAAACCAAUUAGAAAUUCUGAUUUGUUUUGUUUCAUUGAAAAGUUGAUAAAAUGUCACUCUGUCAUCUCAUAAAUACUGAUAAGUUUCAUAUUUUGUUCCAUUAUGUAUUGAUAAAAAUCCCAUAACAAAUAAAAAUAAAAAUAAAAAUAAGAACAAAAACUUCCAUUUGUUUCUUAUUUAUCUCACACACUUAACAGAGACAGUAGCAAUAGAUAAAUGCUGAAACAAAAAACAAAUGAUUAUUUUUUUCAAUUGACACAGACACACCUUUCCCGUAAAGCUUUCAAGGAACUCAAUUUUCUUUUCAAUUGACAUCGAAUUGGAUUUUGCACCAUCACCUGCAACAAAAAAAAAAAAAAAUGAAUUUUUUAUUUCAAAACACGAACCUGCAGAUGCAAAUGAAUAGUUGGAAAAUGAACCCCUGGGGUGGUUGAUCAAAUGAGAAGAAAGGAGAAGGUCGAGAUCUCUGUGCUGAAGAACCAUGAUUGUUGAUUGAUGAAGCAAGUAGAUCUAAGGAAGCGGUGAUAUAUGAGAGGAUUGAAACGAACUGAAAUUGAAUAAUGAUUUGUUUCAAGUCAAGAUAAACAAACUAGUGGAAGAGGUAUUUUUUGGUCUCUCAGGGGGAAUAUUCUUUUGCUUAAUUAAUGCAAGUACUGGACCGGGUCCGUCACACGCUAAUCACUUUCUUUUUCCUUUUUUAAAUAUAAAUUAAAAGUCAUUAUAAAUAAAUAUGAUGAAUCUAUCAACAAACUUACAUUAUUAUUAAUGUUAAUAGUAUAGAAUGACAAAUUGAAUAUGUCUACAAAAUAUGAGUUUAUGCAAGUCUAUGGAUCUGAAAUGCUGACAACGUAAAAGUUAUUGAUUAAAUUUGCAUGUGAUUAAAGUUAAUUUUUCAACUCGAAACAAAUAAACAUCGCAUAAAGACAAAAAAAAAAAUCAAAAGAAAUGUAUUCGUGCUAAGACGAUGAAAUCACUAAGCAAACGAAAGAAGACUUAAAAUAUAUGAAAAUCGUUUAGUUUGACUAGAAGAGAAAGAAAAACAAUUUAAAUGAGUAAUAUCGAGGCAAAAAUGACUCAAUAUCAGUAGAUCAAAAAGAAGAAAAGUGAUAAUGAUUCGGGUUUGGAAACGAGAUAAAAAUGGUGAGAAAAAGAGAAAAGUAUUUUUCUAUUGUAUUUCACCAAUUAAAUGUCCAUCACGAUUUUUUAAUAAGAAAAAUUAUUUUUCCAUAUUUCAUGCUUGUCGCGUGUCCUUUGAAAUUUUGAAAAAGCUAUGAAUUUCGAAUUCUAAAUUCAAAUGGGAUAUUUUGGUCAUUUUCAAUUGGAAAAAUAAUUGGAUCAACAUUCCAAACCAUGUUAAGAACAUUUGUCACCCCUUUCAACCAUCACCCCGAACACCUCAUCCUAAAGAAAUCUCCUGGCAACUAAUACCAAAUGAUUUUCAGACAAAUCAAAGAGAUGCUUGAACCUAUCAUGUAAGGGACCGUCCUUUGACCACAAAUCAAUUUAAAAAAUAAUUUAGUCACAUCAUCCACCACCCGCAACAAAUUAUCAUCAAACUAAGUCUCCACCUCCGCUUUCGCACCUCAUUAGAUAUCCACCAUAUCUUUCCAUUUAGUUGACCGUCCCUCCCUCCUUGCCCUCCUUCCUACCCGUACAUAGUGAUUAAAGCCUUAUAUCACAUAUCCCCUGAUCCACAUCCUAGAUAUUUGUUUACGUAACAAAGUUAUAUUAAACUCCCAAAUUAAAUAAUGUCUAAUCAUAAAAUUUUACUAUCUUACGUUUUUCUAUUCAUAAAAUUAAAGUGUCUCUGUCAAAGGAUGUAGUGGUUGUUAGAUUGCCAAUAUUAUGGAGAGGUUAAUUGUACACUGCACAAGUAAAAUUGUAGUGCGUAGUGCAAUAUUUUUUAUACUAUUAGAGUAAUAAAUCGUAAAAUGUUGAGACUUAUUGUUUCAAUGGUAAAAACAAGGGAAAAUUACACACACUUCCCUUGAGGUAUGUACAAAUGUCACUCACACCCCCUUGAUUUCUAAAAAAACAUUGACCUCCCUUAUAACUUAACACUGUUAUAAUUUUGACGGAAACUACUUAACUGCAAUUCUUUCCUACACUGUUACCAAACAAACAUAUUACCCUCAUGUUCAUCGAGUUACUUCCAGAAUUAAACACUGCCACCAAACUAGUUAAUUAAGUCUAAACAAUUGUUUUCAUGGCCGUUUCCACGUAAACUAUAAUGAAAAAACUCAAUUGCCAAAUUUAAAAUUUCUUAAACACGUUCCUUAAUCUCCAAUAAAUAUUUCAAUUCUUGCAUUCUUGAUUUUCAACUGAGUUAAAAAAAAAAAAAUUGACCAACAUUUGACUUUAAAACGUAUGGCUUUAAUUGUUGCUUAUAUGAGAUUGAUUUUGUUGGUGAGUAAAAUCUUAUUAACUUUUUACUAAGAAUAAAAAUUCUUGAGUUAUCUAAGAAAGUGGGGGUGUUGACAAAUCUAGUGACAAAGUGAAUGAAUGGAUAAACUACUAUGCAGGAUGAUGGAAGGAAGAAGAUAGGAGAACAGUUAAAUUAAGCUAACGCCGUUUGGACAGAGGGAUAUCAGGGCCGUUCCUAGAGUUUUACGGGUCUUGGGCAUAGUAUGAAAAAAGGGCCAUUUGUAUUACAUCAUUUUUCUUUUCUUCCGAUAAAUGAUGAAUGAGACAUGUAUUAGUUAUAGUGGUUGACAUACAUCCCAGCUAUGCUGGCACCCCAAGUCACUAUAAUACGAUAUUUUGACAUCCCAGCUAUGCUGACACCCCAAAAUAUUGUUUGUCAAAUACACCUCAUUCUAUAUAUUAUUAAUAAAAAGGAAAAACAAAACAAAAAAGUUGGGGGGGCCGAACCUAACCCAACAAAGUUAAAGUAAAAUUAUAGGUAUGGAUACCAACCUAUCUAUAGAGAAAAAAAACUCUAAUAAAACUAUGACUUAUAGAUAUAAACCAUCAUUGAGAAUAUACAAUAGUUGCACAAAAUAUCCAAAAAACUUCUCUUUUACUCGUGAAGUUAAAAGUUGUUUUUUUGAGCUUUUUGAGAUGCAAAAUCAUUUAUAAUGACAUCAACAUCAAUAUUCUUCGACAUUUCCUUCUCAAUUGACAAAGUAGCCAAACCGUUCAAUCUAUCUUGUGACAUUGAUGACCUCAAGUAGGUUUUAAUCAACUUCAAUUUUGAAAAACUUCUCUCUGUUGAUGCUACAGUCACGGGCACCGUCAAUAAAACUCUGUAAACAAUUGCUACAUUUGGAUAACAAUCUGCAAGUCUGACAAAUUUAAGAAUAUCCAAGGCAUUCAUUGUUUCAGUCGGCAAAGUGCAUUGUAACACUUUUAAUUCUGAGAAAAGAUCGUGAACAUCAACAUCUGAUAAAUCGCCAUGAGAAAAAGUUGAGUGAAAUUUAACACAACAUUCGUUCAACUCAUUAUCAUCCAAAAACAUUAACUUUUGUGAAUCAUACAAAAACCCAAAGACACUCUCAAAUGUCUUCAAUUCUUCAAAUCUAGUUUUCAAAGAAGUAAUUGUCAUAUCAACAACAACAAGAAAAUAGUUAACUCUAAAUGAUUCUUCCGGUGAUUGAUUUUCAUGUUCCUCAUUAUUCUCUCCAAAAUAUUAUUUUUUAAUCACACGACGUUUUGUUUGAAAGAUGGGCUCAACAUUCAUUUCAAGAGCAACACUUUUUGCAAGAUCAAUACUUUUUGUAAAACCUUCCUUUCGAUAUUUUUUAAAAUAUGACAACAUAUUUUCCAAUUGUUUUAUGGUAGAGUCGAUGCUCAUGGACUUAGAUUGCAACUUUUUGCUAACAGUGUUAACAGCAAAUAAAAUAUCAUACCAAACAACCACACCAAGCAAAAAUUCAAAAUUUUCUAGUGCAUUAAUCAAACUCUCCGCCUCACUCUUUGUCUUUGCAUCAUUAUCACAAGAUUCAUAUAAUUCUGACAAAGCCAAUCUUAUUUGGGGACAUUGAAAUCUAAUGGCUUUGACACUCUUAAUUCGACUUUCCCAACGAGUAUUAGACAAAUAUUUCAAAGCCAAUCUUUAUUGUAUUAUUUGACAUAUUCACACAACGAAUUAUAAGAGUCAUUUGUUCUUGAUGACUCAAAUCAGGGGUACAAUCAAGAAUUACCGAAAAGUAUUUUGCCUCUUUAACGAUGUUGAUGAUUGACCUUGUAACACUUUGUGACAAAAGCAAAAUAAUUUCAUUUUGAAUUUUAUGUCCAAGAUAAUGUUUAUGAAUUUCACGAUUCUCAGCGCGUCUCACAUGAUCUUGCAUUACCAAAUCAAAUUCCGCAAUCAUUUCAAUUAAUCCAAGAAAAUUACCAUUACUAUCUUGACUUAAUUUUUCUUUGGAUCCUCGAAAUGCAAGAUCAUUCUUAGCAAGACAUUUCACAACUGAAACUAUUCUACGUAAAACUAGUCUCCAACGCUCUUUUUCUUUCACAAUUUCUUCUUGCAAGUGUUUAUCAAUUGUCUGAUUUUUAUCAAAUCUCAUUCUCAAUUCAUUCCAAGUAUUCAUAUUACUCAUAUGUUCGACACCAUUUUCAUGUUGUUUGAGUCUUUGACUAAUAUGCUUCCAAUCAUUUAAACCCUCAGUUGCAAGUAAACUCAAGUUACUAGAGGUAGAAGAUUUAAACAAUUUACAACAAAAACAAUAUACUUUGUCAACAUGUUUGCAAUAAACUAGCCACUUUCGAUCACUAAUCUCACCAUUACUUAAUUUUCUUGAAUAAUUCGCAUAUGAGAAAUACCUAGAGUAUUUGUCAUUGGGAAAAUUAAGAUUCAUUUCUCGAAUAGGUCCCUUUUCAACUAGAAUAUCCCUUGAGGUGUUAUCAAGAUUCUCUCAAUUUGUUGGAUCAUAAAUAUCAAAAUGAGGAUCAUCACCAAAAUUUUCAAUAUUAUAUGCAUUUGGCACAUUAUUAGGAACAUUUGAAUUAUCAUCAAUUUCCUCAUUUUCAUGAUCCAAAUUUUCAUUGUUGUUGUUUUCCAAAUUUGGCACAUCAUUAGGAACAUUUUCUUGGGUAUCUACCUUUUUGAAAACAAAUUUAUCAAGAGCCCCUUGUUGUGAUUUUAUUAGCUCUUCAUUUCGUUUUCUUUUUUUUCGUUUUUCACUACCAGACAAAUGUUUUUUAGGCAACAUCUUAAAAUAAAUCAGAUACUCAAUAAAAACCAAUACAAACAAACAAAAAAGAAAAACCAUAUUAGUACUAGUAGUAAGUGAAGUAGAGAGCAAUAGCACCUUAAAAUAGACCGAAGUUUUAGCACCUUAAAAUAGACUGAAGUUUUAGCACCUGAAAAUAAAAGUACAACAAAAAACAAAAGAAAUAUAUCAACACUUAAUUAAGCAAAAAUCAAGAAUUGAAUUGAAAAAAAAUAUAUAUACAAAAAUCACGUGUACAUGUACAAACAAAACAAUUAAUUAAAAAAAUAUAUCAAAAAUAAAAAAUGAUUGUCAUAUGUAUGGUACGUGAAGUGAACUCUUAAAUCAAUAUCAUGCUAUAUGCUUUUAAGCUUUUUGGUGUACAGUACAAAUCAUGUUAUAUGGAAAAAUAAAAAAUUCAAUUGGAAAAAUCAUAAAUCAUUCAAUUAGAAUUUUAAAAUUCAACACCUGAAGCAAUUAGAUAAUUGAAACAAUGAUUAUCAAAGAGAAUUGGAAUAAGAAAAAAAAAUAUAAUUAGAAUUCAACACUUGAAGCAAUUAGAGAAUUGAAACAAUAUUAUCAAAUAGAAUUGGAAUAAGAAAGAAAAAAAAAAACCUAAAACAAUUCACCUGGAGAGAAGAGAAUGACUGAUUUUGUAACCUUUUGGUUUUUCUUUUUAGGUUUCUUUUUUCAUCUGUCUUUCUAGUUGCUCAAAAGAAGUUUUUGUUUGUGUGUUAGUUGGGCCCUUUCCAUUAUUUUCCUCUUUAUUGGGUCUUUCCACGUUUUUUUUUUCUGUUUUAUUCCUAAUGGGCCGAUAAAAUGAUUCAGAAUUAGGCCUGCUGGUACGAAUUACUAUACGCAUCCCACUUUUUCCUUAGCUUUGCUAUAUACACCCCCCUAAAAAAAAAUUAGGGCCCCCUACGAGCAUGAGCCCUAGGCCGUCGCACUCGCGGCCUAUGCCUAAGGCCGGCCCUGGAAGAUAUCUAUUUAGUGAAAAUUUAAGGGAGAUAAGUGUCUAUUUAAUAAAUAGAGGGGUGUUAGUGAUAUUUGAGGAAAACUUAAGGGAGAUUAGGGCUGGAAAUGAGUCGAGUCGAACCGAACUUGCCUGAGCUCGGCUCGAUUCGAUAAGAAUUGGUUCGGCUCGAAACUCGGCUUGAGUUUGACACGAACUAUUUUUUCAGCUCGAGUUCGGCUCGUUUAAAAUUCACGAACAGUUCGGUUCGGCUCGUUACGGUUGCUCAACUCGUCCAAAAAAAAAAGUUAAAUUAUAGAUCUUUGAUAUUAUAUAUAUAUAUAUAUUAAAAUUAAAUAUUGAAUUAAAAUAAAAGUUCCCACAAGCAUGCAUAUAAUAGACAUAAAUUAUAUAAAGUUAAAGGUUGCAUAAAUACGAAAAAAAAUAUCUGAUACAAGUAACAAAGACAAAAAAUCCAACAAAAUUCAAUAAGCUGUGAACAAAAUUCAAUUCCCUUCAAGACAAAAUUGUAUUCGGCCACAUUUGAAUUAAAAAAAAUUUAAAAACUAACUCAAAUUGAUUUAUAUAUAUAAUCGAUAAUUGAGUCAUCUCAUGAACCGAACGAGUCGAACUAUAUGUAGCUCAAGUUCAGCUCAUUUAAUUAACGAACUUAAUUUUCAGCUCAAGUCCAGCUCAUUAGGUUUAUGAACCAAGUUCAACGGAUUAAAUAUCGAGUCGAAUGUCGAACUAUAAUCGAGUUGGUUCGGUUCAUUGCCAGCCCUAAGGAAGAUGAAUGUAAUUUACGCGUAAUUUUUUUUAUAGUAAUAUUUUUACACGUUAAGAGAGUGAUUACUUGAGAGAGAAGAGACAAAAUCAUUAUAUCACCAAAAUACAAUGUUAUUUAAAGGAAAUUCCAGUUUCCUUUGGCUUAAGGUUUGUGUUGAGAAAAAGGUAAAUCCCAUGCUCAAAGAGAGAACUUUUGAUGAAGUUUGGCAAGGUGAGGCAGCAACUAACUAGAAAGGAAAAAAAUAGGAUUUUUUUUUGGUAAAAAGGGAAAGAAAAAAAAAAGGAUAAACUCAGUAUUACGUGCUAGCUUUCUGUUUUAUUUUAAAUUUGUGAAAUUUGAGUGAUAAAAGGUAUAAAACUACAUAAUUUUUGGAUUUUUUUUGAAUGACAACCUGCUUUUAAGGAUUGAACAUAUAACAUCGUUAAAACUCUUAAGUAAAGUUUAUCAUCUCAUAAAAUUUGAAUAAUUGGUCUCUACAAAUUACAUUAAAAACAACUAAGUUAUAGUUAUUAUACACCAUAAAACUAAAUGCACACUAAUUUUGUGGUUACCUUGCUAAACUGUGAAUUUUAACGGGUUAUAUGGACCAACAAAGAUAAUUUGGUGGGAUAAAUUAACUUUUUUUUUUUUUUUUUGAAAAUGUGUGUUUUAAAAAAAAUGAAAAAUAUGUGUCGUUAGCCUUUCUCAUUUUAUUUUUGUAGAUAUGUCAACUUUAUUUCUGACGGAUUUUUUUUUUAUUUUCCAUGUCCUUUAUUGAUUUCACUUGUUCAAUUUUGAUUGAUUUUUCUUAACUUAGCACAAACUUAGUGAUGUAUCGACUUAAACCUAAAAUUUUGUCCUUAACCAAAACCAAAGAAAAACACAUGUAAUCAAAGCUACUGAUUCAACUAGUCUGGAUGAUACUUAAAUGAGUUCUUCUAUCUCAAUCAAUUUUAUCUAAGAUCAGGAUCUAAAUCUUAAUUACUUGUUUAAGGCGUUCAUAUAAUUACCACUCAUAUCAACCACAAAAUGAUAAUUAACAAUCACUUCAAUGUAACAUUACUUGAUCAUCUUUCAUUUCUCUUCAAGUUUUUCUCCCACAUUGUGAUUUAACUUUUUUACUUUUACAAAGAAUUUGAAAUUCAUAAUAUCAGGGGUAUAAUCGACAUUCCAUACAAAGCGUGCACCAAAAUCCACCGUACAAUCCACCCCAGUACAACUUCACAGCACAAACAACAACCCACAUUCUUAGCAUCCUUGCAUGUGUACGUAUCCACCAACAAACAAAAAACAGAGCAGAAACAGAGCAAAAUAAAAACCUUACCUUUCGUUCUCUAACUUUCAAUCUUUACACAUUCCAUGAUACCCUUUUAAGCAUUUUGCACUUCCCUUCAUUUGGGUAAGUGAAAGUUUCUUCCUUUACCACUUUUUCAAUACUCAAGUUCUUACCUUUAACCCUUGUUUAGCUUAGUAGUGAAAAAAAAAUAUGGAAGGAGAAAGUAACAACAAAGAGAACAGUUCUAAGCUAGCAUCAUAUGAAGCUGAAGGAACCAGUAACCAUGAUGUUUCUGAGGAACAUCACAUUCAAAACCAAUACUUUGGAAGAAGUGGGAUAGAGUGGAAUUUCUUACCAAAACUACCUCAAAAUAACUAUGUUGAAUAUCUCUCUGAAUCCUCAUGUUAUCUUCCAAAUACUGCCACAACAGCUGAGUAUAAUAUGAUUGGGAAUAGCCAUUAUCACACUCUUGGUAGUAGCAGCAGCAGUUUCAAUGAUCCUGGAAAAGCUGAUUUUGGUUUUAAGCUGAUUGAUUCUUCAAGUCAUGAUUUUGGUGUUAGGAAGGUAAAGUUAAUGAAUGGAAGAAAAAAAAAACUAGUAUUUUCAAAUUUAUGUGAGGUUUUGAAAUUGAUGAUUUUUUUUUUGUUGUGUUUUGUUUUCAGCGUGCAGGGCUUUGGAGAAGUGAUGAAGGAGAGGAAGAAGCUCAUAAAUUUGAAACUGGAAGUAGUCAAAAUCUCCACUAUGCUGAGGUUAGUUAAUUGAGGUCUUUCAAGCAUCUAGUAGUAGUACAUUUCUUAUGAAUAUUUCAAGCAUUUCAAUAUUUUAAAGAUUCUUCACCAUUCUGAAAUUUAUGAUUAAUGUUUUUUCUUAUAGUAGUAGUACAAGCACUUACUGUAUAAGUGCAUAUGUAUAAACUACUUAUAUAACAAAAGAUGUAAGUAAUAAGUUGUUUUCAUAAGUUAUAUUAUGGAGACCUUAUUAAAAUAAGUUAAAAAAAAAACUUGUGAAUAUGUCAUAAGUUGUUUUCAAAAUCUAUCUUGAAGAGCUUAAGGAAAUAAGCUGAAAAAAACUUAUGAACAUUCAUAAACUGUUUUUGUAAGAUCUCUUCAAGAGUUUAUGGAAAUAAGAUGAAAAAAACAUAUGGAAUGUCAUAGACUGUUUUCAGAAGCUCUUAUGAAGAGUUUAUGGAAAUAAGCUAAAAAAACAUACGGACAUGUCAUAAAUUGUUUUUAUAAGCUCUUUCAAAUAGCUUCACGUUUGCAUAUGUGUUAUGUCACUAUGCAAGUUCAAAUAAGUCAAUCUAAACAUAACUUAUAGUGUUAUUGUAAUAAUUUUGUAAUAGGGUCAUGCAACAUGGACACCUGAUUCUGUUGGAGAUAAGCAAUAUGGUUCACAAUUUGAUCAUAUGGGAGUAGUUGCUGCACCUUCUUUACUUCCAAAUCCAAAAUCAGGAGGCAGCUCCACAAAACAGAAAAGUGAGAAAACACGUUACAGUGACCGUGUAAGUAAAAGGUUUUCUAUCUCUGAUAAAAUCAUAACGGCCACAUUCAAAAUGCAGAUAUAUACCACAUAUGAUAUCAUUAAGUUCAAUACUAUGCUAUGCUCUUGUCAACUAGUUAACAAUCUUAUUCCAAUUCAUCAACACAAUUUUGUUUCUUUCUUACCGUGUACUCUUUGAAUAUAGCAACGCAGGCAACGUAUUGCUGAUAACCUCAAAGCUUUACAUGAAUUGCUGCCGACUCCACAUGUGGUAAUCUGUUGUUUAUGAUUUAAGAUUAGUUUUCAAAGGUGUAUUGAAUAAGUUAUUUAAGUAGCUAAUUUUUUGGGACCAAAUUUAAGUAGCUCAUAUAUGUUGAAUUUUAAUUUGCAGGGUAGUCAAGCUUACAUAUUGGAUGAUAUCAUUGACUAUGUUAAAUACUUGCAGAUUCAAGUGAAGGUACCUUUUCAGACCUAAACUAUUUUUUUGAAUGGCAAAUAUUAGUAGUUAGUUGUUAGAUUAGUUUUUUUUCUUCUUUAUCCGGGUUUGAACGUUGUGAUCAAUUUCACAUAGAUAAUCUACAAUAGCUAAAGAAAGUUGUUCCUUUGCAGGAACUAAGUGGAAGUAAAUUGCAAGCUGAUUCAAAUUCUAUACCACUAGUUUUCCAUGAGGUACACAUCUUCCCUUAAUUUCAGUAGAUAUAUUAUAUAUUGCAUCACUGUGAAUUUGUGUGCUUGCCCAAAUUCUGCUCCAUGCAAAUAAUUUCUUGAGUAUUUUCAUAGUUACAGAUAUGUUGUUAUUUGUACAGUUCAUAGGAAAUGUUCUAAUCUAGACCGUUGUAUGUAAAUACAAGUUGUACAUCGUAAACCUUAAGCUUAAAAUAAUAGAAAAGAACUGCAGCCACUCUGCCGUUAGAUGUAGGCACAAUUGACCGAACUUCAUUACUAAAAAUCAUGUGUCCAUUCAUUGACUGCAGAGUUUGCUAUGUUUAAUUUACAGGGUUAUGGGCAUUAUAUAAAGGAACAGGUGUUGAAUGAGCCUCUUGAAGAGAUAAUGGGGAAUCUACUUGAAGUAAAUUCAGCAGCAACAUGUCAGCUACUUGAAAACAAAGGUCUUGUUCUGCUGCCUAUUGCUUUGGUUGAUGAACUGAACCAGGCUAUGCAAUGGUUGAACCAAGCUAGCUAGAUAACUAUUUUUUUUUUCUUUUCUGCAUUAUGGUUGAUUUAUAUUUUGUAUGUUUGGAUUAUUAGGUAUGUGAACCAAGCUAACUCUUGAAAAUCUAUGGUACUCAGAGGUGGUGUGUGUUACUGUUUCUUGUUUCUGUGUUGGGAUUUGUUCGGUUAUGAAACUUGCAUGAAAAGUAAGAUAGGACACAGGACUUAUUUGUGACCGGUGAUUUAGUUCAUGGUUUCAAAAUGUUUCACAUGUUGAUUUAAAUUUAGAAGGAAUAUUCAAUUUUCAUUGAGUGCAUUUUAUUUUAUGUUUCUAGAGAUUUCAUAUUAAAUCAAGACUAAAGGUGAUUCUAGUCUCUGAGAAAAUAUGCUGCACCCAGAUUGGUUUUUCAAAGGAAAAAAGCCAUCGAGAAUUUAAAAGCAUAACAAAUUUAGUCACUUUAUUUAUGCCAACACGUUGAGCAGCAAAGGAAUAACAUAUUUUAAGUAGAUGGUCAAGAGUUCGAUUCUAAAUCCUUCAUGUGGAGAAAAUCCAGUUGAGAUGGAAGCACUCGCCUUGUUUUAUGACGGAUAAAUUUUGCAAUGGAAAUUAGUCGGUGUUACAAUGAGUAUUGGCUUCUUCAAAAAACUCUUCCACUCAAACCAACCUUAUAUCCCCUAUAAACACAUAAUUACAAUGAGUAUUUUCUUCUUUAGAUAAAUCUUUAUCCCUAUAUCGGUCCAUUUCUUCUUCCCUCAUUUCUCUCUCACUUGUAUGAUAGAUUACGAAGCACGGAUACGGAUAUGGACACGAACACGAGACACAACACAAAUAGUAACACGUCAACACCGCUAAUAAUUUAAAAAAAUUAUAUAAUUUAAUAUCCGACACCGGGACACGUCUAAUCCAAAUAGUGUAUGUACUUCAUAAAUGAUAGAUAAGCCAAACAUUUAUGCAAUACUAUACCAUUUGGAAACUCAUGGCAGUAUUGCUGAAAAAUAGUGGUUAUACCCACUAACUGUUACAAUAUUAGAAAACAAUGCAGCAAUUUAUGGAUGAAACCACCACCAAGUUAUAUUAUUUAGAACACGUAAGUAGUGCAAACUAAAGUACUAUUUAUAUCUUAUAUAUUUCCGAAGCAGUGGUAGGACAUAAUCACAAUUGAAUGUUUUGAAUAUUUCUCUUCACAAACGAUAAUAGUUCUGUAAUAUAAGUGCACUUUGAAAUAUAAGUGCUACAUUAUCUCAUACUCCAGCACAUUGAAAUAACGUUAUAUACUACUAAAUUAUCUACAUUCAAUUGAUAUUGGAAAAUUGAGGACGGAAUAUGUACUAUUCUAAUUUUGUACCCACUAAUACUGAAGAAUAUCAACAAAUGCUAUAGUUAAUUUACUUGUCUCUUCUAUAUGAUGUUACACCCAUAACAAGCAGUGAAAUUCUCUCAAUUAAUUUUUUUGGAUUACUUUAAAUUUUGGAGAUUCAUUCGAGCACUAAAUUUUAGUUUUAUUUGAGAAUAAUUCCAGCUUCAUAAUUUAUAUUACAAAAUAUUUACAUACAUACCCUUUUGAUUGUGAAAAUUAAUUAAAAAAAUUUAGUCCAAUCAAGAACCCUUACCACUAUUAUCAGUGUUGUAAGAUCACUCUAAUCUAUCAAUGUCAACCUUAAAAUUGGACACACUAUUGCUAUUUAUCGAACAUGAAAACAGAUGGAUUUAUAUGAUAAUUUAUAGAAAUUGAACUGCACAUUGAAAAUGAAGUUGGAAUUAAUUCAUUGCAGCUGGGGGAAUAAAACAUGGUAGGGUGUAUGCAGUGAACAAUGACCUUUCAUACUAAGUUGGAUCAAUUAGAACAAAGUAUCAAUUAUAUUAAUGUAUCCUGUUACGAAUCUAAAUAUAUAUUUUGUUCACUAUUAGUACUCUAUAACCUUCGAUCUCAUAUCUUAAAAAGUUACAAAGUACUUUUCCUUACAGUUCAUCAGAACAAAUGCACUUCACUUAGGUCAUGAUUCUAUUUCACAUCAUCGUUUCUAUGCAAUUAUAUUAUACGGAAGAAUAAAUCAAUUAAUCAAAUGACAUGGACAUUGUCUAGUGAUGCCCAGAUAAUAAUAAUAAUAAUACUGAAUUUUUUUCUUAAAUAAAAAAAAAAUUAAUGCCGGAAUUUUUUGCUAACUCAACUUAAUUUAGUAAAUAGGCAAUUACCCCCUGAAAUUGUAAGUUUCAUCAAUUACCCUCUGAAAUUAACAAAAUUUCAAUUACCCCCUAAAAAUUAACUGUUAAUUGUUUGCUUUAAUAUCUUUUGAAUCAAGGAUAAGAAAAAAAAACAUAAAUUUUCAAAUUCGGAGGGCAUUUUGCACAUAAGUGCAAAACUUCAGGGGGGUAUUUGCAAAAUGUCAUGUUGACUAACAGAAGAACUUGACAGAGGUAAAUUGAUUAACGUUGUGCAAUUUCAGAGGGUAAUUGAAGUUUUGUUAAUUUUAUGGGGUAAUUGGCGAAACUUACAAUUUCAGGGGGUAAUUGUCUAUUCACUCCAACUUAAUUACUUCGUUAGUUUCUUUUCAAGUGUUGUUUGAUGUAUAAACUUUUGUUAAUAUUUAACUGUCGUUUUGAUACUUUAAUGGUAAAAUUUGUCAAUUGAGAUAUUUCUUAAUUAUACUCACUCAUUUUUAAUAAAACUAAUUAAUGUUAUGUAUUUGCAAAAUUCAAGUUUAUUUUUUGAAACAAAAUUUAAGCUUUUUUUUUUUAUUUGCAAGUUUAAACUUACAUGAAACAAAAUUUUGUUAACCAUAACAAUGAUUCCAUAAAAAGUUAAAAUUCUAUAAAUAAGAUUAUUAACAUUGUUAAAAAUUUCAAAAUCAAAAUAGAAGAACAAUUUUGAUGGAAAAAACAAAAAAACUUUAUCAAUGAUCGAAGAGAAUAAAGAGUUGAAGAAAGAGGACUCAACAAUUUUAUUGGAAAUAGAGUGUGUGAAAAAAAUAUGAAUUUUUUGGAGAGGUGAAGUGUAUCAGAAUUGCUUGUUAUAGUAGAAAAGACGAGGCAUCAAAUUUAUUGAAAAGAAAUAGUAUAUUUAGAAGAAAAAGAAAAGAAGUUAUUAGUGGAUUAAAAUAAGGAGAAUGGCUUGACCAAAAAAAAUAAAUAAACAAGGAGAAUGAUAACCGGUGCCUCAAGGACAUUGGUUAAGAAUUCAAAACAAGUAAAUUUUAUUGAAAAGUUGUGCAAUUAUUAUCUGAUCAAAAGUAACAUCUUAUAUUUUCAAGACAAAAUUUCUAUUUAUAAAUUCCUUAAUUAUUAUCUUGAGGACGGUGGGUUAACAAGACCCUUAAAAUAAAAGUAUAAUAGAAAGAAAUAAAAACUCCAAACAUUCUUUUCUUUAAUAUGAGUGCACUAUUCCAAAACCACAUUUAAAAGAAACAGUAAGAGUACCUCACUAGAAGUUAAUUUCCAUCCUUAAAAAAAGAAGAAGUUAAUUUCCUUAUGCGGUUUCAAUUUUUACAAGGGGAUCAUAACAAAAAAAUGUGCGUAUUUAAAGAGACAAACAAGAUAUUUAAGCCAUUUUACCCCUAAAAAAAGUAUAUAAGCCAUUUUUUUACAAGUUAUUUACCUCAAGCGGUUUCAAUUUGUAAAAGAUUUACAAGCAAUUUAAUUACCAAUUUGUCUUAGGAAAUUAUUUACCAAAAUUAAAAUCACAAGGAGAUGAUGAUCAACUCUAUUCAAAAAAUUAUUUGUGAAACGAAUUCUUUAGAAAUGAUCCAUCUUCUUCAACAUUCAUAUCACUCAUAUAUGCACGUACAUGCUUCUUUGUUGAUGAUUUAUUUUUUGUUUAAAGAGUAUAGUCCUAGCAUUUCUUUCCAACAUAUAAGAGGGAAACUACUACGUUGAUUUCUUGAAUAAGCUCUGUCGCUCUUUAAAGUUAGGUGUGAUCUUUUGAUAGACUCUUCUAUCGGAGUUAAAGACUGUAUUGACACUUGAUGCAGACCUAGUCUUGUUCCUAGUCUUUUCCUGUCAUUUCUAAAAAAGAAAAAAUUUACAAGGAGAUGGUCAUAUAUUGAAAAUAUAAGCGGGAGAGGAAAGUUUGGUAUCCAGCAAGAAUGAAACUUCUUUUUUUGGGCAAGAGGGAAACUUUUUUGUCGUAUUAGUUGAGUCAACCAUGAUGUCAUAAAUCACCUUAGGCUACCAAUUUGACUAAAAAAAACAUUAAAUUCCCAUCCUUUUAAUUUUUAUAUCAUUGACAAGCAUUUUGGUCCACAGUUAGCAAAGACUAAAGAUAUAUGAUACGAUAUGAUUAGUAGCAUAUAUACAACCUUGUUGUAAACAGAUUAAUCUCAAAUAACGAUUUUUAAUGAGAGUACAAAUUCAAAGAUGUCCAAAAAAAAUAUAAAAUAAAUCAAUGUAAAUUCAAAUAGUUUUCUUUAUAUAAAGGGAGAGAAUAGUUUACCCUAUCUUGUGAGACAGGAUGAGUGGAAAAGCUCUUUUUCUAAUCACUAAAUGACAAUGCUACCCAGCUCCAAGGGGGAAAAACGUAUAUAUAAACACACAUUGACACAUACAUACAAAAUACGAAACAAACAAAUAUUAGAGAAUAAUAAGAAUAGACCAUAUCAUGGUCUAUAUAUUCUUUAUGCAAUUUGCCACUUUUGACAUAUAAUCCACUAAAAGUAUAGAACCUACCGUGCCCACUGUUUUCUCAAAAACAAAAAUUAAAUUAGCUUGAAUAAUGAAUUAAUUGAAGAGCUAGCUAGCUUCUAUGAGCCUGCAGUGGACCAGAAACAUUUGUGUAUGGCAUAAAGUACUCAAUACAAAUAUAUUGGCAGAAUAUUUGACAUGGCCACUACCUUCCUUUCUAGUUGACAAUCAAUAAUUCCUAUACACUACUUAAUUUAUUAUAUUCACAUAGAAUCAUACAGUAGCGCACGGAUGAGGUUGAUCUAGUUAAUAAGUAGUUGAUUUCUACUCUGUAAAGAUAUGAGUUUAACUCUGAUUAAGAGUUCUACGUUAAAUAAGGUAAAAUCUAAAAAUAUAUUUAUAAGUUGGAGAUAAUACUCACCUUACAAAUUUAUUAUAUAACUAUGUAUGUCAACAUUCUCUGAUCCUACGAACUCCUAAAAUAGAAUUCGCCUAAACUUUUUAUUAUAAAAAAGAGAGAAGCAUAUAGUAAAUUAUGAAAUCAAAAAGUGGAGUAGAUAGUGACACUUUUGAUGUCUUUGGACUUCCCUAUUCUAUAAAUACUUGAGAGCCCCCUUCUCUUGUCCUCAAUAUUUAGUUACCAUUACCACUUGAGUUCUUGUGUCUAAGCUUUCUCAUCUCCAAAGGCACAGCACAGUCUAAAAGCUAGCUCUUCAUAGUCAUACUUAUGUCUUGAAAAACAAGAACUAGCACAACCUAUGCAACCUUAGCCCUUCACAAUCACAUUCCUCCAAAUCACCAAACAUAAAAUCACCUCUCCAAUAAUUUUUCGUAUAGACAAAUAUUAGUACGUUAGUUGUUAUCUGAAUCAAAAGUCUCCCACCAAAGUCGACGUAGUACUAAUCGAUUCCAAUUCUUACAUCAAAUUUCUUGUUUUUUUUCUUUGAAUUAAUUUUUAUCAUCAUCAUGAGCAUCUCAUUGUCCAUGUGCAGACUAAUUAGACAACCCUUAACAAGCAAUGUUCAAUGCAGUGGCAAAAAACUGAAUAUGAGACAAAUUCAAAAAGAAAAUGUAGUGUUGGUGAUGGGCGCAACAGGAACAGGAAAGUCAAAGCUUUCAAUUGACUUAGCCAAUUAUUUCCCGUCAGAAAUCAUCAACUCAGACAAAAUUCAAAUCUACGAAGGUUUGGACAUAGUAACAAACAAAAUCACUCUAGAAGAACAAAAAGGAAUACCACACCAUUUAUUAGGAACACAUAACCCCAACAUAGAGUUCACAUCCAAUGAUUUUCGCGAAAAAUCAACUUCAGCGAUUGAUUUAAUCAUGAGCGGUGGAAAUCUUCCGAUCAUCGUUGGUGGCUCUAAUUCCUACCUUGAAGCCUUAGUUGACGAUGAUGAUUACAAUUUUCGAUCGAGGUACAAUUUUUGUUGCCUUUGGGUCGAUGUUUCCAUGCCUAUUCUUCGUUCCUACAUAGACCAACGUGUUGAUCAAAUGUUAAACAGUGGAAUGGUUAAUGAGUUGCGACCCUUUUAUAAUCCGAACGGGGAUUACUCAAAAGGGAUAAGAAAAGCCAUCGGUGUUCCUGAAUUCGAUGAGUAUUUUCGUAGAGAAAGUUAUGUUGACGAUGAGACGAGGAAAAUGUUACUUGAUAAAGCAGUGAGUGAAAUGAAGAUAAAUACAUGGAAAUUAGCUAAGAAACAACUGGGAAAAAUUGAUUGGCUUAAGAAUGUUAAGAGAUGGAACAUUCAUCGAUUAGAUGCUACACCUGUUUUUAAGAAGCAUGGAAAAGAAGCUGAUGAAACAUGGAAGAAGAUUGUUGCAGAGCCUAGUGCUAUGAUUGUGGCACAAUUUUUAUAUAACUCAAGAAAUCCUGCUAACGUUGUAAAAUCUUCUUCCAAUCUUAGAGUGCCAAUUUCUCAGGGUGAUCUAAUGGCUACUGCAACAUGUUGAAGAUGAUGAAAUUUUGUUCACCACAGAAAUAAUAUUAUUGAUUAUCAAAUAAUUGUUCCAUUUUUGCUUGAGGGGGUUAAGGAGAGUUUUGAACAAAUAAAUAAAGAUGUUUCAUAUGUGCAUACAAAAAUGUAUUAUCUGGAAUCCCAUUCAAUAUAGAGUUUUUUGAAUAGAAGCAGUGUUUAUUUACAGGGUUAUCUAGUUAGAUUUUACUAUAUAGAUAUUUAUUUAGAUAUUUUUAUAAUGAUUAUAAAUUAUAAUAAAGUGACUUGAUAACUUUGUACCAAAAAAAAAAGUGACUUGAUAACUAUGUAAAAAACUUAUAAUGUUGCUUAUUUAUAUUUGUAUACUUAAUUUUUCCAUACUCAUUUUCUCCCAAUCUCUCUUCUUAUUACAUCUAUCACUUUACUCUACCAGACAAUUCCAGCCAAAUCAGAGCAAACCUUUCUCUCAAUCAUUUACCAACCAAGAACAAACCACAAAAGGAUUGUGCAUGGCACAACACUUUCUUUGGAGUAAAGUUACCAAAUUUAAAAAUAUACAAGCAAAAAGGACUCCAUUAGUUGUACCUUCCUAUUCUUAGUAAUCUCACAACAACAAAAAAUUGAAAAUUGCUUUUCUCCCUUUCAAAAUUACUUAUUCCCUUAAUUCGGUAUGAGUUAACACUCACUCGACAUUUUUCAGCGUAGAUUAACUCACGCUGGCACUUUUAAGAUCGGUUGAACCAACUUAAAAAAUGAUUGAACUAAUCAGUGUCAGUGCAAGUUAACUCACGCUGAAAAAUGUCGAACGAGAGUUAACUCAUGCUGAGUUAAGAGAAUGAGUAAUUUUAAGAGGGAGAAGAGCAAUUUCCAGAAAAAUUAGUUGUGCCUCAUAGUUAUGAUCCAACGCUAACUUAUACACCUCUUUAACAAUAUACAUGUCAUUGUGAUCAUAUCUCCACGCCCGCCUAUCACGGAUUGGGAUUCUCUUCCGUGUCUUUUUUACUAGACCGGAUGGAGUGAGAAUCUUCAACGUCCAUUUAUUUUAUAAUAAUUUUGACCAACUUUGAUAGAAUUAAACGAGUGGUGGAGAUUCCCCUGGACUUUCCAAUCACUGCGAGGAAUCUUUUCCCGCCUAUCACUCACAUUUGCUUGCACAAAAAUUAAUUCCAACUCCCAUUGAAAAGAGUCCUUCUCCAAGACCAACUCCCAUUAUCAACUUCAUUGUGAUAAGGCAAAUUGAAUAGUCUAUUGUAUCUCUCACCCAAACAUUUUUAGGAUAGAAACGAAUGAUAUAUUACUGCUAUUAUUGAAAAAUAUAAAUACGGUUUCUUACAAUUUAAAGUUGCAACUCACUCAAAAAAAUUGUUUAUAAUUUACAAAUUAAUAAAUAAUUCAAAUAGUAUACAAUAUUAUACAAGAUAAUAUUGUUAAACUUCUUAAAAAAAAAAAAGAUAAUAUUGUUAAAAUUUGUAAAUAUUUAUGAAAUAAAAAACAUAUAUAAAACUUUCACAUGAGAGCUUCCUUCCCCUUCCCCAUAACCUAAUGUUAUUUUUGUUGUUGCGGCUUAUCAUCGUCCCAUUAUCUGGAAAAAAAUUAUACAUCCAUUCACUAAAUAAUCAAAUAAAAACAAUGAGCCAAUGUCAACUUGCCAAAACUUCCAGUGAAUUAUAAACCAGACAUCCAAUAUAUUAUCCCAUACUUUAAUGGACCAUCCAUGGCCAAUUAUAAAUUUAAUGAUUUUAAAAUGGUUAUGGACUAUUCUUCAAAAAAAAAAAAAAAGGUUAUGGACUAUUAUACUAGCUAUAUAUUUAUUUAUUUUGAAGAGAGUUAUUUAUGUUGUAUUAUUUUCAUUUUUUGUGGUCUAAUUUUUUUAUUAUUUAAUAGCAAGUUGUGAUAUUUUUUUUCUUUCCUUGCAUGAUUUCUAACACACACACUUAUUCGCAAAGCAUUCAACAGAGGACAAGAUUUCACCAACUUGUACAUGAAGAGAUAACACCUAGCAGUCUUAACAAUAAUAAAUUGACCAUCAUCAUUUCUUAUACACACCCUUAUUCGCAUUUUAUUAUCAUGAGAUGAGAUGAGAUGAGAAAGUAGCAUUUAGGGUACAUUUUAAGAUCCCUAAUGGUAGUUUCUCCCAUUUUUAGUUUAUUACGGUAUCCAUGGAAGAGUCAAGAGAAACAAGAUUUUGGUAAAUGCACAUUGUUCGGAAAAUUUGAUUUUGGUUUAGGGUUUUGCAUUUUGUUUAUUUUAAGUUUUAUCUUUGUUUUUUAAAACAAUCAAUAAAUUUUUUGAAAAAAAAACAAUUAAUAAUUUGACAAACAAAAUAACUAGAUUUAAUCAUAUUUAUGGUGUCAUACCACCCAAUUAGAAUCAAUCUUCACCAUUUUUUUUUCUCUCAAAAUCUAUCAUGCUUUCACAUCCUCACCCUUAAAUCUUCUUUCUCUAUUUUUUUUCUAUAGAUUUUUUCCCCAAAAGAUGAUCAAUCAUAUUCCAUGCACGUCGACUAUUAAAUACGUAUAUAUCUCUUAUUUAAAAGGUAAACAUUGAUUUGCCAUCUUAUUAAUUCUAGCCUCCUUCGUUAGACUCAACUUUCAUUGAUAUCUUUUUUCUCUAUUUCUUUCAUUGUAACUUCGUCUCUCAUUUUCAAUGAAAGAUGACUUCAACUGAAUAACAUAUCACACAAGAGGACCCAUUUCCUACCACAUGUUUGUUUUCAACUGAUUAUAUCAACAAAAACAAGUCACAAAUUCAACGGUCGUAAUUUUCUAAAUAAAAAAAAAUUAAGAGGCAAUAUUUUUAGAUUUAAAAAUGGAAUGAUUAAAAUCUGAAUCACGGAAAGUAUUGGAUUGAAAUUCAAAACUUAAUUUAAGAAAAGAAAGAAAAAGAAACUUACAGUCAAGAAUCAUAUGGAAUUCGUACAGCUGCAUACCAUGCCCAUCAAAUCACAAUAAUUUCCAUGCCUCUCUUUUCCGUACAAUAUGCAGCAUGUGUGUGUGUGUGAUCCUACUCCUACCAGAGUACCAGGUUCCAUCUUUCAAAAAAAGUGGCAACUCUUCUUUGUUUUUCUGCUUUUAAUUAAGGCUUAAAUGCUCUUUUAAUCCCUUAACUAUUUAAUUGGUAUCGCUUUGGUCCCUUAAUUAAAAAAAAGAUUGUUCGAGGAUUUUAAGUUUUUUUUUUUAGUCUCGUUUUGGUCCCUUCUGUUAGGUUUCCGUUAGGUUUUUAAAAAAAAAGUUAACUUCUGGACAUGUGUCACCUUGUCAUUGGCUCUGAGUUUUUUUUUUUUACAAAAUAAUUUAUUAUUUUUUUUAAAAUAUAUAUUUUAAAAAAAAAAUCCCAAAGCCAAUGACAAAGUGACACGUGUCACCUUAUCAUUGGUUAUGGGAAUUAUCUACAAAAAAAAUAUUUUUUAAUAAAAAAAAAUUUAAUAAAACUCAGAGCCAAUGAUAAGGUGACACGUGCCCACACUUAACUUUUUUAUUAAAACUAACAGAAACCUAAUAGAAGGGACCAAAACGAGACUAAAAAAAAACUUAAAAUCCUCAAACAAUCUUUUUUUAGUUAAGGGACCAAAGCGAUACCAAUUAAAUAGUUAAGGAACCAAAAGAGCAUUUAAGCUUUUAAUUAAUAUAUGAGAUAUACUACAUUUUUAUAAUAUUAUACCCCAGAUACGAUUUUUGUUCUUACUAUAUUAUUAGUAUGAAGUUUUUUCUGUCAGUUGUUUAAUGAUGACUAACCUUUAUCGAAGAUCAAUGUGAGAUAUAAGGUGAGUUUUUCUCUUCCAACCAGAUUUUGUUCAUACCCAAAAAUCAAAAAUCAAACAUUUAAUUAUCUACUUAAAGAAUCUAAAUCUCUUCUCACUUGAAUCAAUCAACUCUUGCGGAUUUUUGUUUGUUUUAAGUAAUAGAAGAAAAGGACCAAGAUUUUGUCAAAAGACCAAGAUAUAGUUUUAAUUUUCCAAGCCAAGGGGUCCAGAUUGUCAUCUUUUUCAAUACAAUGCAUAAACGCCUUUGGCUAGAUUCAUAUUCGUCCCUACCCAUACUUUUGGUCAAAGUAGUCCCACUAUUUUUAUAAACAUGAUAUUAGCCGCAAUAUUAACAAUUAAUUUAUAAAUAGCAAACUUUUUUGCUUCAAAAAAAUAAACAGUAAACUUUUUGUAAACAAAACUUCAUAUCAAUAUUUUAAAAACUGCAUCAAACUAUCAAAUAAUUAUAUUUUAUACAACGAUAAUAUAUUCUAUUUUUUAAAGAGGACAAUGAUAAUAUAUACUAAUUAUAUAAAGAGGACAAUGAUAAUAUAUACUAAUUAUAAUAAGAAUUAUAAAAGUUAUUCUUAAUGUGUGUUUGAAUUAUAAAAAUUUGAUACAAAAUCUAGCAUAAACUUUAUCAAAAGAAUGGUUAUUUUUCAAAAGAGUUAUUCCUAAAUAUUCGGUUAUCACUUUAUUUUUGAUACAACAUUCUAUUGGUACUUGCAUGGUAAAAUAAAACCUAAAUAAAUGAAAAUGAUUAGGCUAAAUUAGAUAUUUUAGUCCCAACAUUUUCGUUAGUCAAAUUGGUCUAAUUAUGUUAAUUUUAGACACAAGUGUUUAAGGUGGAUCAACGUUAUAGGUGAUCAACUAAAUAUCUUAUUUAUUUUUUAAAUUUUAACCAUUUGAUUUUUUUGAUAAAAUGGAAAUCAUUAGAUCUUGCAUGUCAAUUGUAUCUAACAGUGAAUCACCAAAACCUUAUUUUUUAUUUUUUAUUUUUCUUCUUCUCCUCGCCUCUUCAUCUUCGUCAUGUUCAAGUAAACCUAGAAGAAAAAGAAGAAAACCUAAAAAAUUUAUUUUAACAGUGAGAUGCUCCGCAUCAAACCUUCAUGUUAUAUUUCAACAUGAGAUGAUUAAAUUUAGUGCAAUUUGAAAAAUUCCACCAUCAUUCUUAGAAUUUUGGGUUCUCAAUUUUAUAAAAUCGAUUUGAUGAUUACCACCAUUUAUAGACACAUUAUCUUGUCAUAUUUUAUUCAAUGUAGAACUCCUUAACAAAUCUCCCCACGCUCAUGACUAAAAUAUUCAAUCGUGACCCAUGCAUGUGUAUGAAGUUUGACCCGAUAGCGGAAAUUUAAUAGAUAUUGAAUAGGUCAUGAUGAAACUCUCUCUCUCUCUCUCACUAAAAUGACUGUAUAACUUCUCAAACUUAAAUUGACUUUCCAACUGUAUGUACAUUUUACCUUUUCACCACUUAGAAGAUAAGGGAAGAGGUGCAAUUCAAAACAUGGAUAGCUAUAAUGGAAACGACCACACCGCAAAUUAGAUUAUUGAAUUCUCUUAUAUUAUAUAUUUGAUAAUUUUAUAUAUUUACCUCUUGUAUUAAAAAUUAGCAUAAAUUUUAUAUUUAAUAUGAUCAAUUCGAUUGAACUCAAAUGAAUAAUGAACUACAGGGAAUGGUUAAGAGUUUGAAAAACCUUUUACAAAAGAGUUUACUAUCCAUUUGUCAUGUGAGAGUUAACCAUCCAUUAAUUAAUGGAUUAAAUGAGACCUCGUCCAAGCAAAUUUAAAGUUAACCAACCAUCAAAUUUAAGGGCGAGAUUUUUUAUGUAAGAAAGUUUGCUUCCCAUUCUUUAUCUUUGAUAACUUUCUCUCUCUCGUUUCGUUUGCCUUAUCAUUCUCUCCAUUCCAAGCAAAUCUUCUACUCUUGUUAUCAUUUUUAACUUAGAUAUAAAGACUCUAAUUCGUAAAUUUAAGAUACAAAAUGUUUGCCAAAAUAACAGUAAAACUCAAUGUGUGACACUGAUACAAUUAUCGUGUAUGUAGCGAGUAAACACCUUGUCUUAUGUAUCUCCAUGUGUGUUACACUAGGCACUUGCGUCAUUUCUCCGCAUAUGUCCCCUAUAAGGUUUCUAAAGAAUGAUGUACCCAGUACAAUAAUGCACUAGAUGGUGUGCCACACAUAGGAAAGGAGAUAUGGACACUUUUUUUAUUCUUUCCUUUUCACUAUUCCGAAGGGUCACAUUGUCUGUGUUGUUAUUGUUUGGAGAUAUAUAAUAUUACACUCAUUUGUCCACAUGAAAUAUACAAAAAGAGAGGAAGAACAAUACCUUUUUUGUGAACUGCAUUUCAUGAUGAUGGGGCAAAAAGAUUAUCUGUUUACUAGCAUAGAAAGAGCUUUUCAUAGUAAUGCUGAUGUACUAAGCUGGAUUUUGUUGGUCUUUUUGUUAGUUCAGCAUUAAAGUUAGCCUAUUUGUACAACCCUUUUGCAAUAAUUUUUUGACAAUUUUCUCUCUCAUACUCACAUUUUCUUCUUAUUCUCUCAUCUUUUUUCUCUCUAUUAUUUUCGACCAAUAAGAAGAAAGAAAAAAAAAUUUGUCAUAGAAGUUGUACCAAUAACUUUGUAUUGUAUCAUAGUGAUAUUUUAGAGUUUAUUAGACCUAAUAAACUAUAGUGACAUAGUGGUUCUUUUUUUGUCCAUGCACCAUAUUAAAUUAAAUACAAAUAGUAUAAGCCGCAAAACCUACAACUAUAUAUAUUUUUUCUUCAUGUGAGUGCUACAACUCACUUUGUUUUUUCCAACCUCUGACGGAACAACAAUUGGAAAUUAAGUCAAACAAUCAACAAGAGCUUGCUAAAUAAAAAGGCUAGGAAUCAGAAAAGAUAAACACAACAUCAGAUUCUUUUCCACUACUGCUACACUUGUUUAGUGGCAUCACCAUUUGUAAUUGUUGCCCAUCAUAUCGGUCCACCACAUGAGUAGGUGACCGUACAAGAUUCUCCAAUGACGACUGAGUACUGAUGCAAAGUUCUUGUGUGGAAAGGAGGCAACCUAACUAAAAAAUCUCACACACGCAUCGACUGUCCUUUUUUCUAGCCCAAUGAGCGGGAACAGUUAUCUUCUUGUGGGGUACCACGAUGUUUGUGUCUGUGGCCGUGCUUGUAGUGGCGACUCUGGUGUCCCUCGUCAUCGUCAGGGGAUGAAAGAGAGGGUGGAGAUAGGUGCAGAAAAGUUGGUAAUCCUGGAGUGUAAGAUAAUGUCGCCACAAGCAGCCUCCUAGUGCUAGUUGGGGUGCACAAAGUGGACGAAGGGCUGGUGGUGGCAGCUGAAUAACUGGAGGACUGAUCUGGCUCUCCACUUUUGGCGCAAAUGCAAGAAAUGUGAGAACCAGAGUUACCGAGUUAAAAAUAUAGAUUCUCUUUGUAUUGUGUCUGUUUUUAGUUUCUUCCUCUUAUGCUAAUACAUCUCAACAUGAAAGUACUUUAACGUUCACACCGGCUCCUUAGAAGUAGAAUUGCUUAAAUACUUGCAAAUUCAUUAGAUAGUUUCCAGUAGGUUGUUUAUGAAGUGAAUUACUAAUCUACUACUACUAUAAAAUAUAAAUAGCAAGAGAAUGUGGUUAGGCGCUGCUUGCUUGCAUUUCUCAUUCAUUUUGUGUGAUGACUUUCUACUUGUAGUAGGUAAGCACAAACUAUUCUAGAUGAGGGUUCAAGCCACCAACAUUGUUCCUGAACAACUCUUUUAACAAUGUUGAGAAGUGCGGCAAAGGAUGUAUCAGAUUAGUGUAAAUGGAUAACAUGUUAAUUUUACAUGGGAGGAAAUCAACUGGAGGACAUUUCAAGCAAAAGAUCCAUACAUCAGAAGGUAUAGAGUGGUGAGAGAGAGAGAGAGAAACACAAAUAUCCAAUGAAAACAGACAAACUUAGGAACCUUCAAAAAACAUGUCUUUAUUUCUACUGCUCACAUCCUCCCAAGUUCAUGCUAAGUAACCACAUAAAACAAAGUUUUUAUGAUACAAAAUUUUAUGUUGAAUCUACAUAGCUUUCACACUGUCUGUCAAAGUACAGAGUGCUUCAACUUUCCAAUAACUUCAACAAGAUCGACCAAAGGACAUGCAAAAAGAUUUCUAACUUUAUUCUACUGUAAAAUACAAUUAAUAGUACAUAACAGCUCAUUAUAAUAAAAAUAAAAAUGUAGAUAUUUAGAACAUUCAAACAGCAGUAAGAUGCUAGAUCAGAUAGGAACACCGGUUUUCUUAAAUUAACAUUCAUGGUGUCAAGAAAAAUUUAAGCUAUUUACACCUUUGAUCAACUUGUUUCCAGUGUUUCAAAAAGCAAAUACAUUAUUACUGCUCAUUUGGAUGGAGAGCCUGGUCAUCAUCCAACAAUGCAGCUCAUUUGCAAAUGUGUACGCGUUUCUUUCGCUUUGAAUUAUCAGAAGAAAUCCAGCAUUAGAUUCCACCAACAGAAAUUCUGCGAUAUCUUACUUGAACUUCAAUACAUGAUUGGUUUGAUACCAAACGGAUUAUUCGGAUUUUGGAGCACCAUGUCCUUAAAUUCCUAAAUUCCAAAGCACAAUGAGUUAGACAAAUACACAUUUAAGCCCAUUCACAACCUCCUACCUUGAUAUACCCUAAUAUGUCUGUAAGUUUUUCAUGCAUUUAUUUCACAGGUUGACAAAGUGCAUAUUAAUACAGUACAAUUCAUGCUACAGGCAAUUUUAUGGUAGAAGGGUGGCCUUGUUACCAAUCAUCUUCCCGACAAUUUCAAGUAAUAAUCUUAAAAUUGAAAUUAUAAUAUUUCAAGGAAUGUGGUGCAAAUGAAAUUUCAAAAACAGGUUUACCAUUAAUACAAUUCUGUAAUUUCAAAAACAGGUUGACCAUUAAUAUCCCUGCAAGUAAAAGGGGGUAUAAUUUAAACAACAAUCCUCCUCUACCAAGAGUAUAAUAGUACACACAUGAAAUUGGUCUCAACAACAUAAGUUUGGGCAAACAAACUUCGAUCUCUAGAUAUAAUAUAGCUAAGCCAAGAAUAUAUUACUGAAGCAUUUUUCAGUAACAGGGUACGAAGAGGUGACCAUUCAAUUUUUUGUAAAACAAUUCAUGCACCUAAAGAUUAACAGUCAUAAUAAAAAGCAAGGAGAAAUGUACUCACAAACAAUGAUCAAGCUUUUUUCUCCUGAGAAAUUUCCAGAUUGAAAACUUUUCACAUAUCUAAUAGCCGAUUUUAUAUUGUUAUUCAGCAACUCUUGUGGCUACAAGUUCCAUAUCUUGCUUAAUUUUCUCUUGUUUCAACUUCAAUUGUUCUGCUCUUAGCCGCCAACCCUCCUUCAGCAGCUCAGCAAAUCUAUCUUUUAUCUGAAGCAGUGGAUCAAUGUCAAUCAACUUAUCCCCAUCAUAUGCUUCUCUCAACAUUGCAGUUUCAAUCCCACCUUUCAACGACAUAUAGAAUAUACCCGAAUGCCUUGUAAAAGCACUUGAAAAUGCAUUUGAAAACCUAUAUUCAUCGCAAAACUUUCCAAGAAUCGGCACCGGAACCCUCUUAUACAACGAAAGAGAAAGCAAUUCAUGGAACACCCCAACAGACCUCUUCUCCAUCUCUCUAGAAGCUUGCUCCAAAUGAGAAACAUCCUCAUAAGGCGAAACAUAAUCAAGUUCCAUCCAAUCCCUAAUCCACUCCCUCAUCUCCUUCUUCAACACAAAACCUGGAGGAAGCUUUACAUUGAAACUGGGCCUAACCCUAAUCCCAGUAGCCCUACUUUCCUCUUCAGCCCUUCUCUCAAUAACAGAUUUUGCAAACUCAGGGUUCCAAUUAACCAAUUCAAGAAAAGAUUUUCCCUCCCCAGGUAAACCAGUUAACCUAAAAUAUUCCGGAUACCUUGGCACCAAAUCAACUAAAAAAUCAUUAGGGAAACCAAAUUCCCUCUUCACAUGAAGCAAUUUAUCAGCACUAACAAUUUUAUCCUUUGACAUCAUCAACAAUUUACACAACUUUGAAACAAUUAACGGCUCAUUCUCCUUAUAAAUCCGUUUCUCUUCCUGCAGAAACUGAAGGAGAUGAUCGCUGACACGGAGAAAUUUCACAGGUUCGGUUUUGGGUUUUAUACGAUCAUAGUAUACAUCGAAUAAAAAAGGAUUUUGAUUCAAAAAGGUAUCAAUUUUAACCUUGAGACGCAUCCUUUGGCGGCGUUUCUCAAGAUAACGUAGAGGGAUGACUUGACCUGGUUCAUUGAGAACUUCUUUAACGACGCGGGCACAUUGCUUGAAGCGUUUAUCUUGUUCUAUAGCUUGGUCAAGUGAUUGGUCCUUGCGCCAUACUACUUUGAGACUGGAUAUAAGUCUUGUGUGAACGUGAAUGUUGAGAUUGUUGUUGAGGUAGUAGCAGAAGAAAGUUUGAAUUUUUGUCUUGGAGAACAUGUCUUGAGCUAGAGGAAAGAAUUACGUUAGUCGUAUAACAUUGUCAUUUUUGACUAAUACAUAAGUCGUACAAUAACAGCACUUAGCCACUACAUAAACACAAAAACAUAGCACAUUACAUUUUGCUUAUAUACCAUAGUCACUGAGUGUUGUGACAUUUCAACAAAUACCUUGUUUGCAAAAUUCAAGCUUAUACAAAGAGAGUAACUGAAUAUACCCAACAAAACCAAAUGAUACAAUGUCAAGAAAAACAAUCGGUUGCACAUAAAAAAAGUAUUGACCAAGCAAAACCUUAAAUUUAAAUUUAACCAAUUCAAAAUGAACUUACUGUUCCUCGAGGGAGAAUCACACACACACACACACACAGUGGAGAGAGGAGACGAGAGUCGCGGCAGAAACUAAAGGAGACGACGGCACGGCGGAACAGAGAUGCGCGAAAUGGAUUGCAGUGCCUUUUUUAAUGUCUCGCUCACAACCGGGACCAAAAACAACGUCUUCACCAAGUGUAAGACCGAAAUCAAACAAAAUAAACUUGCAACUACCUAAAUCAAAAAAGUGUAUAAAAAAAGUUUUAUUCUUUUAACAUAACUCAUUUAAAAAAAAGUUUUUAAUAUUUGUAUAUACUCAUUUAUACUUUAAAAUCCGCGAGUUAUCGUUGGAGCUGUAAAAAUGGACUAUCCAAUUCGUUUAAAAUUGACUUUAAGGAACUUCGACUUUAUCGAGCCAUGUCAAAAAAUGCUAUUAAAAUAUGAAAUAUGUUCUUGACCGACUAGAAAUCAAUGCAACGCUGACACGUGGAUCAACCGUCCAUCGGACCAAGGCGCAUUGCCUAGAGGAAUACGCUAACAAUUGUACACCCUGCCUUACUCGAGCAUGCCCGUACAUCAGACACCCUACAUGUGUCCCUCCAACGGCCUCAGAGCGUAACACUUUACAGAGACAGUUAUUCACACACGCCUAUAUAAAAGUGACUUAACUUCACCGCUAAGGUAAUAUUCACUUUUUCCACACUUUUCACACAUUCCAUCUAUUUCCCAUACUGAUUUGAGUGUUAAAGUGUUAAUGUGUUUGCAGACACUUUUUAUCCCACCGUUAAAACUCGUCGCCGCGUACCGAAGCACAUUAUGCCACUGUUGUCACCAUCAGUUCCAAUGCAAAUUUAUUAUUUUAAACUUCUUAAUAUGUGCAAAUUUGCACAUAAUAGAAAAAUUGUGAAUAUUUUGAAGGAAUUCAAAUGUUUUAAGGUGAAUUCCAUUGUUUGGAUAAUUAAUUUGAAGAAUUUUCAAAAUGAUUGGAAUUUUGAAGUAUUUUGUUCUAGUUAAAUAUAGAGAAUUUCAAAUGACACCUAAAAGCUAUGAAUUUCAAAUUUCUUCAUUGUUAUAAUUUUUCAAAUUUAACAUUUUGAUCCUCAACUUUUCCAAAAUUUUCAAAAUGACCUCAAUAAAUUUCCAAGAAAUUGCAAAUUAACCCUAAAAUUUUUAAAAAAUUAUAAUUUGACCUCAAUUUUUUUAAAUUUACAAAUUGACCCGUAAUUUAAAUUUUCAAACUUGCCUAAAAAAAAUUAAAAUUUGCCAAAAAAUAAUGACCAAUGAAUUUCUUCCAUCAAAAUAAAAUUAUUGAGAAAUGAAAGUAAUUUAAUUGAAUCAUUUAAAUUACUUAAAAUUCUAAAAAAUUUCAAAUUUCCAAAUUAUCUCGUCCAAACACAUCUAAAAUAUUUAUAUGUCUCGAAAAUUGCUAAGGGUGUGUUUGUUUCAAGUUAUAAUUGUUGAUUCCCGAAAAUAAAAUGAUAGAAAUGUAUAUGCUACUAAAAUUUAAUCCUUGGUAUAAAAUGUUUAUGGGAAUAGAAAAAAUUUCCCAAGGAAAAGGGUGGGAAUAAAGUUCCCAUGGAGAUGGGAAUAAAUUCAUAAAUAGUUUACCUAUUAUAAUCCCUAUUUUUAUGGUUCCUAGGAAUAUUAUAAAGCUAACCAAACAUAUUUUUCCUAAAUUUCUUGGAAUAAAAUUCUCAUCUUUAUAUUCCAAGGAAUGUUAUUCCUAAAAAUAAAUUUGAUAAACUUGAAACAAACACACCUAAGAUGACCACGAAAAUAAUUUUUUUUUGCGGUGGUCGAGGUUUGAAACUCAACCUCACAUGUUUUAUGCAUUGUGUCCUAACCGAACUGAAGGAGGACCUUCGAAAACAAUUUAACAUUGUAAAAAAAUUUCACGAAGACAACAAAUUCAAGUCCUAUUUUUAUUUAUUUUUUGUCGUGUUAAUGUGUGAACUCAGAAUUCCUAUAAUGACGUGAAAUUUGGGCCAUGCAUUAUCUUAUAUUCCAAAAACACCCUCGAUUCAUAUAGAUAUUGACAAUAUUAUCCAAUAACUUAGCGAGGUCCCUCUUUCUCUCUCCAUAUCGUUAGUAUUAUUUCCAGACUCAUAGGGAAACAGCGUAACAAUAACAAUAAUUUCGCGUGCAACAAUUACAAUUACACACACUAAGGUCAAGCCCACACACUCUUUCACUAAUCUUUUCGCAUUCUAAUCCCUAUUUCACGUUAUAUAAUCAUAUUCAUUCUUGUUCCUAUUUCAAUCACUUUUCCAUUCUUAUUCCCAAUUCUCAUAAUUCAAUAAUUCAUUUUAGGUACGAUUUUAAUUUCUUUCUUUUUCUUCUUCUUUUUUUCUUUUUUUUUGCAUGUUGUAACUCACAGGGUUUUUUCAAAUUUAUCGUAAUCAUAUCCAUCGCUUUUAAUAAUCAUGCAUAUUCGACGUUAGGGUUUAAUCGAUUUCUAUUUUGUUUGCAGAUACGUGAAACCGUGUGAUCAUGGGUUUCAAUUCUGUCUAUAGAUCUUUGCUCGAUAUUUUUCCACAGGUAUACAUACCUAUUGAGUUAUGAUUGUAGAUUAUUCUUUUAUUGAUUUUAUUUUAAUUAUUAUAUUAUUAUACCUUUUUGAUGCUCUGUGAUCAAGUUUUUUCAAUUUGUUUUCUGGUUCUGAAUUUGUUAACUUGAAUUGGGUUUUCUAAUUUCAAAUUAAUCAAAUAAAAUCAGGUUUAUAAAUUUAACUUUCUAGUUAAGGAUUACGUGCACAGCGUUGCUACUUUCAAAUCCAAGUUCCUUAUGUUUUUAGUCCCAUGUAGUUAUAGCGUUUUCAAAAUUUGUUGCUUAUAGUCUUUAUUGGGCCACCUGCCGCGCUUUCAAAUAAAAUUGGUUUUUGAAUUUGCAAGGAUGAAUCUAAACAUAAAUACUUACUUGUAGAGAUUCAAACCAAAAACACUGUAAUUGUAGGAUCAAAAAUCAUAUUUUGAUCUAAAUUCUGUUAUAACUAUUACUUUCUUAUUGAGGGAUGGUUAUAUCAAUCAUGGAUUAUUAGUUGCUAUAUAUGACAUUUGAGAUUGUCGAAUUUUCAAGGAACUUAAUUGUAAAUUGAUCUGCUUUUGGGAAAAUAACUAUAGUUAAUAUACUGGAGUCAUUAGGUGAUGAUCAAAUGGCUCAUAUUCAGAGUUUGUGUUUUGAACUUCAAUUACUGAGAUUAGAAUGUGAACUAUUCAAGGAUUUUGUUCCACUGACUCUAGUCAUUGUAUUAUUUUCUGACUGUAACAAAUUUUGGUUUGUAGCUGAUGUAUGAAUACUAAUUUGAUGCUAAUAUUUAACCACAAAUAAGUCUUCAGAAAUACAUUCUAUUGCUUCAAUACAAAUAUAUUAAGGAGAUAUUACACCAGGAAUGUGGCUGGCCUGUUACUGAUAUAUGCUUCUUGCUGAUGCCUGUUUCUUUCUUUGUCUGUACAGGUUGAUUCGAGGUUGUUGAGGGCAGUGGCUAUUGAACACUCAAAGGAUGCUGAUAUGGCCGCCGAAGUUGUUCUUAUGGAAAUCAUCCCAGCAAUUUCCAAAAAAUUACUUCCAGCAUCCCCUUCACGGGAUACAAAUCCUAGAGUCAUAGUGAACCUGGAAGGUGCGUCUACUUUUACGACAUGCAUUUCCAUACCAUUCUCUAAAUAGCUUGCUUUGAAAUGGUUUACUAAUAUAUUUCUGAUGACAUAUUGAACAUUUAGAUGAAAGUGAAAGUGAAGAUGAAGGGGAGAUAUUGGCUCGUCAUAAGCUUGUUAAAAGUAUGGAUGUUGGUUCUUCUUCUUCUUCACAUUAUGUACAUCAAGAAAUCGUCAAAUCUGCCAGCUCUUCUUCUGGACCAGAUCUGAAUGUUACAGUAACUUCUCCACAAGUUAAAAGCCCUGUAGCAUUUAUAAACCUUGAAGGUUUGUUCGCUUUCUCUAUACAUUCAAUUCCAUCUAUACCUUGCUUGCUUUGAAAUGGUGUAGUGAUAUAUUUCUAAUGACACAUUGAAUCUUCAGAUGAAAGUGAGGAUGAAGGGAAAAGGUUGGUGCAGUAUCAACCUGUUGAAGAUACUGAUGUUGGGUCUUCAUCAUCAUUGGCAUCAUCAUAUUCUAGACCUGUACAGAUCAUCAAAGCCGCAGAUUCUUCUUGUGGACUGGAUCUGAAUGUAGCUCUUAAUGACUCUACACUUUCAAAUGCCAGUGAGCUAAAUGAUGAAACCAGUCAAUUUUUUGGGGUAAAUAAUGAUGGUAACUUAACUAGAGAUAUCUCUAGUGAAAUUGCCCAGGAAACAUCAAAUGGAUUUUGGCACGAAACUAGUGAAUAUUUUGAUCAGGGACGACUUGUGGAUGUCAUCGUUGAAAAUUUGGCAUCUUCAGGUGUAUAUCACGUGUUGGAGACGGAACAGAUAAAUGUUACAGAGGAGGCUGCCUCCAUGACUAACAAUGGCAAUGGAACUGUGAACAAUCUGAAUGAAGAGUGGGUAGAUUUUGUUCCUACAGCUGAAGAUUAUGAUGCCACUAUCUGCAAUACAAGUCACGGAUUGGAAAAAUCUGAAACUAUCUUGAUCGAGUUAGGAGACUCUGAAGUUCAAACAGUGUCUCAAGUUCAGGGGCUUCCACUAAAUGCUCAAGAUCUUCAGACAGAGUUGAAUACUAAUCAUUCCACCAUUGUUGGCGAAAAUAGUCAUGCUGUAGAUGAGAUUGAUGAGAAUACGACACUUAGCAAAUAUAAUCCAGCAUGCAGUAUUGAUAUGCUUGAGGAGACCAUUGAUGAAGCAAAAACAAAUAAGGUCUUGUCAGUCCUAUUUUCUUAUAUUUGGAUGCUAUGAAUACAAUAUUUACUAGCCUUACUGAUAUUUGAUAGAACUUGUGAAAUUGCCACUGUAGCCAUUGUUACUAUAUUGAAUAAUUGAAUAGUAACUUGUCAUCUUUUGGUACUAUAAAAUAAAAUGUUGUAACUGCACUCAAGUCAUUGAAAUAUGAUAUGAUCUUAACCUCUGACAUCUUAUGCUUUAUUAUUCUACAUUUAUGCAGAAAACCUUGUUUUCAUCAAUGGAAUCUCUUAUCAACUUGAUGAGAGAGGUGGAACAUCAGGAGAAACUUGCAGAGCAGGCCAAUAUAGCAGCGACCACCGGAGGGUUUGAUAUUCUGGAUAGGGUAGAAGAGUAUCAAGCCAUGUUGGUGCACGCUAAAGAAGCAAAUGACAUGGUUGGGAUUGAAAUAAAUAACUGAAAUUAUAUAUGUCAAAGCUUUUAAAUACUUGAUGAUGGUUUUUUUGACGUGAUGAACAAAAAGAAUUUAACCUAAACUUUUUAUUUGCAGCAUGCUGGGGAAAUUUAUGGAGAAAAGGCAAUUCUGGCGACUGAGCUGAAGGAACUUCAAUCACGUCUGUCCAGCUUGUCUGGUGAAAGGGAUGAGUCUCUUGCAAUUCUUGAUGAGGUGCUCAACUUGUUUUUGUUGAAAUUAUUUUCAUCAUAUUUUUCUGUAUAUUUUUUUUCAUUUCAAAAUAAAUAUCCCCAGCAUCUUUCCGGCUAACUGAGAUUAUUCAGAUUGGAGUCAUUGUAGGCCAAUUGAUUUAAGUUUAAUAACACUGUUUAUCGAAUGAACAUCCUGUCUGACAUUUAAUAUUCUCUUGCUUGCAGAUGCGCCAAAGUCUUGAAUCUCGAUUAGCUGCAGCAGACAUGUUGAGGAAAGCGGCGGAGCUUGAAAAGCUUGAAAAAGAGGAGUCGGCAAGGGCGGCACUUCUGGAACAAGAAGCCAUGAUGGAGAAGGUAGUACAGGAAUCACGGAGACUACAGCAGGAAGCUGAAGAGAAUUCAAAGGUUGCUAGUGUUCCCUUUGCUUCCAAACCAUUUCAUUAUUUUUCUGUAAAUAUGGAAGAGUUUUUUUAAUGUGUAAAGUAAGUUCAUAUUGGUCCUCUAAUCUUUAGGGGUUGAGGUCCACUAAUCUUUAGGGCUUGAGAUCCUCUCCAUUUCCCUUUUGGAGAGCGACACAAUGAAUAUAAUAAUAUUUUUAAAAUAAUUUUUAGUGGGUUAAGAUCAUGAUACACUUGGCUCACUUGGCUUUGAUUGGGAAGCAAGGGAUGAUAGCUCCCACCUUGCAUGGGAGGUCUAUUUUGCUCCAUAAAGCUAAAAUUCUCCUAUAAGGCUAAAGUCAUCCUAUUUUGCUCCAUAAAGUUAAAUUCAGUCACUCCCUUUCCUCUCCUAACUCCCAAUCAAAGCCUGUAGAUUAGUUAACGAUUGAUGCACCAUAUUUACCCAGUUUAGAGUCAAGCUCAGCAGAGAAGCUUUUCCCCAUUGUUUAAUGAUUUUUAAUUUUAACGACUCCUUCUCUUCUCUACAGUUACGGGAGUUCCUGAUGGAUCGUGGGCAGGUUGUUGAUACGUUGCAGUAAGUUGUUUCUCUGCUGUUUAUUUUUAGUUGUAUAUAUUUUUUUCUUCCUGAUGUUGAACUAUCAAUACUUUGACUCUGCAACAUUCUAUUGGUUUCAUUUCAUAUUAUUGUGUGAAUACUUGCGACCUUUUUAGUGUAAUUUUGAUUAUGGUCUUGAAGUUACGUCUCUCAUUGCUAAUUUUCCCUAUUUGUUCAUUUUGUUGUACUGGAAGCCAUUUGAUUUACUGUUUCCCUAGAAAUCCUGUUUCAAUAUAUAACUUGAACGUGAUUCUUAUAUUUUCUCUCAGACUUGAACACACUUGCACAUUGUAUUGUCAUGAAUUAAUAGUAUCUUUUGCAGUAGAUGUCUUUAUAAUUCCUAAUUUAUUAUACCUACUUUUUGUUUAACUUUGCAGAGGAGAAAUUUCUGUUAUCUGUCAGGAUAUUAGACUUCUGAAAGAGAAAUUUGAUGCAAAUCUUCCUUUGAGUAAAUCAUUCACAGCAAGUCAGACAAGUUGCAUCUUAGCUUCUUCAGGUUCAUCCCACAAAACUGUGGCAUCUAAUGUGGGUUCUGAGCAUAGUGAUUCUUCCGAAGUACUCAAGAUCACCCAGGCAGCCCCAAUUGUUUUCAAUGGUGGGGAAGAGGAGAGGUCCGAAGAAGAACACAAUGCUCUUAUUGAUGAUGGGUGGGAUAUUUUUGACAAAGAUGCAGAACUGGACUGUGGAGUUUUCUAACUUUUUGUUCUCUCCAAGAGAAGGAAAAAUAUUUCCUACUGCUGUUUAUACCUCAAAAUAAACUUCACAAUUCCUUUGGAUGUUAUUAACUGCUUUUAUAUUUCAGUAUAAAACGGUAUUAGAUGGUAUGUAAUAGCGACACGAGAUCUAGAACAACUUAUUAUCCGUUCAGUUUUGGUUGACUGGUUAUUAUUUCCAAGUUUUGUACAAAAAUUGCUUAAUAGGGAGUCGUUUUGGGAUUUUGUUUAUAAUUUUUAUGUGUUGGUUUUUGCCUUUUUGUUAUAUAUUUAUCUUGAUUUUCAUUUAAUUUCUGGCGUGCUAAAGUUCCUCUACUUACCCCCUUAACCAAGAAUUCCCCCCUAUUGUUGCCUUCAAGUCCAUGCUUUAACUAUCCUAAAUUCUGAAAUCCGAAGCUAUAAACAUAUAGUAGGGGAAUAGAAACUAUAAUUGGUUUGGGUUUGAAUUUAUCUGUAAAUGUAAAAUCUAACAAGUCAAAUACUUACCUGACCAAGCUAUUGGCAUCAUGUCAUUAUUUUAGUCCGAAAGUAGAGGGUGGAGCAUAUGUUAAUAAUAAUCUUAUGUGCGUCAGGUUGUUCCACUGCCGGCUAAUGCAUGUGAUCAUUCGCGUAGGAGUAUUUGUUUUUGCUUCAUACUUUUUACUACUUUGUUUUCGAGAAGUCAUUGGGUGAAAAUUUGAAAUAUACUAAAUCUUGGAUAAAAGAAAGUGUGGUAGCAUAUUGACUAGAGACACAACACCCCAUUCUGGUUGCUGCUCACAAUAAUAAUGGGUAGUUGAUUUAGGCAUUAAUUUACUAUUUCAGGUAGUAACUUCUACUAAUAUAAGGAUCAAAGAGGCAUAGCCAACUAUCUGAUUAAGUCAAUAAUCUUCGGAGGAAUAUUGCAGGAUUGUAAUAUUUUACUCCAAAGUCUAAAUUCAAUCAACAAAAUUGAAAAUAAGCCAGAGUUCUUGAAGAAAUUCAACUUAAAUUUCUAUUAUCAUUAUAUUUAUCUAUACAUGGUAGAGUACUAGAUUGUAAUUUACAGUUUUAGCAGAAAGUCCUGCUUCAUCUAGGUCCUCCUUUACUUACCCUACUACCCAAUAACAAAAACUACAUCACUUUUGAGUGUUAAUAAUUUCACACCCCAAAGUUCCCAUGGAAGAGUAUACAAUUGCAAACAAUACAAGUCUCAAAUAUUCAUCUCCUCUUUCAAAUAUAAUGUUAGUUAGAACCUCAAAUUCUUGUUGAAGCUCUUGAAUACUUACUACUUUUAAUCGUUCCAGCAUAAUAGUAAAACAGUGCAUCUCCAUAUUAUGUAAAGCCUUGCCCUCUGCUGCCUAACUUGCUUUGAACUGUACCGUCCUAAUGAUCGAACCUUUGAAGAACCUUUCAUUGAAAAUACACUAGCAGUAGCAGCCAUUGAUUCUCUUUAUACUUUAAACUUUGUUAUGUGAACAAGUUAUUCAAGAUAUAUAGUAAAGGAAGGUGUAUAUAUUUGAUGUUUGAAUACUCUACAAGUGACUAAUUAACCACAUAUAUAUAUAUAGUUGAAGAGGUGAUGUGUGUGGAGAUAUGAAAGAAAAAAUUUUGUGGUGGAGAUAUGACAUGGAAUGGGGUCCCAUAUGGUUGUAGAAAUUAAACAAGACAUGUAUGACGCACUAUCCACCUAUGCCAAACUAAAUUGAGAUGGACUACACAUCCACUACUAGACUCAUCUCAUCUAUAUGUUCCCUAUUUGUUUUUUUUAUCCAUUCUUAGAUAUAGGAAGGACUAUUAAACAAAUUAUUUAUUUGAAAAUUUAGCACAAUGAAAAGUAGGGUUUGUUUUUUGGUGGUGGUGGAAGAACCUCGAACGUUGCAUAUAUUAUGUAUUGUUCCUAUCAACUGAGGUAAGCUCACAAGGAUGAAAAAUAAGGUGGUGUAUUUGUUGAUGCAUAACCUUUUGAUUUUGUGGGAUGGAUGACUCUGCAUCUACUUAGCAAACAAUGCAUGCGUUCUAUUUUGUUUUAUUUAAUUUAGCUUGUUAAAUCAUAACAUAAUAACAUCAAAGAAGAUGGACCAUCUAUAGUCUGUAUUGUAGUGUAUAAAAAAUAAAAUAAAAUGAACAACCAAACGUGUUGAUUUUUUUGUAUUUGUAUGUUGGUUGCUAAUAAAGACAUAUUUCUAAAGACAGUUAUACCAGACACAUUUUCUUAUGCCUAUUUAAUUACAGAUAGAUCCAAUAAAAUAUUAAACAAGACGGUGGAUAAGGUAUUUUUAUUUUUGAUGUCACUAUGACUAAAUAAAUAUCAAGUAUAAUUUUUCUCACAAGAGGCAUGUAUCAUAUCAUAUGGCAAAUUAAACAAAUAGUGUAUGCACAAAACGACACUGAUACUGGAAUUUCUUUUGUAUCUGUACACCACCACCUCCAGUAAUGAGCCUGUAUAAUAUUGAGAUUAGACUACUUAAAAAAAUAAUUUUAUUAUCUUAAUUACUUUUUUAAGGGAUUAUUAUCAUUACUUAUUUUAUGUAUUAGGUAGAUCACUAACAAUUAUUAAUUACUUUUUAUUUUUAUAGAUUGACGAAAUGAUAAAGACAUCAUAAACUCACACACACAAAGUGGAGGUGUCGGGGUUCAAACCUCAGUCAUAAUGUAAUCGACCUAACAAUUUCAUCAUUUUUGUUAGUUUAGCAAAUACUUAUAAAACAAUUAUGAAUUACUUAUUUUUUUUUUUUACAACAAUUAUGAAUUACUUUUAACUAUGAAGCAAAUACACAAAAACAUAUAUCAUGCCCCCUCAAAAAAAGAAUACAAUACAGAAUAAAACAUGAAAAAUCGACACCUGUAAUAAUUUUAAAAUAAUAAAUUAAUUGAAUGAAGUCAUAUGUAUUGGUGUAGAACCAUGUAUCGGUCACAAGACACAUCUUAUUUCGAGUGUCGAUUUUUAUAAAAAAUUGUUAAAAGAUGCAGUUCAUAUCUCAUAAAAACAUAAAUUUUAAAUAUUAUUGUUCAACGUUUGAUCUCUAAACAUCAAUUGAGUCUGGAGACAUAUUUGUAUCAUGGUGAGUCUUCAAACCCAACUCACAUAAAAAAAAUGGCAAUGGGGGCAUACCUCAUGAUAUCAUGUUUGUUCUUUUAAUUAUUUUAAAAUUCAAAAUAUAAAUGAGCCCUCCAAGCGACUGGUGACAUAUGAUUCCAAUGACAAACAAACCUUAUAUCAUUCCAUUUGAGCAAGCUGAGUCAGGUACACGACAUGCAUAUAUAAUAUGGACAAUAUUGUGUUUUGUCCUCAUGCGUAAAAUUCAACAAAACAUCCAUUGACCUUAAUCCAAUACCAUAUUUAAGUUCUUUAUUAAUAAUGGACACCCUCGUCACUCAAUUUUUUUAAAUAACCCCCAAAACAACAACUUACACCCACUUAUAUUUUACUAAAACAUCCAUUAAAAUCUAUUUGAAAUAGAUUGACAGUUUUGUAACUAGCUUAAAGACAUAGUUGUUUUUCUUAGUUUUCCACCGGAUUUCUGUGAGUUCGAUUAGUUCCAUUUCAAUGCAUCUUGGAAAGAAAAAGCGGAACAUUUGAUUUCAAUACAUUUGCAAGCGUAAAACUUGACAGCCUUUUUUUUUUAAUAGGGAAAAACUUCACAGCAUUACUUAGUAACAAAAAAAAUGUAGUUUAUAAUUAAUUUCCAAAACAAAAACUUCCGUUUAUUCUUCUAAAAAAAACUUCAUUUUAUAAUUAUUAAUUGACAUUAGGUGAUAAGGUUCGUAAAAAAGAAAAGGAAGUAUUUUUUUUUUAUAAAGUAAUAUUAGCAACACUCUCUUUUCAACACUUUCUUUAAUGAUCACUCUCUUAUUGGUUUAAAUCAUUGUGGGUCUACACCUUAAAAAUUGAACUCACACAAAGUAGUUGGACAUACAUUGAUUUCAUCUAAUAAAAGAGUGAGUGCUGGAGAGAGUGUUGCUAGCAUUUUUUUUAUAUAUAUUUAACUAGUGUUUUGAAUUCCUCUAAAAAAAAGUAAUGUUUUGAACUAAAAAGACACAAGUGAAAAUUGAUUUUUCAUUAAAAAACAUUGUUGUGUUUAUUUAGCUUUUUUUCUUCUUCAUGUUUACAAUUGUUUAUUUGAAACAUAAAAUUGAGUGUAAAUAAUCACACACUUUCAUAUUUUAGGUAUAAGUUGUUAAUUUACUCCUUAAUAUUUUUAAGUAGGUGUAAAUUAGCAGUGAUAUAUACACACACAUUCUUUCUAGUGAAAAUUGAAAUUGGAUCCUAAUAUUGUAUAAGAGCUUUGAUUUUGAUGAGACCCCCACACAAGUUGUAACAAAUACAACACGUGUAGUGGAAAUAACACACCAUUUAUUCCUAAGAAGGUAAACUUGAGAUUUCACGUGAACUUGUGUGGUGUGAGAAACUUUCAUGCUCAUGCAAUGAACCACACACUGAGACGUUGAAUAAAAAACUAGAUAUAGAACAUGCUCAUACAUAUUAUUAAAUGUACCUUGAAUGGAACUACACUACACUAGUUGCCUUCCAUGGUCACGUGUCCUCUGUGGUCUCAAAACAUAACUGAGUCAUUAUCAUUGUCGACCUCACAUGCCGGCCGGUUAUCAUUGCCGGAAAGCCAUAACACACGCCAAAUUCCUUCAUAUUCACUUAAUGGUGAAAUUUAGCUACCUAAAGAGUUAUGAUAUCUCACUCUCAUAUUUCAUAAGAUAAGUCCCACAUCGUUUGGCUUGUUAAUGUGAAACUAGACACUAUGACCAUAAUUGGACCAACCGCAAACCUAUAAAAGAUUUGGUUUAUGGUGCUCAAAAUCAUCUAGGGUUAGGUUUUUAGAACAAUCAUCUUCCUAACUUUAAAGAUUACAUAUUUGUGAUAAAGAAAAUAUACAUUUAUACACCAACAAAAAGUUCUCAAAUUGACAAUUUCAUUUGAAGUCACCACCUUGUGAAAUUAACAAUUUUACUAAUUUAAUCAAUCUUUGUGUUGAUAAAAUAAAACGUAGCCAAAAUACUAUUUAAUUCUACUAUAUUACUAGUAGUAUUUUAAGUGUUAAUUAAUAAGUUUUUCAUCCUAAAUAUUGAAUACUAAUUAUAUAAAAGUCUUUUUUUUUAUAUAAAAAAUGAAGAAAUAUUGUGGUAAAAUAAUGAUAAAAAAUAUUGAUAACUAAAAUAAUUAGUUAAUGAUAAAAAAAAAAUUAUAAGGAUGCUUUCAUUGUUAUGAGUUAAUUUUCAUUUAUUGCCAAUAUAUCUGAACUCUACAAAAAAAUUAAUUUUGAAAAAAUUGGGUAACCGAAGCUUUCAUGUCCUUGUCCCAUGCAUAAAACAGAUGUAUGGAACAAAUUGAAGAGAUAAGAUAUUUGUGGUUCAAAUGCGUAAUUGUAUAUACCCCAUAUGCCGGAUGAAGAUUUAAUGUUGGUCUAAAGUUGGAAAAUUGUUCAAUGUCCUCACACACCUAAAGAAAAAAUACCAAAGUUUGUCUUCACAAAGAAUUAAAAUAUAAUGUCUUGCUGACAAGUGCCUUAAUUAGGGCAUUGUUUAAGAAACCCAUAAAAAGAAAUUAUGUCUUAAAAAUAUAAGUCAAACGCACGAAAAUCAUAAUUAUACAAUUUUCAAUGCAAAAAUUACUACUUUUAAAUGCUUAAACAAUACCCUUAAGGCACUUGUUAGCAAUUUCCUAAAAUAUAUUAUGCUGGUGAAGGUGUAUUGUCAAGAGAGAAAGAAGAAAAAAAAGACUAUUGGUCCCUAGACUCAAAAACAAAAUAAUUGAAUUCACCAACCCAUAUUAUCCGGUAUACAUCCCUUCAUAUAGCUUAUGGGCUGUUGAUUUCAAGAUAAAGUUUUAUUAGUGGUCGUGACUUGCUAACAAUCUCUUAAAAAUUAAAGGAGAAUACUAACCAUUGCUCUUGGGACAUUAGAUAAGGGGAUAAAAAUAGAAAUAGAACAUUGGAAAAUGGUGAAAAGUGAUAAAUUUAAUUUUUUAAAAGUCAAAAUGUUGUUGAAACCAAUGCUACUUUUCGCUUCCUAAACCAUUACUCUGAAGGCAAUGGUUAGUAAGACCCAAAAUUAAAUUAGAAUAAAGGAGAAGGAAUUUUUAAUAUUAUCUCAAUUAAUGUUAAGAAAAGACAUGAUAUCGGUUUUAAUUACAAUCACUUGUAAUGGUCAAUUAUAGAUUGGUUACAUGAGAAUUGUUGACAAUAAAAUCGAACCUAGUCCCAAACUAAACCAUUUGCAAUGUAAAUGGACACGAAGACUCUAACCACCAAAUUAAGUGCAAAUUGUUUUAUUAAUUCAAUCUAGAGGGACAAACUAAAAAAAUUUGUUCGACUUAUCAUCAAGAACAAAUCUAAGAUGAUUUUUAGAAAAGGUUUAAGAAGGCAAACAAUAAUUUCAUAAUUUGAUUAAGAUGGAGGUUAUAGCUAAACACACUAAAUAUCUUGGCUAAAAUGGUGUAGGAGGAUCCAAGAAACAUGUGUUUAAUUUCAUCAUUUGGUGUGUUUGUUGAAGUGGUGGAAGGUAGGAAAACUACGUUUAGAGAGAAGCUCAAGUUUGUAGCUUCCAAAUAUCAUGGCAAUAUUUGCAUCGAAACGCGGAAAUUGGUGAUUCAACGCUACACCAAACAUAGUAAUUAUAGGAUUUUAAAGAAGAAAAAAAUGGUCGCAUAAUCUAUUUCUACUUAUGUUAUGAGUUGUUUCCUUCUUUCAAAAUUACAUGACCAACUUGAAAGCGUGAUUUGCAAUUUGUGGUGGGGUAGCAAGUAGAGUGAGUGAAGAUUCAUUGAAAAAAUUGGGAAACUAUUUGCAGAAGGAAUUGUGACGGUGGCAUUGGCUUUAGAACCUUUAGUACUAUUAAUGAAGUCAUGUUAGCAAAAAAAAGUUGGAAGCUUCUAGCUAACCUUAGUUUUUUUUUUUUUUUUGAAGGAUUCUUGCUAACCUUGGUUCUCUUGUGUUUAAGUGCCUUAACAAAAAGUGUUACCCUAAUUCCUCCGAUUUUUUUUUUUUUUUUUUUACGUUAAUUCCUCCGAUUUGGAAGCAAAAGAUUGUAAAUACUAAUUUUUUUAGUUAUGUUUAUGUUAGUAUACGAUCCAUUAAUCAAGCCCUUUAGAUUUAGACUCCUCUCUAUUUAAGAAAUUCAUUCUAGUUUAGUAAUUACAUUAUUGAAAUAUAGUAGCAAUUCCUUUGUCUACACGUGCAAACAAACACUAAGGAUGCACUUGAGCUAAUAAAAAAUGAAUGACAAUACCAUUUUUGUUGUAUAGUGUUUGACUUGUAAAAUUGUUCUAAGGACAAGAUAAACGGGAGGCAAGAAACAU